This 157762-nucleotide long non-coding RNA is filed under the name Durio zibethinus. RNAcentral describes it as "long non-coding RNA (DZIB_LNC000587)". The record is from RNAcentral. Lineage: Eukaryota; Viridiplantae; Streptophyta; Magnoliopsida; Malvales; Malvaceae.
UACGAUCAACAUGUUCAUGGUAUUUGAUGCCCACAAUAUAACUUGCAAGCAUGCAAAAUUACACACAGAUUUGCAUAAAAAUAGGGGGUUUUAUUUUAUUUUAAUUUUAUCAUGUUUUGGAGACAACACGAAAGAAAAACCCAAAGAUAAUAUAUUUAUUUUUCAUCAGUCAUAAGCACCCCCAAUACUUAGGCUGAAAGUUGAUCCAUCAGCACUUAAUCGGAACCGCUGAAGCCUUUAUUGUAAGCAUAUUCAACAAGGGAAUCCAACUCAUCAUUGGUGCAGUCGAUCAAAUUGUCCUUAUUUUUAUCAGCAACGUCCAUGGCCUCUUCAACUUGCUUGUUUGGCGUGAGCGCACCUAGAUGUUCAAAAGCAUCCUUGAGCUGGUCCCUGGUGAGGCUGCCCUGCUUAGAGUAAGAUCGAAACACUUGUUCCAAUUUGUUUUUCUGAUCCUUGUUAUCCUUUGUGGCUUGCAUUGUGGAUUUGAGGUUUAUGACAGGGUGAUAUUAGAGAGAAGGCUUGCUUAGCUUGGUUUGGUUUUUUUUUUCAAUGCAAUUUGUUUAUAUAGACCCAAAACUCUGAAUACUAUUCUGUUGAAGUGUCGGGGAAUAAAUCAUUUUUUGGUGGUGGGUUUUAAAUUUUGAUUUCCAUCCUUUUUAUCAAUAAAUUAAUAAAUCAAUCAAUAAAUUUUUAUAAUGAAUACUUAAAAAAAAUAUUUCAAGAGAAUUGGUACGAAUAAAAAUAUUAAUGUUAAUUUCUUCUUUUCUUCUGGCUUCAAAUUAACCACAGAUUAGAAAAUGCUAAAUAGCAGCCUCCCCUAUCUUGUGUCGUAGUGAUGAUACAAGGCUCCACUAUCUUGUAUCCAUUUUCUAUUGUUUCAUUUGUUUUAGCCCUCAUUUGCCGUUUUUAAUUUUUUUUUUUUUUUUUUUUUUGUGGUUGCCUGAUUAAAUGAUGCAUUUUGGUCCAUUUGGUUUUAAUGAAUUUUCAAAAUGUGGUAGAUCUCGUGAAAGGAGUUCUAGGAAGUACUUUGAUGAGCAUGCUUGUAAAUUGUGAUAAUUAUUGUGUAUGAAUGUUAAGUUAUCCAAAAAUAAGUAAGUUUAGUAUUAGGACUUUCUUUCUUUUAUUGUUCGCUGUAAAUGAUUCUGGAGCAAAGCAAACUGCUGUCAAACUAAUUAAUUGCAUUGUACCACUUUCAGGAAUCGUGGCUUUAGUAGGUUAAAACCGUAUACAUGUUUCUUUCUCAUAUGUUCUUAAUCUGGGUAGGAUAGAACUAAGUAUGGGCUAUUUCAAUUCCUUUGCACCUUUUUUCCCUUGUUCUGUAAGGUUUUCUCAACCACCCUUUUCAAGGGGAAAGCUGUAAUAUAUAUAUAUUUUUUUCUUUUCUUUUUUUUUUUUAAAUUAGAUAAUUUUGUAAAAAAAUUAUAUUGAUGGAAGUAUUUACAUGUCAUCCAGAUUUAAUUUUUUCAAUCCUUCAUUUUUUAUAAAUCUUUAUUUUUAAAAAGUUCAUAACAAAAAUUUUUACAAAAAUAGAUCACCAUUGCUAAUAUUGCAUGACAAUUCAUUUUUUUUUUUAUUUUCGUUUUGAUUUUUUGAUUUUUAGUUUUUUUCUUCAUUUAUUUUUUAUUAGAUCAAUUGUUUUAGUGAAAAAAUUCCAAUGAAUGUGCCCGGUGGCAUCUUAUUUUAUUUUUUGCCAUUCAUUUUUUUUAAUUGGAUAAAUAUUACAAUAAAAAAAUUAGUAUACAAAUUUUUUAAGAUAAAAGUCAAUUGAGGUAAAGACAACAAAAUAUCUUGUAUCCGAUCUGUUUCGUUCCUGUGGAUCCAAUCGGUGUGCCUUUUUUUAAAAAAAAUAUUUAAGAUUGAAAUUCUUAAAAAAUCUGAAUUAUUACGAAAUUAUAAUAGCAUCGUCUACUAAAAUAAUUUUGUAAGAAGCCUUUAUGAAUUAAGAAACGGAAAACUUAUAAUUGAAAAAUGAAUUAAUUAAUAGCAGGAUAGAAAAAAAAUUUAAAAGAUUACAAUUAGUAAUUUCAUAAUCAAAAAAAUGAUUUUUUUAAAAUUAAUGUAAAAUUGUGUUUUCUAAACCAAAGCAAUGCACAAAUUAAUCUUUCAUAUAUGCCUCAAACAAUUUAAUAAAAUUACAAAAUAAUUUUAACUAUUUCCAAAAAUGAAAUCUUGAUAUAUAUAAUUUUGCUAAACAAGAUAUUUAGACUUUUGAUAAUUAAAGUUACCUUCAUAAAUGAAAUCCCACUUGAAAUCUUGCAAUUAAUCAACUCAUUUUGAUAUUUUAAUUCUCAUCAAAGUAUAACUUCUUUUGCCUGCUGAAACCAGCAACAAUAUGUACUUCACUUUUUUUGUCAAAUAGCACAUGCAAAAACAUAUGCAUAAGUGUGUGUAAAAAUAAAGAGAAUUAAACAUUUAAAUUAGAUUCAUCUAUAUAUAUAUAUAUAUAUAUAUAUAUACACUCUAUUUGCUUUUCUUUCGAAUAGGUUGACUUUCAAGUUUUCUCGAACCUUUUAUCAUGUUUUUAAGUAAUAAAAAUUUUAGUGUAUGGUUUAUAAUAGUACGAUCAACAUGUUCAUGGUAUUUGAUACACACAAUAUAACUUGCAAGUAUGUUAAAUUACACACAGAUUUAAAUAAAAACAGGGGGUUUUUUAUUUUAUUUUAAUUUUAUCAUGUUUUUGAAACAACAUGAAAGAAAAAGACCCAAAGCUAUACAUUUAUUUUUCAUCAGUCAUAAGCAUCCCCCAUACUUAGGCUGAAAGCUGAUCCAUCAGCACUCAAACGGAACCGCUGAAGCCUUUAUUGUAAGCAUAUUCAAUAAGGGAAUCCAACUCAUCAUUGGUGCAGUCGAUCAAAUUGUCUUUAUUUUUAUCAGCAACGUCCAUGGCCUCUUCAACUUGCUUGUUUGGUGUGAGUGCACCUAGUUGUUGAAAAGCAUCCUUAAGCUGGUCCCUGGUGAGGCUGCCCUGCUUAGAGUAAGAUCGAAACACUUGUUCCAAUUUGUUUUUCUGAUCCUUGUUAUCCUUUGUGGCUUGCAUUGUGGAUUUUGAGGUUUAUGACUGGGUGAUAGAAGAGAGAAGGCUUGCCUAGCUUGGUUUGGUUUUUUUUUUCCAAUGCAAUUUGUUUAUAUAGACCCAAAACUCUGAAUACGAUUCUGUUGAAGUGUAGGGGAAUAAAAUCUAUUUUUUGUGGUGGGUUUUAAAAUUUUAUUUCGAUUGAAAGGAAACACUAUAAUUGUAUGACAAUUUCUUCAUUUGAAAUUUUUUUAAAAUAUCCAUUUUAUUAAUAAAAUUAAUAUAUCGAUCAAUAAAUUUUUAUAAUGAAUACAAAUAAACAAAUAUUCCAAGAGGAUUGGUACGAAUAAGAAUAUUAAUGUUGGCUUGAAAUUAACCACAGAUUGGAAAAUGCUAAGCGUAGUGGUAGCAGCCUCCCUUUCCUGUGUCCCUAGUGAUGAUAGCAGCCUCCACUAUCUUGUAUCCAUUUUCUAUUGUUUCUUUUGAUUUUGCAGGUGAAAAGGCUAGACAACGAAGUCAGGAGUAAGGAAUCUAAACUCUCACCUGUCCAAAUUUGAGCUGUUUCUACACGAAAAAGUUUGAAAAGAAUCGUCUUGUUGCUCCUGGUUGGACAGAACUUGAUCAUACACAUUGAUUUUCUAAAAACUUAUAAUUUGAUGGAAGUGUCUUGUCUGUAGGAUAAUUUGAUAUUAUUGGUUAAAAAUAUUGUUAUAACAUAUAGAUUCAUGGAUCUAUCAUAGACAUAAACUUUAAGAGUCGCUACUAUUUUCUUUUUUGUUUAGGUGUAAUUGACCAUUUAAUUGAAUUUGUCUUAUUUAAAGAGGAUAUCUAAGAUAGACUUAGGCAUUUUUAAAUAGUAAAUUUUAAAAUCCAUGAAAUCAGAUUUAAGGUUCAAGAGUGCAAUUAUACAUGAGGAAGUUUAUAGCACCAUUACAGUGCCUAUCCAAAAGAUGGUAUCAAUUUGAUUUCAAAUUAUCUAAGCCUUGAAAUAUUCUUAUAAUUAUACUCAGUAAUUUAAUUAUUAAAAAUUAAUUCUAAAAUUACUCUAAUAGUUGAGUAGCAAUGUAAGAUAAUUUUCUCAUCUUAAAAGUAUUCUUAGAGACUAAUGUAUCACUCUUAAGAGACUCCGUCAUUGAAUUUAUUAAUAUAUUUUAUUUAAAAAAUAAUUAGUAAAAUCCUCCAAUAGUUUGGUAAGAUUUUACUUUGGUGCAAAUUUCCCAAUAGUUUGGUGAGAUUUUUUUUAAAAUCAUUUAUAAAAUUUUGUUUUGAUGUAGAAUUCUAAAUAGUUUGGUAAGAUUUUAUUUGAAAAUUAUUUAUAAAAUUUUACUUUGAGAAAAUUCAUUAAAUCUUCCAAUUUGGUAAGAUUUAAUUCAAAAUUUUUAUCCUCCAAUAAUUUGGUAGGAUUAAAAAUAUAUUAUUUUAUUUUAUUUUAAAAAUUCAUUAAGUCCUCUAAUAGUUUGGUAAGACUUAAUUCAAUAUUUAAAUAUUCCAAUAGUUUGGUAGGAUUGAAAAUUUAUUAUUAAAAAAAUUACAUUAUGAAAUUCUCCAUUAGUUUGGUAAAAUUCAUAAUUGAAAAUUUCUAAACCCAUGAAAUUAAAAAUUCAUAAUUUAAAACUCACAAUCUUUAAAUUUUAUUUUAAACGUACAUAAAAAAAGUAAAAUAAAUGAAUAAAUAUAUAAAUAAACAAAAUGUGAAAAUUACCCUAAUGGAAGGAGACAUGCCUAGAUUGAAGUAUCUCUUGAUCUGUGGUGAUAGAUAAUCACCAAAGAGCUCUGCCACCAAUUCUAACCUAAUAGCUAGGGUACAAAUUGCUACUCAUCCAUUUUUUGGUAGGUUUCCUUUUUUUUUCCUUUUUUUUUUUGUAUGUUGUUGAUUGGUGUUUAUAUUGGGCCUUCUGCUAAGAGUUUUAGCGAUUUGCAUUGAAUGAAAAGUUUGUAGAUCUGAUUAUACUCUGAAUUGAUUUUUUCUUACUUCUCUUUAAAAUUUAUUUAAUUAAUUUCUAAAAUUGUCUCGAUUUUCCUUGAUUUUCAGAGUCCCUCAAAACUUUCCAAACUAAAUUUGACUUUGAUUCCUUGAUUUGCUUUCUUUGCAACCUUUCUUUAAUAUUUGACAAGAUCAUGUUAGUUUUAAUUAUCGAGAUCAUCAUUGAUUAGUGCUCAAAUUAUUCCAUAAAUUUCAUUGACAUGAUUUAUGAUAAAAAUUUAAAACAAAAUAAAUAAAAGAGUAAAACAUAUAAAUAAAUAAGACAAAAAAAGAUAUUAAAAGAAAUGAAGGAAAUUGGACAAUUGGGCUUAGAUUGAGUUUCAGACUAAAUAGGGUGUCUACAGCUGGCCCUAUUUGCAUAAGUUUUGUGAAAUACAAAUUAUGCAAAAUAUAGAUAUACAUUACGUUCAAGCCCAAAUUAUUCAAUUUUUUUCUUUUUUUUAAAGGCUCUUAAAAAUGAAGGCACACAACUUUUAAAAAAAAUUAAGGAUGACACCCAAAGGUUUUGACAAUCAUGCCCAGAGGUCUUAUAGAUCAUGUCUAAAAAGCUUGUAAAUUAAGCCCGGAGGUUUUACAAAUCAUUCAUUAAAAAAUGCUCCUUUAAACAAAGGCUAUACAACUAUUAAAAAAGAACCUAAAAGUUUUAAAAGAUCAUGCCCAAAGGUCUUAGAGAUUAUGCUCGGAGUUCUUAUAAAUCUUGACUUUAAAAUAAAUUCAGCUCGAAAGACUUACAAAUCUUUACCCAGAGGACUUAGAGAUUACGCGCGGAGGCUUUACAAAUCCCGAUCUUAAAAUAGAUUCAACUCACAAGACUUAUGAAUCUUGCCCAAAUGACUCAAAGAUUACACUUGGAGGUGUUACAAAUCUCGACUUUAAAAUAAAUUCAGCUCAGAAGACUUAUAAAUCUCGACUCUAAAAUAGAUUCAAGUUAGCAGACUUACGAAUCUUACUCGGAAGACUUCGAGAUUAUGCAUGGAGGUUUUACAAAUCUUGAAGAUUAUGCCCAGAGGUCUUACAAAUCUUAACUCUAAAAUAGAUUCAGCUUGAAAGAUUUAUGAAUAUUGACUAAAAGACUUGGAGAUUAUACCCGAAGGUCUGAUAAAUCUCAACUCUAAAAUAGAUUCAACUUGAAAGACUUAUGAAUCUUACCCAGAGGUCUUGCAAAUUAAACUUCAAAAAAGCUUAUUUAAAAUAAAUGUUCAACCACUUUAAAGAGAAAAAGAAUAUUUAGAGGUUUUAAAAAUCAUGUAUGGAGGUCUUAUAGAUAUUGCUUGAAGGACUUUAAAAAUAGUUUAAUAGUUUUGAAGAUGUUGCCAAAGGUUUUUUUAAAAAAAAUUAUCCGAAGAUUUUUUAAGACUGAUACUUAAAAAUUUUAACAAAUUUACCCUAAGGUAAAAUCUUGUUUAAUCAAAGUUUCAUUUUUUAUCAAAAAUUUAAGUCAACAUCUCUUUCCUCUAAAAAAUAUGAAUACAACAUAUGAAAUAGAUGUGAUGUAUACUAUGUAAGAAAUGCAUGAAGUGUAAUGAAUUAAAUGCAUGAAUUUUAUACCAAAUGUCCUUAAUUGUGGUAAUAGGUUUCUCGAAACUUUUUCUUCAUUCCAUCUUUCCAUGACAUAGCCUCUGAAUUAGUUAACAAGUUCUUUCAUGCCCUAAAGUAGACAUUCUCAACAUUUUCAUUCUUGAAAACUAUUUUUCUCCUCUAGUGAGUUAUUUUAAUUUUGAUCCCUUGCAUUUGGCAUUUUCUUGCCUCAGAAAGGUCUUUUAUAGCAUUCACCUAUCUCCCACCUCGAGCAUUAAGAUCCAUCAUAUUGUGAACAUUUUUUAAAACUUCCCAUGAAUAGCAAUAGAAAUUAUCCCAGAUAUCUCUCUUCUGCAUGUGAUCAAAUCUCUUAAAAAUUGGUGAUUACUACUUAGAAUAAGGAUGAUGAAUCAUAAUUUUGGUCUUCCAAAGGAUGCAAUGGUUUGGCACCCCUUUCAGUUCUUGAUAUGUGGUAUUUUAAUAAAUAUCAAGAACAACUAUGUUAGGUUCAAAUUUUCAAGUUUGAAAAAGGAACAAGGCCUAAAUUUUAGAAGGAAUCUUCAUACUGAGAUCAAUCUCUUGGGCCUUUAAAGAAAAGUCUCCUUGGUGCUACAUAGAAAGUCAUGAGUUGGUUUCAGAGUUUCAAUCUUACUUUAGGCUGCCAUUUUGGGUUUUCACCCUAAAACUUCGUUCUUUUCUCUUUUUUUUUUUUUGGAUAUUCCAUCAGGCAUUUGAGCAUUCAAAAAUUAUAAAAAAGUGAUAGUGAUUUCCUAAAGAAAAACUCUUUAAUUUAGAUAUCCAUACUUGAUCAAAAUGGACUUUUUAAAGGACGUAAUGUGGGCUGGGGUUUAAGGUUUUGAAAAAGCAUAAAUAAGCCCAAAAAAUGUAUUUACUAGUGAUCAAACCAAAAAUCAUUUCUUUUCCAGAAACAUCUUUCCUUUUUUCAAAGAUGCCUUUUUCUCUUUUUUCUCUUUUUUUCUUCUUUUCUUUUCUUUUUUUCUUUUGCAUGAGCUUAAAUUUUUUGAAACUCAUCUUAUUUCAAGCUUGCUUAUUAACAUAAGGCAUUAUUUCCUAACCCUCAGCACAAGAUUAGAUGCCAUCUUGAUGAGAUCCUUUUUCUCUUGAACUUGCCCCCCAAAAUUUAAAGAGUGAUUCCUAGUUAAGGUUCAUUCGAAAGAAUAAUCAAAAGGUUUUUAAAAGGUAGCAAAUGGAUAUUUUCUUCUUUUAUAAAGGGAAUUUAAAAGAUGACCAUUUUUCAUUUAAGUAUGGAUACCUAUUGAAAAGCAGUUCUCAAGAGACAACUUGUUUCUAAUUGAUUUUAAGUUCAUUUGAAUGCCCCACAUGCAUGAUUUCACAAUCAACACUAUUUUCUUUUUGUUUUUUUGUAAUUCAUCCAUUUUGAUAACAAAGCCAUCUGAAUGUUCAUCAAUCAGAAAGAUCAAAAGGAUUAUUUAGGGCUUUAAGUAAAUUUGGCUUUUGCCCCAAAGUGAGUACAAAUGAUCGCUUGGUAAAUGAUUCAAAAAAAAAAGAUAAAUGUAGCACAAGUUAAAAUACUGAACAAAUUAAAAAAAUAUGGCUCAAGAAAUUUAAGUGGUGACGUGUUUGAAAAAAGCUUGCCAUUUAUUGAAUCACCAAAAAAUAAAAAGCUUAGGAGAGUGCCCUAAAAGAUUUUACAAAUUAAUCGACUAUCACAUUGUUCAUAGCCUAAAUGAAGAUCAAUAAAUUUUAAGUUUCAUCAUGGCCAAAUAAGGGGAAGUUCUGAAACUUUCGUCCCUAGAAAUUCUCAAGGUUUUUAAUCUUCUAAAUGAAAAAAAUUAAACGUUCAGGGGAAUUGCUCAAGAUACCUAUUCCUAAUAAUAAUUACCAAAUUUCUUGAGAUUUUUUUUUCACAUGUAUUUGUAAGAAGCUAAACAAUUAAAACUCAUAAGAAACCAAUGACUUCAUGUCCAAGAAAUCAAUAUACAAGGAAUAAUCAGCCUAUAAUAAAACAACAUUCUAUUACUCAAAAAGCUCUUUGAUCAAGGUGCCAUUAUGGAUAAGGCUUUCAAACUUUUCUUUCAACUGUUUGCAUUUCUCAGUCGAGUCCAAUUGCCCCAUGUUAUAAUCAUAUUUAACAUUUAUAUCAUAACUCUUGGCUAAUCGAUGUGAAGUUGCUUUUAAAGGUAUUGAGGUGAGGUACUAGUACAUUAUCAGCAAUGGUAAAAGAGCAAAAAUUAGAAUUAGGAUUUUCUCUAGAUUAUUUCUUGAUCUUAUUUGGCCAUUCAUUGGUCGAGUAGUAGAUUGGGGAUAAUGACUUAUGUGAUGAGCUAAUUGUUAGGUUAGUUAGGAAAAAUAUGGAUUCUAAGAAAAGUUAUUUACAGUAGGGUGGUAAGGUUAGUACAUGAUUUGUGGGGUCAAGCUUCCAACCUUUUUCCUUUUAUACAUCAUGACAUGAACAUCUUCUCUUUUCAUUCUUGGUACACACACAUCCUUUACGCUAGGUGCAUUAUCUUCUUUAAGCUAUUCACUUUUUAAGGCAUUCUCUAUUAUCUCCCCUGAUAUGACCAUGUUGGUAAAAUUCUUUAUUACAUUUCCAAUCAUCUUUCAUAAUAUGGAGCUUUAGGAGUGCUAACAAACAAGAUUGUAGUUUUUUUUUCUGUUAAAGGAGUUUGAACUUAGACAGCAACACCCUUCCACCUUUGAGCAUAUUCUUUGAAACUCUCGACGUCUUUUUUCCCCAUACUUUGUAGAAACAAUUGAUUUGAGACUAACUCUAUAAUGUACUUGUAUUAAGUUAUGAAUGCCCUGGCCAAUUCUUUCCAUGAAAUGAUUUGAUUUCUAUCAAACUGAGCAUACCACUAAACAGCAGAUCUCGUAAGAUUAUCUUAGAAUACAUGAAUCAAGAGUUUGUCAUCACAGACAUGGGCAACCAUUUUUCUACAAUAUAUAGUGACAUGGUCAUCGGGCAUUUGGUACCAUUAUAUUUCUCAAAUUUUGAUACCUUGAACUUGGGUAGAAUAAUCACAUCUGGCACUAAGCAAAGCUCUAAUGCAUCCUUAGAUCCAUAAAAAUCUAUUUUUUUGAUGGCUCUAAGCCUCUCUUAUAUGAGAUCCAUUUUUUUUAGCACCUGAAUCUUUUGUUACUUCAAAUGAACUUUUCAUCAGUUUUACUAGCUUUUCAGAAUCAUCAAGGGUUGGAAUUGGUGAAGCUGUUGAAAGUAUUCUAGAAUAAGAGUAUGCCCCUAAAUGUGGUACUUGUUAUGAUUGUACCCCUUGGGAUGCUUAUAUACAGGUUUCUUCCACCUUUUUUUUAUUUAAAUUUUUUAGCAUUUCCAUUAUCUGAGCAAAAUCUACUCUCAUUUUCUCAAUUUAGCUAUGUUGUUUUGGCUCCAUAAGUGGCAAGGAGAUUACCUUGAUGAUCGGGCUUUUAAACCUUAUUACCACAAUUAAGAAUUAGGACAAUGUCUAUUACGAAUUUAUGCAAGAAAACAAAAGAUGUAUAUAUGAAUGAAUGGAUGCAUGCAUUAAAUUCUAUCACAUAAUAAGAAAGAGAAGAAAAAGGAAAUCUUUAAUUAAAAUUUGUUUUGACAAAAACAUCCAAAAUCAUUCCUAGGAAAAAUCCUAAAAUCUAUUGCCUGAUCAUAUUCUUUAGCUUUAAGAUCUUGGUACUACCAUGGAUAAGUUUUUCAACCACUAUGAUUAUGCAAUACCCUUUUAACAAUCUUUGGCUUUCCUUUAUCCCCAAAACUUAAUGCACUAUCUCUUUUAACAAUCUUUGCACCUUAUGCUUGAAAGCAAUGCAAUAUUUUAUUAAAUGGCCUGUAUUCCCAAAGUGAUAAUCAUGUCGAGCUUCAACCUCAAACAAUUUAGGAUAAGGGUUUUAGUAGCUUUAAAGGAACUGAUGUGAUUAGAUAAUUUUCGAGGAGUAUCAGGAAUAAUUUAAUGUAAGUCACAAGGAUUGGAUCAAUGAUGGCUCUCUCUUUUUCAUUCACUUAAUGAUUUUUUGAGUUGAGUAGUUUUUUUACUUACAGGUGCAAAGUUUGGAGUAAAAUUAGGUGUAUAUGCCCAAAAGUUUACUAGUGGGGAGCAGAAUUGCUGAGCUAAAGGGUUUUAACAAGCAUAAUUCAUAACUGAAAAAGUAUAUGGGUAUAGGCUAAUCUACGGAGUUGAAUAGAAAAAAGCUUUGUUUUGGAUGCUAAAAGAGAUUGUUUAGGAAUAACUGGUUAGGAAUUUGGGUAUGAGCCAAUCUAUAGAACUGGUGCAUGGUUAAAAGGCCUUACCUCUUCUACUUCUUUUCUAACUUGGUCUUUUCUUAGGCCAUUGGAUACAUUGACAUGACUUGGAUCGAUAUCAGUAUUAUAAGAGGCUUUUUGAUCUUGACAAAAUGGUUGCUUAAUGCACACACGAAUUGGAGUUGAUGAGAAUUCUUGAGAAUGGGCCACUUCAAGAUUUUUCACCAUUUCCACUAGCUUGGUAAGUUGCAUUUUUAUUUCUUAUAGGUCAUGCCCAAAUUCCUUUUGGUUGAGUUUCAAAGCUUGGAUCCAUGCUUCUAACAAAUCUCCUAUCUCUUCUGAAUUGUUAUCCCAAAUGAUUAAAAGAUUUCUAUUAUACAAUGACAUGAUGAAUGAAUGAUGAUGAUGAUAUAUGAAUAAGUGAGAUACAUGAAAUGAAUGAAAAUAGACAAACAAAGAAAUAAAUAAAUGCAAACUUAUUGAUGCUAACAUGAUUCAAGCAAAAGAAAGUAACAAACAAGAACAAAGGUAACAACCAAUAUAAAGAAAGAAAAAGCAAAAUAAUUUAAUGCAUAACUUAAAAGAUAUGUGACCUAAUUUGGAGUAUUUAUACAAAAAGAAAAGAUAUGGAUCUACCUAUGGGUAUUACAACUCACUAUAUGUGGUUUAGGAUUGAUUCUACAUGUUCCCAAAUUAUUCCUCACAUCAUUGUCCAUUAUUGACUAGUAAAACACCCUAAUUUUUACCCAUUAUAGGUUACAAACGGUAAUGGUUCAAUUCAAAUGGGAGUGUUUCACUAGCCUAUGCCAAGACAUGAAAUCUCAUGAAGGCAUAGGUACUUUACUCUUCUUAAGGGACAAAACUCGAUUGUAGAAUUUGCGUUAUUUUAUUUUAUUUAAAAAAAUAAUUAAGUCAUUUAAUAGUUUGGUAAGAUUUAAUUCAAGAUUUAAAUCCUCUAAUAGUUUGGUAGGAUUAAAAAUUUAUUAUUAAAAAAAUUAUAUUAUGAAAUUCUCCAAUAGUUUGGUAGAAUUCAUAAUUUAAAAUUUAUAAAUCCAUGAAAUAAAAAAUUCAUAAUUUAAAACUCAUAAUCUUUAAAUUUUAUUUUAAACAUACAUAAAAAAUGAAAUAAAUGAAUAAAUAUAUAAAAAAACAAAAAUGUGAAAAUUACCUUAAUGGAUGGAGACACACCUAGGUGGAAGUAUCCUUUGAUUUAUAGUGACAAAUAAUCACCAAUUCAAACCAAAGAGCUCUGCCACCAAUUCUAAUCAAAGAGCUUGGGUAUAGAUUGCUACUCAUCUAUUUCUUAAUGGGUUUCCCUUUUUUUUCCCUCUUUUAUUUUUUAUGUGUGGUUGAUUGGUGUUUAUAUAAGGCCUUUUGCAAGGAAUUUUAGAGAUUUGCAUUGAAUGAAAAGGAUUAUAGAUCUAAUUAAGCUCUAAAUUGAUUUUUUCCUAGAUGCUUUUGAAAAUUCGUUUAAUUAGUUUUUGAAAUUAUCUUGAUAUUUCUUAAUUUUCAGAAUCCCUCAAAAUUUUUCGAAUUAAAUCUGACUUUGAUUCCUUGAUUUACUUUCUUUUCAACCUUUAUUUUAAUAUUUUAAAUGAUAAUGUUUUAGUUUUGAUUACCGAGAUCUUCCUUGAUUAAUGCUCAAAUUACUCCACAAAUUUCAUUGACCUAAUUUAUGAUAAAAAUUUAAAACUAGAUAAGUAAAAGACUAAAGCAUAAAAAAGAUAAAUAAAUAAAUAAGACAAAUAAGAUAUAAAAAGAAAUGUUGGAAAUUGGACAAUUGGUCUUUGUUUGAGUCUCAAACUAAACAAGGUGUCGACAAAUAUAUAUUUUAUACUUUUUUACUUUUUAAAUUAGAUAAUUUUGUAAAAAAUGAUAUUGAUGGAAGUGUCUACAUGGCAUCCAUAUUUAUUUUCUUUCAACCUUUCAUUUUUUUUAUAAAUUUUUAUUUUAAAAAUAGUUAAUAAUAAAAAUUUUACAAAAACAGUUCAUAAUUGCUAAUUUCGCGUGACAACUUAACUUUUUUUAUCCUUUUUUUCGUUUUUUUCUCCCUUUAUUUUUUAUUAGGUCAAUUGUUUAAACAAAAGAAAAACCAACGAAUGAGCCCAUGUGGCAUCCUAUUUCAUUUUUUUACCUUUCAUAUAUUUUUUAAUUAGAUAAAUAAUACAAUAAAUAGAAAACAGUAAAUAAAUUUUUUAAGAAAAAAGUCAAUUGAGGUAUUUACAAUAAAUUUUCUUAAUUAGAUAAUUUUUUGAGAAAAUAAUGACAAUAUAGGUGUUCACAUAAUAUCCUCACUUGUUUUUUUUUAUAUAAUUUUAUAUUUUAAUUAGAUAAAUUUUAUAAUAAAAUGAGAUGGUUGAUAAAAAUAGCAAAACAAUCAGUAUUUAUGGAUUUCGAUACAUCUUGAUUUGAUAUGGGUGUUUUUAUAAAAAGUCGAUAUCAAAUCGAAUCAUAUUGGUUUUUAAGGUAAGGAAAGGUAAGAUGUGGAUUUAGGGUGCUUUGUCCUAAAUCAUCUUGUGAUAUAUGUAAAAUUAUAUAUUUUAUUAUUAUUUUGGUUUUAUAUUUAUAUACAUGUAUUAUAUUAAUAAAAUUAGUAUUUGAUACUUUAAUUUAAUAAAUUAAUAUUUUAAACUCAAUAAGGGUGUCCAUGUGGCACCCUUAUUGAGCUUUCUUUUUUGUUUUUGUUUUUUUCUCUUUUGUUUUUGGUUUUCUUCUUUUUCAAUUUUUUUAAUUCUUUUAUUAGAUAAAUUUAGUGAGAAAAAAAAAAGACCAAUUGAAAUAUCCACAUGACACUUCCAUUUAUUUUUUUAUCAUUUACUUUUUUAAUUAGAUAAAUUUUAAAAAUAUAUAACAUAAAAAUUAUUUUUAAUUUAAUUUUAUUAAAAUUUAUAUCAAAAUAAUAAUAAAAAAGAAACUAUGAAUUAUUUUAAUUAAUAAAAUAGUUAAACCUAUGCUACAAGCUCAUUUCUAGUAUUCAAGAAAAUAGUAAAGAAAAUUAUUUAAACCCCAUCUCUUAAUUUUAAUCUUAAUUAGAACACGCUAGUAGUUUAUUUAUAGAGAUCAUUAGAAAUUAAUUACUUUCUUAGUCAACUGCUAGGGUUUGAAACAAGUGCCAGAAAAUCGAUAGGCCUUAAAAUUUUAAUUCCUGGCAUUUUGAAUAAGUGUUGUUGGAUUUCUUUAGGUCUAGGUUGAGCCCAAUGACUCAUUAAUUAUGUUCUUAAUCAGGCCUAAAACCUAUUUAACCACAAUUUAUGGUUUUUAAAAUUUAUGUAAGUGUGCCUAUACAUUUAUAUUAUAAAAAUUAUCACAUUCACUUGUAGUAGUGGAGUUUUGAAUUUUAUUAUCAAGAUUGUAAUAGUAGCGUGAGCAAUUGAUAUAAUAUUAAAUUUUUAAUUUUAAUGAUGUUAUAACAUAUAGAUCCGUGGACCUACUACUAGAUAUAGAUUAGAGGAGUUACCACCAAUCUUUUUUGGUUAGGUAUGAUUGACCACCUAAUUGAAUCUGAUCUAUAAGAUAGAUGUUAGGUUCGGAAGUUGGUUACGCUUGAGGAAGGUUGUAGCACCCCCACAGCACCUAUCCAAAUGAUGGUACCAGUUUGAUUUUGAAUCAUCUAAGCCUUGGUCAUUUUAUGAUUUUACCGAAUACUUUAGUAUUGAAAAUUAACCCUAAAAUUGUCCCAAUAGUUUUGUAGCAAUUCAAGAUAAUUCUCUCACCUCAUGAGUAUUUAUGGAGACUAGUAUCCUACUCUGGAGGGGCUCUUUUAUCAGAUUUAUUAAUUUAUUAUAAGAAAAGGUAAAUCUACUAAUAGUUUGGUAAGACUUACUUUGAAGCAAUCCUCCAAUAGUUUAGAGGAUAAAAAUUAUUUAUUUAUUUGAAAAGACCUUUUUUUUAUUGAAAAUAUUUUUUUAAUUAUUUUUAAUUAUUUUGAAACUUUAUUUACAAUAACUUUUUUGUUUGAAAAGAUUUUUUUUAGAAUAUUUUUCUUUCUUUUUUUUACUUUCAAAAAUAAAAAUGGAAGAAAUAACAUUUUUUAAAAAAAAAUAAAAAUGGGUUAAAAAUAAAAUAAAAUUAGAAAAUAAAAAUAAAUAGAAAAGGAAAAACCUGCGAUCGGGUCGGGUUGAUACCAAGGUCAGAAAACAGGUCAAUGGGUCACACGCGGAUCUUUGGCUAUCCAAAAUGGUGUCGUGUUGGAAGAGUAUAAAAGCCACACCACUCAGCUUUUCUUCAAAAUUAUUUGAUUAAGCCUUUCUUUCUAAAAUGUCUAUUCUUUUGUCUUCUCUCUAACUGAUUUUCAAAAAUUGACGAAUAAAUCUCAAAAGCUAAUAGGAAAUUUCCAAGAACCCAACAAGUUGUCCAGAAAGCUAAACUCAGAAGUCCCUAUAAUGCAAAACCCUAUAGAAAUUCAAACCCAAAAACACCAAAUCCCAAUCCUAGAAAAUCUGAACAAAUCAAAUCCAAGACCUAAAACCUCUUGGUUGCUAAACAAAUUUCUUUUUUUUUCUCUAGAGUUUCUGCAUAAUCUUUUUUUUUCUCCUUUCCCUUGCUUUGAUCACUGGUUUAUAUAAAAGUUCAUGCUCAAUCAAUUCUCUUUAAAUCCAUGAUUUUGUUUGAUUUUCGUUUUAAUGAGAAUUGAUUUUGAAAUCAAAUCCCAAAAAUCUCUCCCUAUCAUUUUGAUGUGAAUUGAUUAUGGAAUUAAAUCCCGACAAUCUCUCCACAUCAAAUACCAAUUGAUUCUAGAAUUAAAUUCCAAAAAUCUCUCAACUACGAUUAAACUCUGAAAAAAAUAUUCCUAGACAAAACGGGGUGUCUACAAAUGAUCAAAGUUCAAAAUUUGACAAUUUUAAAUAUGAAUUCUUUGUAUCAUCUUACAUUAUACAUGCACAUGUAAUAAUACACACAAAGCAAGUAAUAAAAAGCUAAAAACUAUCUUAUAAAAUGUGGAAAUUAUAGUGGGGAAUUGGGGGUUAGAUAAUAGGAAGCCUUAAAAAAUAUGAAUUAUUACCAAAUUACAGUAGCAUCAUCUUAAUAAAAUAAUUUUGUAAGAAACCUUUAUGAAGUAAGAGAGGGUCUAAAUUUAUAAUUGAAAAAUGAAUUAGCUAAUAAUAGGAUAGACAAAUAAUUUAAAAGAUUAAAAUUAGUAAUUUCAUAAUCAAAUAAAUGAUUUUUUUAAAAAAUUAAUGUAAAACUAUGUUUUUUAAACCAACACAAUGCAUAAAUGACAUCACAAAUUAAUCUUCAUAUAUGCCUUGCAAACAUUUUAAUAAAAUUACAAAAAACAAUUUUAAGUAUUUCCAAAAGUAAAAUCCAGAUAUAUAUCAUAUUGCUAAACACGCUAUUUCAACUUUUGAUAAUUGAAGUUACCUUCAUAAAUGAAAUCUCACUUGAAAUCCUGCCACUAAUUAACUCACUUUGAUAUUUUAAUUCUUAUCAGUGUGUAACUAUUUUUUACCUGCUGAGACCAGCAUCGGUAUAUACUUCAAUCUUUCUGUCAAACAUCUUCAAUUUUAUCAAAACCAUUUUCUUCUAUGCUUACAUAUGCGAGUGCAAACACAUUUGCGUGUGUGUAAAAAUAAAAGGAAUUAAGCGUUUAAAGUAGAUUCAUAUAUACACUAUCUGCUUUCCUCCCAAAUAUGUUUUCUUUCAAGUUUCCUCAAACCGUUUGUCAUAUUUUUAGGUAUUAAAAAUAUUAACAUAUAAUUUAUAAUAGUGCGAUCAACGUGGUCAUGGUAUUUGAUACACAUAAUAUAACUUGUAAGCAUACAAAAUUACACACAGAUUCGCAUAAAACAGGGGGUUUUAUUUUAUUUUAAUUUUAUCAUGUUUUUGAGAAAACAUGAAAGAAAAAGACCCAAAGAUAUAUAUUUAUUUUUCCUCAGUCAUAAGCACCCCCCAUACUUAGGCUGAAAGUUGAUCCAUCAGCACUUAAACGGAACCGCUGAAACCUUUAUUGUAAGCAUAUUCAAUAAGGGAAUCCAACUCAUCAUUGGUGCAGUCGAUCAAAUUGUCCUUAUUUUUAUCAGCAACGUCCAUGGCCUCUUCGACUUGCUUGUUUGGCGUGAGUGCACCUAGAUGUUGAAAAGCAUCCUUGAGCUGGUCCCUGGUGAGGCUGCCCUGCUUAGAGUAAGAUCGAAACACUUGUUCCAAUUUGUUUUUCUGAUCCUUGUUAUCCUUUGUGGCUUGCAUUGUGGAUUUUGAGGUUUGUGACCGGGUGAUAAUAGAGAGAAGGCUUGCCUAGUUUGGUUUGGUUUUCUUUUCCAAUGCAAUUUGUUUAUAUAGACCCAAAACUCUGAAUACGAUUCUGUUGAAGUGUUGGGGAAUAAAACAUUUUUUGGUGGUGGGUUUUAAAAAUUGAUUUCCAUCUUUUUUAUCAAUAAAAUAAUAAAUCAAUCAAUAAAUUUUAUAAUGAAUACUGAAAAAAAAAAUAUUCCAAGAGGAUUGGUACGAAUAAAAAUAUCAAUGUUAAUUUCUUCUUUUCUUCUGGCGUCAAAUUAACCACAGAUUGGAAAAUGCUAAAUAGCAGCCUCCACUAUCUUGUGUCCAUUUUCCAUUGUUUCAUUUGUUUUAGCCCUCAAUUUGCAGUUUUUAGGUUUUUCUUUUUUUUUUUUGGUUCCCUGAUUAAAUGAUGCAUUUUGGUCCAUUUGGUUUUAAUGAAUUUUCAGAAUUUGGUAGAUCUCGUGAAAGGAGUUCUAGGAAGUACUUUGAUGAGCGUGCUUGUAAAUUGUGAUAAUUAUUGUGUAUGAAUGUUAAGUUAUCCAAAAAUAAAUAAGUUUAGCAUUAGGACUUUCUUUCUUUUAUUGUUUGCCAUAAAUGAUUCUGGAGCAAAGCAAAAUACUGUUAAACUAAUUAUUUGCGUUGUACCACUUCCUGGAAUCAUGGCCGUAGUGGGUUAAAACUGUAUACAUGUUUCUCUCUCAUAUGUUCUUAAUCUCGGUAGGAUAGAAUUAAGUUUGGGCUAUUUCAAUUCCUUUGCACCUUUUUUCCCUUGUACUGUAAUAUUUUCUCAACCACCCUUUUGCAAGGGGAAAGCUGUAAUAUAUUAUAUAUAUAUAUAUAUAUAUAUAUAUAUUUAAAAUUAGAUAAUUUUGUAAAAAAAUUAUAUUGAUGGAAGUGUGUACAUGGUAUUCAGAUUUUAUUUUUUUCAUUUCUUCAUUUUUUAUAAAGCUUUAUUUUUAAAAAGUUCCUAAUAAAAAUUUUUACAAGAAUAAAUCAUCAUUAGUAAUAUUACAUGACAAUUCAAUUUUUUUUCCUUUUUAUUUGUUUUGAUCUUCAUUUUGAUUUUUUCUUUUUUAGUUUUUUUUUCUCCCUUUAUUUUUUAUUGGAUCAAUUGUUUCAGUGAAAAAAACUGACCGGAUGUACCCACAUGGCAUCCUAUUUUAUUUUUUGCCUUUCAUCUUUUUUUUAAUUAGAUAAAUAUUAAAAUAAAAAAAUUAAUAUAUAAAUUUUAUAAGAUAAAAAUCAAUUGAAGUAUAGACAACAAAAUAUCUUGUAUCGUAUAUGUUUCGAUUCCUAUGGAUCAAUCGGUGUGCUUUUUCUUUUUUUUUUUAAUUUAGGAUUGGAAACCAUAAAAAAUAUGAAUUAUUACCAAAUUACAAUAGCAUCAUCUACUAAAAUAAUUUUGUAAGAAACCUUUAUGAAGUAAGAAACGGAAAACUUAUAAUUGAAAAAUGAAUUAAUUAAUAGUAGGAUAGAAAAAUAAUAAAAGAUUACAAUUAGUAAUUUCAUAAUCAAAUAAAUGAAUUUUUUUAAAAUUAAUGUAAAACUAUGUUUUCUAAACCAAAGCAAUGCACAAAUGACACUGCAAAUUGAUCCUUCAUAUAUGCCUUACAAACAUUUUAAUAAAAUUACAAAAAAAAAUUUAACUAUUUCCAAAAAUAAAAUCUUGAUAUAUAUAAUUUUGCUAAAUAAGAUAUUUAAACUUUUGAUAAAUGAAGUUACCUUCAUAAAUGAAAUCUUACUUGAAAUCCUGCAACUAAUUAACUCAUUUUAAUAGUUUAAUUUUCAUUAAAGUGUAAUUUUCUUUUGCUUGCUAAGACCAACAUCAGUAUGUACUUUAAUUUUUUUGUCAAAUAGCUACAGUUUUAUCAAAAUCAUUUUCGUCUAUACUUACAUAUAUGCACGUGCAAAAACAAAUGCAUAAAUGGGUAUAAAAUUAAAAAGAAUUAAGCAUUUAAUUAGAUUCAUAUAUAUAUAUAUAUGUAUAUAUACACACACAUAUAUCUGUAUUCCUCAUAAAUAGGUUGACUUUCAAGUUUUCUCGAAACCUUUUAUCAUGUUUUUAAGUAAUAAAAAUAUUAGGGUAUGGUUCAUAAUAGUACGAUUAACAUGUUCAUGGUAUUUGAUACACACAAUAGAACUUGCAAGGAUGUAAAAUUACACAGAUUUGAAUAAAAACAGGGGAUUUUAUUUUAUUUUAAUUUUAUCAUGUUUUUGAGAUAACAUGAAGGAAAAAGACCCAAAGCUAUAUAUUUAUUUUUCAUCAGUCAUAAGCAUCCCCCAUACUUAGGCUGAAAGUUGAUCCAUCAGCACUCAAACGGAACUGCUGAAGCCUUUAUUGUAAGCAUAUUCAAUAAGGGAAUCCAACUCAUCAUUGGUGCAGUCGAUCAAAUUGUCCUUAUUUUUAUCAGCAACGUCCAUGGCCUCUUCGACUUGCUUGUUUGGCGUGAGUGCACCUAGAUGUUGAAAAGCAUCCUUGAGCUGGUCCCUGGUGAGGCUGCCCUGCUUAGAGUAAGAUCGAAACACUUGUUCCAAUUUGUUUUUCUGAUCCUUGUUAUCCUUUGUGGCUUGCAUUGUGGAUUUUGAGGUUAUGACAGGGUGAUAUUAGAGAGAAGGCUUCCCUAGCUUGGUUUGGUUUUCUUUUUCCAACGCAAUUCGUUUAUAUAGACUCAAAACUUUGAAUACGAUUCUGUUGAAGUAUAGGGGUAUAAAACAUUAUUUGGUGGUGGGUUUUAAUAAUUGAUUUCCGUCCUCUUUAUCAAUAAAAGUAUUAAAUCAAUCAAUAAAUUUUUGUAAUGAACACUUCAACCAUGAGGAUUGGUACGAAUAAAAAUAUUAAUGUUAAUUUCUUCUUUUCUUCUGGCUUCAAAUUAACCACAGAUUGAAAAAUGCUAAAUAGCAGCCUCCACUAUCUUGUGUUGUAGUGAUGAUACAAGCCUCCACUAUCUUGUGUCCAUUUUCUAUUGUUUCAUUUGUUUUAGCCCUCAAUUUGCAGUUUAGUUUUUAGUUUUUUUUUUUUUUUGUGGUUGCCUGAUUAAAUGAUACAUUUUGGUUUUAAUGAAUUUCCAGAAUUUGGUAGAUCUCGUGAAAGGAGUUCUAGAAAGCACUUUGAUGAGCAUGCUUGAAAUUUGUGAUAAUUAUUGUGAAUGAAUGUUAAGUUAUCAAAAAAUAAAUAAGUUUAGUUUUAGGACUUUCUUUCUUUUAUUGUUUGCUAUGAGCAAACUACUGUUAAACUAAUUAUUUGCAUUGUACCACUUCCAGGAAUCGUGGCUUUAGUGGGUUAAAACUGUGUCCAUGUUUCUCUCUCGUAUGCUCUUAAUCUGGGUAGGAUAGAACUAAGUUUGGGCUAUUUCAAUUCCUUCGCACCUUUUUUCCCCUGUACUGUAAUAUUUUCUCAACCGCCCUUUUCAAGGGGAAAGCUGUAAUAUAUUUUUUUUUAUAUUUUUUCUUUUUUUUAAAUUGGAUAAUUUUGUAAAAAAAUUAUAUUGAUGGAAGUGUCUACAUGUCAUUCAGAUUUAAUUUUUUGAAUCCUUUAUUUUUUUAUAAAUCUUUAUCUUUAACAAGUUCAUAAUAAAAAUUUUUACAAGAAUAGAUCAUCAUUGCUAAUAUUAUGUGACAAUUUAAUUUUUUUUUGUUUUCAUUUUCGUUUUAUUUUAUUUUUUAGUUUUUUUUCUCCCUUUAUUUUUUAUUAGAUCAAUUGUUUCAGCAAAAAAAAAAAAAAAACCCAAUGGAUAUGCCCAUGUGCCAUCUUAUUUCAUUUUUUGCCUUUCAUUAUUUUUGUAAUUAGAUAAAUAUUACAAUAAAAAAAAUCAGUAUAUAAAUUUUUUAAGAUAAAAAUCCAUUGAGGUAUAGACCACAAAAUAUCUUGUAUCUUAUAUGUUUCGUUUCCUGUGAAUCCAAUCGGUGUGCUUUUUUUUAAAAAAAAAAAAAUUUAGGAUCAGAAGCCUUAAAAAAUAUGAAUUAUUACCCAAUUAUAAUAGCAUCAUCUACUAAAAUAAUUUUGUAAGAAACCCUUAUGAAGUAAGAAACGGAAAACUUAUAAUUGAAAAAUGAAUUAAUUAAUAGUAGGAUAGAAAAAUAAUUUAAAAAAUUACAAUUAAUAAUUUCAUAAUCAAAUAAAUGAUUUUUUUAAAAUUAAUGUAUAACUAUGUUUUCUAAACCAAAGCAAUACACAAAUGACCCACAAAUUAAUCCUUUCUAUAUACCUCGCAAACAUUUUAAUAAAAUUACAAAAAAAUUUUAAUUAUUUCCAAAAAUAAAAUCUUGAUAUUUAUAAUUUUGCUAAACAAGUUAUUUAAACUUUUGAUAAUUGAAGUUAUCUUUAUAAAUGAAAUCCCACUUGAAAUCUUGUAACUAAUUAACCCAUUUUGAUAUUUCAAUUCUCAUCAAGAUAUAUCUUUCUUUUGCUGCUGAGACCAGCAACAAUAUGUACUUUAAUUUUUUUUGUCAAAUAGCCUCAAUUUUAUAAAAAUUAUUUUGUCUAUACUUAUAUAUAUGCACGUGCAAAAACAUAUGCAUAAGUGUGUGUAAAAAUAAAAAGAAUUAAGCAUUUAAAUUAGAUUGAUAUAUAUAUACACACUAUCUGCUUUCCUUCGAAAAGGUUGACUUUCGAAUUUCUUCAAACCUUUUAUCAUGUUUUUAAGUAAUAAAAAUAUUAGUGUAUAGUUUAUAAUAGUAUGAUCAACGUGUUCAUGAUAUUUGAUACACACAAUAUAACUUGCAAGUAUGUAAAAUAACACAGAUUUUAAUAAAAAUAGGGGGUUUUAUUUUAUUUUAAUUUUAUCAUCUUUUUGUGACAACAUGAAAGAAAAAGACCCAAAGAUAUAUAUUUAUUUUUCGUCAGUCAUAAGCAUCCCCCAUACUUAGGCUGAAAGUUGAUCCACCAGCACUCAAACGGAACCGCUGAAGCCUUUAUUGUAAGCAUAUUCAAUAAAGGAAUCCAACUCAUCAUUGGUGCAGUCGAUCAAAUUGUCCUUAUUUUUAUCAGCAACGUCCAUGGCCUCUUCGACUUGCUUGUUUGGCGUGAGUGCACCUAGUUGUUGAAAAGCAUCCUUGAGCUGGUCCCUGGUGAGGCUGCCCUGCUUAGUGUUGGAGAACACUACAGCUCUGAUACCAUUUGUUGGGCUAAAAGCCUCCAAUCCAAUCACACCAGCGGAAGCAAAUCAAACAAUAAAUCAAACACAAAAGAGACAAUAAUUUAACGUGAUUCGGUCCAACUACCUACAUCCACGGAUAAGAAACAAGAUCCACUAGUUGUAAAAAAUUACAAACAUACAUCAAAUCAUCAACCUCACUCAAUAAUCAAUACUCAUAAGACACUCUCAAUCUCCUCUAGUCCUAUAGAGUAUUCUCAACCCAAACAAACACAAACCCAAACCCUUAUGCACUCUUUCAACAUAAUCAAACAUAUACCCAUAUGCUCCCAUACAUCAUACCUAUGUGGACCCUCUCAGUCUCCUCUAUUCCACUCACAAACAAACAUACACACCUAUAAGACGUAGAGUCCCAAUACUCCUAUGGGGUGUCUAUCCUACAAAACCCUACAACUCUCUUACAUCUUUUUUCUCAUACCUAACCCUGUAGAGACUUCACCUAUUUAUAACCAUACAAACUUACCCAUUAAGAAUCCCUCUCCUUUUAGAAUUCUUCUCCUGUAAGUCAAACAUGCCUAUUAAGAAUCCCUUUCCUUUUAGAAUUCUUCUCUUGCAAGUCGAACUUACCUAUUAAGAAUCCUCUUUCUCUUGAAAUUCUUCUUUUGCAAGUCUUCUUGUCCAUCAAGCAAUAUCUGACAAAUCUCAAACAAAUCUCUUAUGGAAUUUGAGUCAAUAUUCCUAACAAUCUUCACCUUGACUCAAAUUCCAUCAAUUAUCUGUCUUCAUGCUAGACAUGCUUAGCUCCACCUGCAAUGGAAGUCUUACAAUCAUCUUCUCUUCUCUUGUGUCUUCACGCUUCAUACAAACCAAUCUUCAAUCUUUAAAACUCGAACUCGAACUCUUCUCUUGAAUUGAGCUCCUCUAAAUUUAUUUCUUUUCAUGUCUUAAACCAAGCUUUUCCCAUAUCUCAAACUGUCAACUAUUCUCAUGUCUCGAACUAUCGGUUCUUUCCACAUCUUGAAUCUUCAACUCUUCUCACGUUUCGAACCUUCAGCUCUGAUACCACUUGUUGGGGAACACCACAGCUCCGAUACCAUUUGUUAGACUAAAAGCCUCCAAUCCAAUCACACCAGCGGAAGCAAAUCAAACAAUAAAUCAAACACAUAAGAGACAACAAUUUAACGUGGUUCAGUCCAACUACCUAUAUCCACGGAUGAGAAACAAGAUCCACUAGUUGUAGAGAAUUACAAACAUACAUCAAAUCAUCAAUCUCACUCAACAAUCAAUACUCAUAAGACACUCUCAAUCUCUUCUAGUCCUAUAGAGUAUUCUCAACCCAAACAAACACAAACCUAAACCCUUAUGCACUCUUUCAACAUAACCAAACACAUACCCAUAUGCUCCCAUACAUCAUACCUAUGUGGACCCUCUCAGUCUCCUUUAAUCUACUUAUAAACAAACAUACACACCUAUAAGACGUAGAGUCCCAAUACUCCUAUGGGGUGUCUAUCCUAUAAAACCCUACAACUCUCUUACAUCUUUUUUCUCAUACCUAACCUUGUAGAGACUUCACCUAUUUAUAACCAUACAAACUUGCCCAUUAAGAAUCCCUCUCCUCUUAGAAUUCUUCACCUGUAAGUCAAACAUGCCUAUUAAGAAUCCCUUUCCUUUUAGAAUUCUUCUCUUGCAAGUUAAACUUACCUAUUAAGAAUCCUCUUUCUCUUGGAAUUCUUCUUUUGCAAGUCUUCUUGUCUAUCAAGCAAUAUCUGACAAAUCUCAAACAAAUCUCUAACAAAUCUCAAACAAAUCUCUUAUGAGAUUUGAGUUAAUAUUCCCAACAAUCUUCACCUUGACUCAAAUUCCAUCAAUCAUCUGUCUUCAUGCUAGACAUGCUUGACUGCACCUUAAGAAUCCCUCUCCUCUUAGAAUUUUUCUUCUGUAAGUCAAACAUGCCUAUUAAGAAUCCCUUUCUUUUUAGAAUUCUUCUCUUGCAAGUCAAACUUACCUAUUAAGAAUCCUCUUUCUCUUGAAAUUCUUUUUUUGCAAGUCUUCUUGUCCAUCAAGCAAUAUCUGACAAAUCUCAAACAAAUCUCUAACAAAUCUCAAACAAAUCUCUUAUGAGAUUUGAGUCAAUAUUCCCAACACUUAGAGUAAGAUCGAAACAGUUGUUCCAAUUUGUUUUUAUGAUCCUUGUUAUCCUUUGUGGCUUGCAUUGUGGAUUUCGAGGUUUAUGACUGGGUGAUAUUAGAGAGAAAGCUUGUCUAGCUUGGUUUGGUUUUCUUUUCCAACGUAAUUUGUUUAUAUAGACCCAAAACUCGAUUUGUAUUCCGUUGAAGUGUAGGGGAAUAAAAUCUUUUUUUGUGGUGGUUUUUAAAAUUUGAUUUCGAUUGAAAGGAAACGAUAUAAUUGUAUGACAAUUUCUUCAUUUGAAUUUUUUUUAAGUAUCCAUUUUAUUAAUAAAAUUAAUAUAUCAAUCAAUAAAUUUUUAUAAUGAAUACACAUAAACAAAUAUUCCAAGAGGAUUGGUACGAAUAAGAAUAUUAAUGUUGGCUUGAAAUUAACCACAGAUUGGAAAAUGCUAAGCGUAGUGAUAGCGGCCUCCCUUUCUUAUGUCCUAGUGAUGAUAGCAGCCUCCACUAUCUUGUAUCCAUUUUCUAUUGUUUCUUUUGAUUUUGCAGGUGAAAAGGCUAGACAAUGAAGUCAAGAGUAAGGAAUCUAAACUCUCACCCUGUCCAAAUUUGAGCUGUUUCUACACGAAAAAAGUUUUAAAAAAAUCGUCUUGUUGCUCUUGGUUGGACAGAACUUGAUCAUACACAUUGAUUUUCUAAAAACUUAUAAUUUGAAGGAAGUGUCUUGUCUGUAGGAUAAUUUGAUAUUAUUGGUUAAAAAUAUUGUUAUAACAUAUAAAUUUAUGGACCCAUCAUAGACAUAAACUUUAAGAGUCGUUACUAUUUUUUUUUUGUUUAGGUGCAAUUAACCAUUUAACUGAAUCUAUCUUAUUUAAAGAGUAUAUCUAAGAUAGACUUAGGCAUUAUAAAAAUAGACUUAGGCAUUUAAAGAGUAUAUCUAAGAUAGACUUAGGCAGUAUAUCUAAGAUAGACUUAGGCAUUCUUCUGUUUGUCAAUAGACUGAUCCUUCCCUCUCUCUCUCUUCCCUUCCUUUCCUCUCCCCUCUCUCUAAACAGACGAAGAACUCCGGUUGAAUUUCAUCAGAUUUUGGAAAAUGUCAUCGAAAUCUGGGUUUUUCACCAGAAAUUCAUCGAAAAGUUGAUCGAUUUCUGGAAAUAGUCGCCAAAAACUGGGUAGCUGAUCGAAAAAUUCAAACUUGGCCUGAAAAUUCACCGAAAAAUUUAAACUUGGCCGAAAAUUUCAAUCGAAAUCUAUAAAUUUUUCAAAAAUUUUCAGAAAAAAAUUUGCCAAAAUUCUAAAAAAAUUUUGAAAUUACUUCUGGCCCUUCUGAAGGCUUUUUUUUUUCUUUUUGCUCUUUUUCUCAGUCAGUCUCUGUGUUUCUGUUCUAGUCUUUAUGAUUCAUGGAUCUAUUUAUAGGGAUUGAUCAGAAGAGUUUCUGAUCAAUCCCAACUCUUCCUUGGAUUGGGAUUCAAUCCUUGAAUCCAAUAUAGACUCUGAUUGAAUCCUAAAUCUACGGUAGAAUUCCAAAUUUCCAUCCCAAUCUCAGCCGAAUAAAAAGAAAAAGAAAAUCAAAUCAAAUAAAAAAAUGUUAAUAGAUAAUUAAAAAAAUAAUUAGAUAAAUAAAAAUGUUAAUAGAUAAAUAAUAAUAAUAAUAAUAAUAAUAAAUAUAUAAAUAGAUAAGUAAUAAUAAAAAAAUAUAUAUUAAUAAAUAGUAAUAAUAAAUAAAUAAUAAAUAAAUACAAAAAAUACAAAAUACAUAAUAAAAACAAAAUAAAACAAAAUGAAAUGGGCUAACCCAUUUAGACCAGGCCCAAUUGAUCUGGGCUUGGACCAAAUUAAGUGUCUACAGUUGCCCCUCUUUGCAUAUUUUCUGUGAAACAGAAAUUGCGCAAAGAUGUAGACACCCAUUCAAAACUCCACUCGACCUUUUUUUUUUUUUGCUUUUUUUUGUUAAAAUUUUGAUCAAAGUUCCUCUAAGCAGAGGCUCAACGACUUUGAAAAACAUAAACAAAGCUCCUCUAAUCAGAGGCUCAAAGACUUUGAAAAUAAUAAACAAAGCUCCUUUAAUGAGAGGCUCAACGACUUUGAAAAUAAAUAAACAAAGCUCCUCUAAUCAGAGGCUUAACGACUUUUGGGGAAGUAAAUUGCUCGUCUAAUCAGAGGCUCUAUGACUUUUGGAAAGUAAAUUACUCCUCUAAUUAAAGGCUCUACGACUUUGAAAAAUAAACAAAGCUCCUCUAAUCAGAGGCUCAAUAACUUUUGAAAAUAAAUUGCUCCUCUAAACAGAGGCAUGACAACUUUGAAGAAUAGAUUGCUCCUCUAAUCAGAGGCAUCACAACUUUGGAAAAUAAAUUGUUCCUUGACAAUCAUGUUCAAAGGCGUUGAAAAUCAUGUUUGAAGGAAUUUCAGGAGAUUAUGCCCAAAGGUCUUACAAAUCAACCCUGAUACCGAGAGACAUCCUACUUUAAGGAUUAGAAACUUACCUGACAAGCUUUUUUCCCAAAUUUGAAAAUGUUUUUACAUCCGUCUUAUCUAUGUGGGAUGUUGGAAUACCCCUGCUUCUUGAAUUUAUGCACUAUAUUUUCUUGAAUGUAGUAUAUGCUAUGCAAUGCAUGUGAAAUUCAAUGCACGCUAUGUAAAUGUUGGCUAAUUAAUUCCUAUUCAAUUGUGGUACUCAAGUUUCUCAAGCUCUUUUCUUGGGCAUCACCCUUUAUUCUUCAAAGAUCAAAUUACACUACUCUUCUAAGAUCGAGCCAGUAUAGCUCUCAAUCAUCUCUUCCACUCACAUUCUUCCUGUAAGAAAUCUCUUUCCAAAUUUAAUAUCCUUAUCAGGAACUGAACAUCUCAAUUCUGCUUUUAUCACUCUUGACUUCUUCAAUGUAAUGUAAAAAUCUUUCAUGCCAUUAUUCAUUUAUCAAUCAUUAUUUCAAACUCAACAAGUAAGAAUGCAUUUGCACAUUUCUUUGAUUGUAGAGUAUUAAGAAGAAAAGAAUAAGAAUGGUUGAGAAACUGUCAACAGAAAAGGCACACAAAAAGUGAAAUAGAAUGUUUUUUUAUUAGCAAAAUGUUGGCAAACUUUGUCCAAGGAAGAAUUACAAGGAUAAGUAUAGGGAGACAAAGCCCAAAAAUGAACAAUAGGACAAUCAUGAUAACACAUCUCAAGGUUUUCUGAAAACCCAACCAUCUGAUGCAUUUAACAACUCAGAGCUCCUCCAAAUUUGCUAACCUCUACGCCAAUAGAUUUUUGAAAUUUGAUGCUAUAUUCUCCUUAUCUAAGCUACCUUUUUAGGUUUUCAACUUAGAUAAACCCCUAUGACUCAAACUGCCCUUUUAGGGUUUUUGCCUUGAGUCCUCAUUUUUCAUUCACUUUUUUUUCUUUUUUUUCAUUUUUCAUUUUUUUCAUUUUAUUUUUUCUUUUCUUUUUUUUCAAGCAUAGUAUUUCUUCACAGCAUCAAAAUUUAUAGGAUGGGGUAAAUCAUUUCCAUCCAUUUCAGUCAGUAUUAGUGUUCCACCUAAGAAAGCCUGUUUCACUACAUAUGACAUUUUCUAAUUCAGAGUCCAUUUUUCUCUAUUAUUGUGCUGGAUUGGAAGGAUUCUCUUCAAGACCAACUCUCCUUCUCGAAAGCAAUGGGGUCGAAUCUUUUUGUCAUGAGCCCUCAUCAUUCUUUUUUGAUAUAACUGACCAUGGAAUAAUGUAGUCAAUCUCUUUUUUUCUAUGAAAUUUAAUUGUUCAUAGCGUUCUCAAAUCCAUUCAGCUUUUUUCAACUCAACUUCUUUUAGAACCCUUAAGGAUGGGAUCUCCACUUCCACUAGUAGUACAGCUUCCAUCCCAUAAACCAAAGAAAAUGAGGUUGCCUUAGUAGAGGUAUGCACUGAUGUUCGAUAUGCAUGUAGUGCAAAUGAUAACUUCUCAUGCCAAUCUUUAUAAGUCUCAGUCAUCUUCUCAAGAAUUCUUUUUAUGUUCUUGUUGGCUGUCUCAACUGCCCUAUUCAUUUUCGGACGGUAUGGUGUCAAGUUAUAAUGCUUGAUCUUGUAUUGAGCACAUAUUUCUUGCAUCAUCUUACUAUUUAGAUUCUUGGCAUUAUCUAAAAUAAUUCUCUCUGAAAGUCUAUAUCUACAGAUAAUCUCUCUCUUUAUGAAUUUACAAACCACAAAUCAUGUUACAUUUGCAUAUGAUGCUGCCUUCACCCAUUUUAUGAAGUAAUCUAUUAUCACAAAAAUAAAUUUAUGCCCAUUAGAAGCCUUUGGGGUGAUAGGACCAAUGACAUCCAUGCCCCACAUUGAGAAUGGUCAGGGUGGUGCCAUAAUAUGUAAAAUAGAUGGUGGGGCAUGAAUUUUAUCAGCAUAUAUCUGGCAUUUAUGGCAUUUACGAGCAUAGUCAAUGCAAUCACUCUCCAUUGUCAACCAGUAGUAUUCUGCUCUUAUGAUCUAUCUCGUCAUCAUAUGUCCAUUGGCAUGUGCCCCACAUAUUCCAUCAUGUAUCUCUUCAAUGAUUUUUCUUGCUUCAGCCUUACUUACACAUCUUAGUAAUACUUGAUCAUGGCUUUUUUUGUACAGAACAUUCCCAUCUAGGAAAAAACUCAUAGCUAAUCUUUGGAUGACCCUUUUAUCAUUUUUUAUUGCUUGAACUAGGUAUUGUUGAUCCUUAAUAUAUUGUAAGAUAUCAUAAUACCAGGGCUUUCCAUCCUUCUCUUCUUCUACAUUAGAGUAAUGAGCUGGCAUAUCCUUAACAUCUAGCCUGAUGGGUUGAAUGUCAAUAUUGUCAUUAAUUCAAAUCAUUGCAGCCAGAGUAGCUAAGGUAUUGAUAAUCAGAUUCUUUUUUCGAGGUAAAUGAUCAAACUAGAUAUCUUUAAAUUGUUUUAUCAACUCUAAAAUAUACUUAUGAUAUGGAACGAGUUUUGAAUCUCUCGUCUCUCAUUCCUCUUUCAACUUAUAUAUAACUAGAGCUAAAUCCCCAAACAUUUUUAAUGCUUUCACUCUUCUAUCUAUAGCAGCUUGUAGGCCCAUGACACAUGCCUCAUAUUUAGCAAUGUUAUUUGUGCAAUUAAAAUUUAACCUUGCUAUUACAGGGCAGUAUUGUUCUUCUAGGGAGAUCAGAAUUGCUCCAAUUUCAUGUUCCAAGGCAUUGGUAGCUCUAUCAAAAUACAUUCUCCAACACUUUUCUCCAUGCCUUCCUUUCUUCAAUUGGAAAAUAGUUAUUAAAUCUUCAUUAAGGAAUUCUAACCUCAUUGGUUCAUAUUCUUCAGUAGCAUGAUCUGUGAGGAACUCCACUAUAGCGCCUUCUUUUAUUGUCUUUUGGCUUACAUAUAUAAUAUCAUACUCCGAGAGUAUUACUUGCCAUCUAACAAUUCUUCCAGAUAAAGAAGGCUUCUCGAAGAUGUAUUUAAUUGGAUCCAGUUUUACUAUGAGCCAUAUGGUAUGAUAGAGCAUAUACUGUCUGAGUCUUUUGGCAGUCCACGUUAAUGCACAAUACAUUUUCUCCAAUGAGGAAUACUUGGAUUCAUAUUCUGUGAACUUUUUACUCAGAUAGUAAAUAGCUCUCUCUUUUUGGUUAGACUCAUCUUAUUGCUCCAACACACAUCUCAUUGAAUUUUCACACACUGUCAAGUAUAGAAUUAAAGGUUUCCCUGGAAUAGAUGGCACCAACACUGGAGGGUUUGACAAGUAUUGCUUAAUUUUAUCAAAAACCACUUGACAUUCCUCAUUCCAUUUUCCAAGAUUAUUCUUGCAAAGAAGCUUAAAUAUGGGAUCAUAUUUAUAAGUAAGCUGAGAGAUAAAUCGAGAAAUAUAAUUCAAUCUUCUCAAAAAACCUUGAACCCCCUUUGGUGUACUCGGAGGUGACAAAUUUUAAAUGGCCCGUAUCUUGUCUGGAUCGACUUCAAUUCCUCUUUCACUGACCACAAAGCCUAGUAACUUUCCUGACUUUACCUCAAAUGUGCACUUGGCUAGGUUUAACUUAAGCUGAAACCUUCUCAAUCUCUCAAAUAACUUUCUAAGGCUGGUGAUAUGAUCUUCAUUCUCACAAGAUUUUACAAUCAUAUCGUCUACAUACACCUCAAUCUCUUUAUGCAUCAUGUCAUGGAAGAGUGUUACCAUGACCCUUUGAUAUGUUACCCCAGCAUUUUUAACCCAAAAGGUAUGACUUUGUAACAAAAGGUUCCCCACAUGAUCACGAAAGUAAUUUUUUCCAUAUCAUCUGCAGCCAUUUUUAUCUGAUUAUACCCUGAGAACCCAUCCAUAAAGGAAAAAAUUGAAUGCCUAGCCGUGUUAUCUACCAGUGUGUCGAUAUGCGGUAAAAGAAAGUUAUCCUUUGGACUAGCCUUAUUUAAAUCACGAUAGUCUGCACACAUUCAUACCUUUCCAUCUUUCUUAAGAACCGAUACUAUAUUGGCUACCCACUCUAGAUACUUAGCCAUUUGUAGAAAACCUGCAUCAAACUAUUUUUUCACCUCUUCUUUGAUCUUUAGUAGCAUUUAAGGCUUCAUUCACCUCAGUUUCUGUUGAACUGGCUUACAUUAUGAUUUUAGGGGCAAUCUGUGCUCUACUAUCUCCGUGCUCAGUCUUGACAUAUUUUGGUAAGACCAAGCAAAUACAUCCAUGAAUUUCCUAAGUAGAUCUGCCAAAUGUUGUUUAUCUUCUGAUGAAAGUGAAGUGCCAAUUUUGACAUCUUUCUUAUUCUCUUCAUCUCUCAGAUUCACCAAGUUAAUUAUCCCUGAUGAGGCUCAAUUGACUUAUUUUCUUGUUCAAUCAAUCUUAUUAGGUCUGAAAGUAUAACAUAUUCCUCAUAAUUCUCUUCAUUGUCAAGUUCAUCAGUGUUAAUUGAAUUCUCAAAACUAACCUCUUAAUUGUUAUCAUAAUUAUCUUCAUGUUUAUUUAAGGACCUAAAAUUGUAUGAAAUGAGAUAUGUUGACCAGAUGUGUUUGAAAAAAUGGCAAUAAUAAAGACACAAGAAGAAAUGAAUGAAAAUACAUCCUUCUAAAUUUUUAUUAAAAUAAUAAAAGAUAAAUGACGCAAAGAAGAAAGAUCAUCCCAAUGUCUUGGGCAAUAGCUAUUGGGAUGUUACAAUUACAUUGUAUUAGUUUCAAAAGUCACAGACACUUUAAUGGCACUGCAAUUAUUUAGCUCAUAAUUUGGUGGACCCACCUCUUUUGAUUAAGCCCUACUUCAUCUUUAAUAGCAUUAAUGGUUAACUGGGUAAAAGCCCUUUCCAUGCUUUUUUUUGUAUUUGAAUACAUGAAUCUUCCAGGUCUAAAAGUCUCAUACAGGUGUGGGAUAACCAUUAGUCUUACUGUUUUUUCUACUGGCCUUCUCUUGAUCUCUCAUUUUGCUAUCUCAUAGCCUAGGCCUAACCUUUCACUAUUGUCUAUCACUGCCGGGGGUUCUUUUAUUCCUUGCAAGUUCUUGCCCAGCCUUAAUCCUGGAUACCAGCCCUUAUUGAUGACUUGGCUUAUCACUAUCCUUGAAAAAGAUUAAUUUUUAAGUCCUUCACCUAUACAAUUAACUAAUUCAAAAGAUCGAUGAGAGCAUUCUACUACUUUUUCGAUAGCCUUUACAUACGGAGCAUUCAAGGUUGGAUCACUAGCAUGUCUUCCUCCCCAACUACCACUACUAAUUGACCUUUUACAUUAAACUUGAUCUUUUAGUGUAAGGUAGAGGGCACAGCACCUGCCAUGUGAAUCCAUGGCUUUUUUAGUAGACAACUGUAGGAAGGAGAGAUAUCCAUCACUUAAAACUUCACAUUAAAAGUGUACGACCCUAUUUGUAAGGACAUCUCGAUAUCUCUCAAGACUUCUCUUUUGGUUCUAUCAAAAGCUUUCACGAUCAUCUGACUGUCUUUCAUAUGAGAGUAGUCAAUGGGUAACCUUGCCAAAGUUAACAUAGGCAUGACGUUGAUAGCGGAGCCAUUAUCAAUAAGGACUUUAGCUAUGAUAUGGCUCUUGCACUUGACCGUGAUAUACAAAGCCUUGACAUUUCUUCUUCCCUCCGAGGAAAUUUCAUCAUCAUUGAAUGAAAUGUAAUUCAGCAUGACUAGAUUUCUAACUAGGUGGUUCACAUAUUCAACAGAUACAUUAUGUGCCACAUAUGCCUGGUUCAAUACUUUCAGCAGGGUGUUUUGAUGUGGCUUCGAAUUUAAUAACAGUGAUAGUAAUGAAAUUCAUGCUAGCAUUUUAUUCAACUAUUCAACAACUGAAUACUCACUAUGUUUUACCAGCUUCAAGAAUUCACAAGCUUUUUUUUCUAACACCGACUUCGGGCGAUCUUCCUCAGGUUCUACUUCAAGGUUAUUUCAUCCUUCUCCUUCAUUAGCCUUCUCUCUUCUAGCUUUCUCCAAUAUUUUUAGAGUGUAACAUCUUUCACUUCGGGUAAUACCUCUUACACUAGUUAUAUUGGAAGUGUCAGCUUUAGAGACAUCCCUUUUUUACCCCUGAACUACUGUAUUGCAGCCAUAUUUCUAGGGUACAGCUUUAUCAUCCUUGUAUGGGAAAGGAGUCGAAACUUUAAAAGUUAUCAGCUUGGGAAUGAGUUUAUCUAUGAUUGACUUUGGCUUGUUCCCAUAAUGAAUGGUCACCGACUUUGGAAACAGUUUUACAGGCUUAUCAGUCAUAGACACUUCAACACUUUCUAAGUCUUCUCUUUUUUCGUAAACCUUUAUCUAGUAUAAAUUUAAGAGCUUUUGCACUUUUUAGUGAAACUGCUCACAAGUUUCGAUAGAGUGACCCAUUGUCCCGCUAUGAUAUUUACAAGAAGUGCCGACUAUAUAUAUUCCAUGAUGGCUGUAUGGACUCAUUGGUUGUAUCAUGUCAGCUUUUCAUAAAAUAUCAAACAGCUGACUAAGAGGCGUUUUAAUAUCUGCCAUUUCUUUCUUUAAAUGGUGCUCUUGUUCUUCACUUAAAGCAUUCAUAUUAUGAUUAGGGAAGGGAUUGCCACUAAAAUUUGGUGUAGUCACCCCUCCUGUAUCAAAGUUAAUUAUUCCAUCCUUGAUCAAUCAUUGCACUUUGUGUUUCAGGACGGUGUGAUUUUCGAUAGAGUGACCGACAAUCCUAUAGUGAUAGUCACAAUGGGCUGUGGGAUCAUACCACUUAGGGUAAGGUAGCUUGAAGGGCUCUAAUUUACUAGGAGCAAUCAGAUGACUAUUGUAAAACUCAUGAUAUAAUUCUGUAUAGGUCAUUGGGAUUAGGUCAAAUACAAGUUUUUUGUGAGUAGUUUGUUACUCCCGUGAACCACCCAUUAGGUUAGCUAGAUGAGUUUAGGGUUUUAGGUAGGCUGAAUAUUAGGACUAUAUAUGGUAUUCUAAGGCCUAAGAGGAGGUUGAUAUGUUUGGGCAUAAGGUGACUAUGCAAAUGGUUGGUAUGGGUAAGGGGAAGUGUUAUUUACAGUAGGGUAAUAUGGAAGGUAUCCUUGUGGUGAGUAGGGUUGAUAACCUCCAAAUUAUCGUCUAUUAAAGCUCAUAGCUUGAGCUUCAGUCUCUUUCUUCUUUAGGACUCUUUUGCUAGAUGCUUCACUUCCUUUCAACUUGCCAUUCUUGAUGGCAUUCUCGAUAAUUUCUCAUGAAAUUACCAUAUUAGCAAAAUUUUUGGUUGCAUUCCCUAUCAUCUUUUCAUAAUAGAAAGGUUUCAAAGUGCUAACAAACAGCAUUGUAAUCUCUUUCUCAGUCAGAGGAGGUUGUACUUGAGAAGCUACAUCCCUUCAUUUCUAAGCGUAUUCUUUAAAAGACUCAUUUGCCUUUUUCUCCAGGUUCUGUAAAGACAAACGAUCAGAAGCCAAAUCGAUAAUAUGUCGAUAUUGAUUGAUGAAGUCAUGAGCUAUAUCACUUUAAAAAUGAAUACGGGUUCUAUCAGCUGGACAUACCACCUGGUAGCAGAGCCUGUAAGGCUAUCUUGAAAAACAUGCAUUAGUAGUUUUUCAUUAUGUGCAUGGGCUGCCAUCUUUCGACAAUACAUGGUGAUAUGAGUUUUUGGGCACUUCGUAUCAUCAUAUUUCUCAAAUUCUGGUACUUUGAACUUUGGUGGAAUGACUACAUUCGAGACUAAGCAUAGCCCAGCAGCAUCAACAGAACCAUAAAAUCCAAUUCCUUCUACGGCUUGUAAUCUUUAUUCAAACAUACUAAUCUUUAGAUCUUCCUGAGACUCUGCCACUUUUGCUUUCUCUUUAUUUUUCAAGUCAUCUAGAUUAGGAAUCGGUUCUAUUGCCUUUUCAAUAAAGAUAGAAUUUACAUAGCUAUGGUAAUGCCUUGGAUUGGAGGCUGAUAGCAUUCCAGGAUAUGUAAGAUAUGCGAAGUAUUGUGGUGAAACCUCUUGUGUAGACUAGGCUUGAGGUGGACCAAAACCUGAAGGAUAUAAAAGGUCAGCCACUUUUUGUAAUGGGGGAACUUGUUGGUUUGUAUUUUCUUCUAUUCCUUUUCCCUUAUUCAGCUUAUUGAGAGCAUCUAAAAUCUUGCUCAACUCAUUUUCAAUCUUUUCCUGUGCUUUCUCUAGCUUUUCAAAUCUGUGAGAGUUUUUCUGCUCCAUUUGUCUGACUCUGGCUUUUGUGUUGUAUCGAUGGAUAGGGUUCUCGCUAGAUGGAGUUAUCCUUGAACCUUGAGUACCAUAUCUUAGAAUUAGUAAAUUUGCAUGACUAUCUCAUGGUUACUUUGUUAAGUGUAAUGAGUGAGAAUGCAAUGAAUGAGAAUGCAUGUAUGCAAAGAACAUUUGCCUUAAAGAUGGUAUUUAACUAAAAGAUUUCAUUUAUUCCAAAAAACUUUUAUUUACAUUGAGUUUAUCAGCCUAAAAUUAUAACCAUAAAAUUGUUUGAUCUGUUUAUAUUGGGCCUUGGCUUUUUCGAUAAAGUUUAAUAGACGCUACCCAUGCUCUCUUACUGGGGUCACCACUUGUUUUAAUACCUCUGCCUCUUCUACCAUCUCUCUUGCCUUGCAUACCCCUUUACAAAUUUGGGUCGUUAGGUACUCAAUAUAUUUCUAUCUUCUUAAGUUCUCUCUUUUACCAUACCAGACUUGAUAUGAUAACUGUCUAUCCUCCCUAACUAAUGCAGCAAUAUGGUCUUUUUGUUCAUUCAACUUUUAUCUCAGCCUGCUUAGAUAACUAUUCAGCAUGUUAUUCUCUAUCUAGACUUAGGUACUUUCUUCUUCCAAUUCAGCAUAUUUUUGUUUCAAUCUUGCAUUCUCUUCAGUUAGCUCAAUAAUCAUUAUCUCUUUGGCCCUUUCUCUCACGCAUAAUCUCUUAUAUUUUGAUAUAGCUCUGCUAGGUCUUUAAUAGUCGUAUCAUGUUCUCUAACAAUCUUACAAACUUUGGCUUCAUGUCUUUCAGCUCUAUCUUUCCACUAGUCUUUUUCUUCUUGAAGCUUCUGGAUUUCUUACUUUAACUUACCCUUUUCAUACUCAAAUUUUUUUGUCGCAAGCUCUAAUUCUGAUGGUGUCUCUUCAAGCUUUCCUCUUGUUGGCGGUUGAAAGCUUUCAUAAGUGAAUACCAUUUCUUGUUUUCAUUUUGCUCUCCAAACCAAAUACCCUGGAGUGACUUUAUCAGUAAACGAUCCAAGACUCACUCUUCGGGGAUUUUUCCAUGCUUUAAUCAUCUCAUUCAUCUUUUGAAAUACUUUUGGCUCACUGUAAGAGAAAUCUAAUUAAUGAAGCCCAUACGUCAUAGGAAUAAACUGUUCUGCCCCAAACUACCUUUUCACUGGGAGUGAUGCAUAAUUUGUCGCUCCCUAUAAACCCAGAAGUGGGGCCACUAUAUUUAUCCCCACAUUGAUACAACAUAGGCUCACGAUUCAUCUAUGGGGCCAACCAUCUUACUGUGGCACUGGUCAAUUUUUAUAGGAAAGUUAUCCAUUCUUUUUUAGAUUUUCAUUCUGACCACCCACUUUCACAGAAUUCUUUGAUCAGAGCUCGAUUACGAACAUAAAGCUUUGAGAAAGCACCUUUUCUCCAUUCAAAAUGGCUUUUCAUCCAUAAGUAUAACAACUGUAUGCAACCUAUAAAGCGCCCUCCAUUCCGACGGUAGUAAUUCAAAGAUCUGAUAGUCUCUACUAAUAUUAUGGUUGAAGGAUUACAGCCAUUGAUCACACUCUCGAAGAAGUCAACCACCUUUAUCUCAAUAUAACCCAAAACCUUUGAGAAGAUCACCUUUCCAUAUAUAGCUAAGGCAAAUACAUCUAACCCCCGUUCUUCGUUGGCAUGUUGCAAUAGAAACUCAUGAAAGAACUUCCACGGUAGGCAAACCUGUUCUUGUUUCUUCUUUAUAUGAGAAUCCACAACUUCUUUGUCUAUCCUCAUGAGUUAAGCUAAACCAUUACAAAAUCCUGACUUGUGUUUUUUGACAUAUAUCUUAUCGGGAGCCUUGAGGUGCAAACCCAACAAAGUUGAAUAUUCUUUGAUGGUUGUGUCAUAUCAACUUCAUUGAAGAUGAAAUACUUGUAUGCAGGAUCCCAAAAUUAUGCUACAGCUCUGAUUAGUUGAUCGUCGAUAACUACUGCUAGAAGGUGUGCUAUAUGCCCAUGUCUCUGGCAAAACUGCUCUUGUCUUGACGAACUCAUCUUCUUCCAUAAAUCAACCAAGUCCUCUAGAUUAUUUUGUUUGAGAAGGAUAGAUGUUUCUUGAGACAAGGUAGAAUCAUAUCCGAUUGAUAAACAAUCCCCCAUCUUCAGUUGAAUCUUUUUUUACUGGACCAUUACUUCGUUGGGUGACUCACAAGGUGCUAAUACAGAUGAAGAACAAACUAGUUGUUUUAUGGAGUCCAUGAAAAAUUUUUGUAAAAGACCGUCUUUCAAGCAAAUGUUCUUUAUGCAACUUUAUGAUAUAAGCAUGAACCGAUGCAAAAGAAUGAGAGAAAAGGUUAGUAUGCUCAGAAAAAAAAAGAAUAAAUAAAUAACUAAGUAAAUUAAAAUAUCACACAGAAUAAGAGGAAUGAAUCCUAUGCUUUUGGUUAAUUCUAAAAAGGAAGAAUAAUGGCUCUAUCUAUAGGUUAGGCACUCUUAAGGUUCACUAUAUGUGGUUUGAUGUUAAAGUCUAAAGGUUCCUAAAUUACUCCUUACAUCAUUGUCCAUCACAGACUAGUAAGGCACCCUAAUCCUCACCCAUUACAAGCUACAAGCGAAAAAGGUUCAAUUUGAGUGGGAGUAUUUCGUUAGUCACUGUAGAGGCAUUAGACCUCACGAAAGUAAUAGGUACUUUACUCCCUUAUAGAGGCACGGAGCUCGGGUAUAGAGCUCAUGUUAUGCAUAUGCAUAUGAAUGACAUAAUUAAUAAAGUAAAUAAACAUGAAUGAAUAAAAGAAUCUAUACAAAAGGUUCAAUUUUAUUGGGCUUUUGGAUAACAUAAAUUUAUUUGCUGGCCUAACUCUCAGACAUCCCCAGUGGAGUCUCCAAGCUGUCAUAACAUCUAAAUUCAGGGAUCUAUCACUAGACAUUGACUUAAGGAGUUGCCACCAAUCUUUUUUAUCUAGGUGUGAUUAGCCACCUAAGGAAUCUAUCUUUUCAGGGAACACCUAAGUUUAAGGGUCCCUAAAAGAAUAGGUUCAAGUCUACUAACCAGAAUAGGGUUCGAGAGUUCGGUUACGUGUGAGGAAGGUUAUAGCACCCUCACAACGCCCAUCGAAAGAUGGUACCAGCUUAAUUUUGUGUUAUCCAAUAAGCCUUAAAAAUUUACCAAGUAAUUAAUUAUUGAAAAUUAUUCUCAAUUGACUCUAAUACUUUUAGCAAAAAUUUGAAAAAAUUUUCUCACCUCAAGAGUAUGCAAGAAAACUACUAUUUCACUUGUAGAGGCUCCAUCGUCGGAUUAUUUAACAUUAAAGAAAAUUCAAGAAAAUAAAAAGGAAAAAAAUGAUUGCUUUAGAUAUAAACUCUUUUCUCUUCAAGAAUUCAGUGCUUUUAUACAAGAAAAAUUUAUAUUUUCAACUUUUCCUCAAAAAUUCAUUUUUGAAAACUUAUUUUUAAGUAAAAUUGAUACUUUCAACUUUUUCCCAAAAAUAUUCUUUCUCAAAAAUAUAUUUUAGAAAGAUUAUUUUCAAGAAAAAAUGAUACUUUCAACUUUUCCCCAAAAAUAUUUUUUAGAAAUACUUAUUUUCAAGGAAAAUUGAUACUUUCAACUUUUUUCAAAAAUAUUUUUUAAAAAGCUUAUUUUCAAGGAAAAUUAAUACUUUCAACUUUUCCUCAAAAAUUUUUUUAGAAAAACUUAUUUUCAAGGAAAAUUGAUACUUUCAACUUUUUCCCAAAAAUAUUUUUAGAAAGCUUAUUUUCAAGGAAAAUUGAUACUUUCAACUUUUCCUCAAAAAUAUAUUUUUUUGAAUUUUAUUUAAAGAAAAUAAUAAAAAUAAAAAUAAAAAUAAAAAUAAAAAUAAAAUAAAAUGAGAUAAAAUAAGAAAUACUAAAUAAUUCUAAUCUAAUCAAUAAAUAAUAAUAAAUAAAUAAAUAAAUAAAAACCUAAAAACGGCUCGGCUUAGCAGCUCGGCUCGGCUCAGCUCCGUACUCGGGUCACACGUGGGUCGUAAGCGAGUUGGCACUCAGGUCGGGUUGCCCAAUUUCAAAACGCGCAGAUCCUCUAAGAACAGUUACGCCAAAAUGAUGUCGUUUUCAACAAGUAUAAAAGGCUAAUUCCUUUAUUUUUCAGUAGAUCGAUCCUUCCCUCUCUCUCUUUCCUUCCUUUCCUUUCCCCUCUCUUUAAACAGAUGAAGAACUCCAGUUGAAUCUCGUCGAAUUUUGGAAAAUGUCAUCGAAAUCUGGGUUUUUUUGUUGAAAGUUCAUCAAAAAGUUGGUCGAUUUUUGAAAAUAGUCGUCGAAAACUGGGUAGCUGACCGAAAAAUUCACCGAAAAAUUCAUCGAAAAAUUCAAACUUGGUCGAAAAAUUCAAUCGAAAUCUGAAAAUUUUCCAAAAAUUUCCAGAAAAAAAAUUCACCAAAAUUCUAAAAAACAUUUGAAGUUGCUUCUGGCCCUUUUGAAUGUUUUUUUUUUUCUUCUCGCUCUUUUUUUCAGUCAGUCUCUGCGUUUCUGUUCUAGUCUUUGUGAUUCGUAGAUCUAUUUAUAUGGAUUGAUCAGAAGAGUUUUUGAUCAAUCCCAACUUUUCCUUGAAUUGGGAUUCAAUCCUUGAAUCCAAUAUGGACUCUGAUUGAAUCCCAAAUCCACGGUAGAAUUUCAAAUUUCCAUCCCAAUCCCAGUCGAAUAAGAAGAAAAAGAAAAUCAAAUCAAAUAAAAAAAUGUUAAUAGAUAAUUAAAAGAAAAUAAUUAGAUAAAUAAAAAUGUUAAUAGAUAUAUAAAUAGAUAAGUAAUAAUAAAAAAUAUAUAUUAAUAAAUAGUAAUAAUAAAUAAAUACAAAAAAUACAAAAUACAGAAUAAAAAAUAAAAUAAAACAAAUUGAAAUGGGCUGACCCAUUUGGACCAGGCCCAAUUGAUUCGAGCUUGGACCAAAUUGGGUGUCUAUAAAAUUCUUUAUUAGUUUGGUUAAAUUCAUAAUUGAAAUUUUCUAAACCAAUGAAAUAAAAAAUUCAUAAUUUAAAACUCACAAUCUUUAAAUUUUAUUUGAAAUGUACAUAAAAAAGUAAAAUAAAUGAAUAAAUAUAUAAAUAAACAAAAUGUAAAAAUUACCCUAAUGGAUGGAGACAUGCCUAGGUUGAAGUAUCUCUUGAUCUAUGGUAACAGAUAAUCACCAAAGAGCUCUACCACCAAUUUGAACCUAAGAGCUAGGGUAUAGAUUGCUACUCAUCCAUUUCUUGGUGGGUUUUCCUUUUUUUCUCCCCCUUUUUUUUUGUAUUUUCUUGAUUGGUGUUUAUAUUACGCCUUUUGCUAAGAGUUUUAACGAUUUGCAUUGAAUGAAAAGGAUUGCAAAUCAGAUUAUACUCUGAACUGAUUUUUUCUUGAUUCUCUUUAAAAUUUAUUUAAUUAAUUUCUAGAAUUGUCUCAAUUUUCCUUGAUUUUUAGAGUCCCUUAAAACUUCCCAAACUAAAUUUGACUUUGAUUCCUUGAUUUGCUUUCUUUUCAACCUUCCUUUAAUAUUUGAAGAGAUCGUGUUUUAGUUUUAAUUGUCGAGAUCAUCCUUGAUUAGUGCUCAAAUUACUCCAUAAAUUUUAUUGACAUGAUUUAUGAUGAAAAUUUAAAAUAAAAUAAAUAAAAAGAGUAAAACAUAUAAAUAAAUAAGAUAUAAAAAGAUAUAAAAAGAAAUGAAGGAAAUUGGACAAUUGGGCUUAGUUUGAGCCCCGAACUAAAUAGGGUGUCUAUAGUUAGCCCUCUUUGCAUAGUUUUUGUAAAAUAGAAAUUAUGCAAAGAUAUAGAUAUCUAUUACGUUCAAGCCCAAAUUAUUCAAUUAUUUUCUUUUUUUUAAAGGCUCUUAAAAAUGAAGGCACACAACUUUUUAAAAAAUUAAGGACGACACCCAAAGGUUUUGAUAAUCAUGCCCAAAGGUCUUAUAGAUCAUGUCCAAAGAGCUUGAAAAUUAAGCCCGAACGUCUUACAAAAUCAUUCAUUAAAAAAUGCUCAUUUAAAUAAAGGCUACACAACUAUUAAAAAAGUACCUAAAAGUUUUAAAAGAUCAUACCCAAAGGUCUUAGAGAUUAUGCUCGGAGUUCUUACAAAUCUUGACUCUAAAAUAAAUUCAACUCGAAAGACUUACAAAUCUUCCCUAAAGGACUUAGAGAUUAUGCUCGGAAGUCUUACAAAUCUCGAUCUUAAAAUAAAUUCAACUCGCAAGACUUACGAAUCUUGCCCAAAUGACUCAGAGAUUACACUUAGAAGUGUUACAAAUCUUGACUUUAAAAUAAAUUCAGCUCAAAAAACUUAUGAAUCUUGUCCAAUGACAUAUAAAUUAUAAUCAGAGGUCUUAUAAAUCUCGACUCUAAAAUAAAUUCAAGUCAGAAGACUUACGAAUCUUACUUGAAGGACUUGGAGAUUAUGUGUAGAGGUUUUACAAAUCUUGGAGAUUAUGCCUAGAGGUCUUACAAAUCUUAACUCUAAAAUAGAUUCAGCUAUGGAGAUUUAUGAAUAUUGCCUAAAAAACUUCGAGAUUACACCCGAAGGUUUGAUAAAUCUCAACUCUAAAAUAAAUUCAGCUUGAAAGACUUAUGAAUCUUACCUAGAGGUCUUACAAAUUAAACUUCAAAAAAGCUUAUUUAAAAUGAAUGUUCAACCACUUUAAAGAGAAAAAAGAUAUUUGGAGGUUUUAAAAAUCAUGCUCGGAAGUCUUAUAGAUAUUGCUUGAAGGACUUUUAAAAUAGUUUAAUAGUUUUGAAGGUGUUGCCAAAGGGUUCAUAAAAAAAAUUAUCCGAAGGUUUUUUAAGACUAAUACUUAAAAAUUUUAACAAAUUUACCUUGAGGUAAAAUCUUGUUUGAUCAAAGUUUCGAUUUUUAUCAAAAAUUUAAGUCAACAUCUCUUUCCCCUAAAAAAUAUAAAUGCACAUAUAAAAUAGAUGUGAUGUAUACUAUGUAAAAAAUGCAUGAAGUGCAAUGAAUUAAAUGCAUGAAUUUUAUACCAAAUGUCCUUAAUUGUGGUAAUAGGUUUAUCAAAACUUUUUCUUCCUUCCAUCUUUCCAUAACAUAUCCUCUGAAUUACUUGACAAGUUCUUUCAUUCCCUAAAGUAGACAUUCUCAACAUUUUCAUUCUUGAAAACUAUUCUUCUCUUCUAGUGAGUUGUUUUAAUUUCGAUCCCUUGCAUUUGGUAUUUUUUUGUCCCAAAAAGGUCUUUUAUAGCAUUCACUUGUCUCCCACCCUAAGCAUUAAGAUCCACUAUAUUUUGAACAUUUUUCAAAACUUCCCAUGAAUAGCAAUAGAAAUUGCCCCAGAUAUCUCUCUUCUACAUGUGAUCAAAUCUUUUAAAAAUUGAUGAUUACUACUUAGGAUAAGGAUGAUGAAUCAUAAUUUUGGUCUUCCAAAAGGAUGUAAUGGUUUGGCACCCCUUUCAGUUCUUGAUAUAUGGUAUUUUAAUAAAUAUCAAGAACAACUAUGUUAGGUUCAAAUUUUCAAGUUUGAAAAAAGAACAAGGCCUAAAUUCUAGAAGGAAUCUUCAUAUUGAGAUCAAUCUUUUUGGGCCUUUAAAGAAAAGUCUUCUUGGUGCUACAUGAAAAGUCAUGAGUUGCUUUCAGAGUUUCAAUCUUGCUUUAGGCUGCCCUUUCAAGUUUUCACCCUGAAACUUCAUUAUUUUCUCUUUUUUUUUAUGAUAUUCCAUCAUGCAUUUGAGCAUUCAAAAUUUAUCAAAAAGUGAUGGUGAUUUCCUAAAGAAAAACUCAUUAAUUUAGAUAUCCAUACUUGAUCAAAAUAGACUUUUUAAAGGACGUAAUGUGGGCUGAGGUUUAAGGUUUUAAAAAAAGCAUAAAUAGGCCCAAAGAAUGUAUUUAUAGGUGAUCAAACCAAAUAUCAUUUAUUUUUUAGAAACAUAUUUCCUUUUUUCAAAGAUGCAUUUUCUCUUUUCUCUCUUUUUUUCUUCUUUUCUUUUCUUCUCUUUUUUUUUUCUUUUGCAUGAGCUUAAAAUUUUUUAAACUCAUCUUAUUUCAAGCUUGCUUCUUAACAUAAGGCAUUAUUUGCUAACCCUCAGCACAAGAUUAGAUGCCAUCUUGAUGAGAUCCUUUUUCUCUUAAACUUGUCCCCAAAAUUUAAAGGUUGAUCCCUAGUUAAGGUUCAUUCGAAAGAAUAAUCAAAGGUUUAAAAAAGGUAGCAAAUGGAUUUUUUUUCUUUUAUGAAGGGAAUUUAAAAGAUAACCAUUUUUCAUUUCAAGUAUGGAUACCUAUUGAAAAGCAGUCCUUAAGAGACAACUUGUUUCUGAUUGAUUUUAGGUUCAUUUGAAUGCCCCACAAGCAUGAUUUCAUAAUCAACUCUCUUUUCUUUUUUUUUUUUUUUGUAAUUCAUGCAUUUUAUUAAUUUAUUCCAAGAAAAAGUAAAUCUCCAAAUAGUUUGGUAGGACUUACUUUGAAGCAAUCCUCUAAUAGUUUAAAGGAUAAAAUUUCUUUAUUUAUUUGAAAAGACCUUUUUUUUUAUUGAAAAGAUUUUUUAAUUAUUUUUUAUUAUUUUGAAAAUUUUAUUUUCCAAAAUUUUUUUGUUUGAAAAGAUUUUUUUAAGAAUUACUUUUUUUUCUUUUUUUACUUUUAGAAAUAAAAAUGGAAAAAAUAACAUUUUUUUUAAAAAAUAAAAAAUGGGUUAAAAAUAAAAUAAAAUAAAAUAAAAUUAGAAAAUAAAAAAAAAUAGAAAAGAAAAAACCUGCGAUCAGGUCGGGUCAGUACCAAGGUCAAAACGCGGGUCAAUGAGUCACGUGCGGAUCCUUGGCUAUAUAAAAUGGUGUCGUGUUAGAAGAGUAUAAAAGCCACACCACUCAGCUUUUCUUCAGAACUAUUUGAUUAAGCUUUUCUUUCUAAAAUGUUUAUUCUUUUGUCUUCUCUCUAAUUGAUUUCCAAAAAUUGACGAAUAAAUCUCAAAAGCUGAUAGGGAAUUUCCAAGAACCCAACAAAUUAUCUAGAAAGCUAAACUCAAAAGUUCCUGGAAUGCAAAACCCUACAGAAAUUCAAACCCAAAAACACCAAGUCCCAAUCCUAGAAAAUCUAAACAAAUCAAAUCCAAGACCUAAAAUCUCUUGGUUGCUAAAAAAAUUUCUCUUUUUUUUUCUCUAAAAUUUCUGCAUAAUCUUUUUUUUUUUCUCCUUUCCCUUGCUUUGAUCACAGGUUUAUAUAAAGGUUCAUGCUCAAUCAAUUCUCCUUAAAUCCAUGAUUUUGUUUGAUUUCCGUUUUAAUGAGAAUUGAUUUUGAAAUCAAAUCCCAAAAUUCUCUCCCUAUCAUUUUAAUGUAAAUUGAUUAUGAAAUUAAAUCCCAACAAUCUCUCCACAUCAAAUGCCAAUUGAUUUUGGAAUUAAAUUCCAAAAAUCUCUCAAGUAUGGUUAAACUCCGAAAAAAUAUUCCCAGAUAAAAUGGGGUGUCUACAAAUGAUCAAAGUUCAAAUUUUGACAAUUUUAAAUAUGAAUUCUUUAUAUCAUCUUACAUUAUACAUGCACAUGUAAUAAUACAUACAAAGCAAGUAAUAAAAAGCUAAAAACUAUCUUAUAAAAUGUGGAAAUUAUAGUGGGGAAUUGGGGGUUAGAUAAUAGGAAGCCUUAAAAAAAAAUGAAUUAUUACCAAAUUACAGUAGCAUCAUCUCAAUAUAAUUAUUUUGUAAGAAACCUUUAUGAGGUAAGAGAGGGUCUAAAUUUAUAAUUGAAAAAUCAAUUAGCUAAUAGUAGGAUAGAAAAAUAAUUUAAAAGAUUACAAUUAGUAAUUUCAUAAUCAAAUAAAUGAUUUUUUAAAAAAUUAAUGUAAAACUAUGUUUUUUAAACAACGCAAUGCAUAAAUGACAUCACAAAUUAAUCCUUCAUAUAUGUCUUGCAAACAUUUUAAUAAAAUUACAAAAAAAAAAUUUAAGCAUUUCCAAAAAUAAAAUCCAGAUAUAUAUCAUAUUGCUAAACAUGCUAUUUCAACUUUUGAUAAUUGAAGUUACCAUCAUAAAUGAAAUCCCACUUGAAAUCCUGCCACUAAUUAACUCACUUUGAUAUUUUAAUUCUUAUCAGUGUGUAACUAUUUUUUACCUGCUGAGACCAGCAUUGGUAUAUACUUCAAUCUUUUUGUCAAACAUCUUCAAGUUUAUCAAAACCAUUUUCUUCUAUGCUUACAUAUGCGAGUGCAAACACAUUUGCGUUUGUGUACAAAUAAAAGGAAUUAAGCAUUUAAAGUAGAUUCAUAUAUACACCAUCUGCUUCCUCCCAAAUAUGUUUGCUUUCAAGUUUCCUCAAACCGUUUGUCAUAUUUUUAGGUAUUAAAAAUAUUAACAUAUAAUUUAUAAUAGUGCGAUCAACGUGGUCAUGGUAUUUGAUACACAUAAUAUAACUUGUAAGCAUACAAAAUUACACGCAGAUUCGCAUAAAACAGGGGGUUUUAUUUUAUUUUAAUUUUAUCAUGUUUUUCAGAUAACAUGAAAGAAAAAGACCCAAAGAUAUAAAUUUAUUUUUCAUCAGUCAUAAGCACCCCCCCAUACUUAGGCUGAAAGUUGAUCCAUCAGCACUUAAACGGAACCGCUGAAACCUUUAUUGUAAGCAUAUUCAAUAAGGGAAUCCAACUCAUCAUUGGUGCAGUCGAUCAAAUUGUCCUUAUUUUUAUCAGCAACGUCCAUGGCCUCUUCAACUUGCUUGUUUGGCGUGAGUGCACCUAGAUGUUCAAAAGCAUCCUUGAGCUGGUCCCUGGUGAUGCUGCCCUGCUUGGAGUAAGAUCGAAACACUUGUUCCAAUUUAUUUUUCUGAUCCUUGUUAUCCUUUGUGGCUUGCAUUGUGGAUUUUGAGGUGUGUGACCGGGUGAUAUUAGAGAGAAGGCUUGCCUAGCUUGGUUUGGUUUUCUUUUCCAAUGCAAUUUGUUUAUAUAGACCCAAAACUCUGAAUACGAUUCUGUUGAAGUGUUGGGGAAUAAAACAUUUUUUGGUGGUGGGUUUUAAAAAUUGAUUUCCAUCUUUUUUAUCAAUAAAAUUAAUAAAUCAAUCAAUAAAUUUUAUAAUGAAUACUUAAAAAAAUAUUCCAAGAGGAUUGGUACGAAUAAAAAUAUUAACGUUAAUUUCUUCUUUUCUUCUGGCUUCAAAUUAACCACAGAUUGGAAAAAGCUAAAUAGCAGCCUCCACUAUCUUGUGUCCAUUUUCUAUUGUUUCAUUUGUUUUAGCCCUCAAUUUGCAGUUUUUAGGUUUUUCUUUUUUGGUUCCCUGAUUAAAUGAUGCAUUUUGGUCCAUUUGGUUUUAAUGAAUUUUCAGAAUUUGGUAGAUCUCGUGAAAGGAGUUCUAGGAAGUACUUUGAUGAGCAUGCUUGUAAAUUGUGAUAAUUAUUCUGUAUGAAUGUUAAGUUAUAAAUUAUAUUUUAAAUUAGAUAAUUUUGUAAAAAAAUUAUAUUGAUGGAAGCGUGUACAUGGUAUUCAGAUUUUAUCUUUUCAUUUCUUCAUUUUUUUAUAAAGCUUUAUUUUUAAAAAGUUCCUAUUAAAAAUUUUUACAAGAAUAAAUCAUCAUUAGUAAUAUUGCAUGACAAUUCAAUUUUUUUUUCCUUUUUAUUUGUUUUGAUUUUGAUUUUUUCUUUUUUACUUUUUUUCUACUUUAUUUUUUAUUAGAUCAAUUGUUUCAGUGAAAAAAACUUAUCGGAUGUGCCCACAUGGCAUCCUAUUUUAUUUUUUGCCUUUCAUCUUUUUUUAAUUAGAUAAAUAAUACAAUAAAAAAAUCAAUAUAUAAAUUUUAUAAGAUAAAAAUCAAUUGAAGUAUAGACAACAAAAUAUCUUGUAUCCGAUAUGUUUCGAUUCCUAUGGAUCAAUCGUUGUGCUUUUUCUUUUUUUAAUUUAGGAUUGGAAACCUUAAAAAAUAUGAAUUAUUACCAAAUUACAAUAGCAUCAUCUACUAAAAUAAUUUUGUAAGAAACCUUUAUGAAGUAAGAAACGGAAAACUUAUAAUUGAAAAAUGAAUUAAUUAAUAGUAGGAUAGAAAAAUAAUUUAAAAGAUUACAAUUAGUAAUUUCAUAAUCAAAUAAAUGAAUUUUUUUAAAAUUAAUGUAAAACUAUGUUUUCUAAACCAAAGCAAUGCACAAAUGACACCACAAAUUGAUCCUUCAUAUAUGCCUUACAAACAUUUUAAUAAAAUUACAAAAAAAAAAAUUUAACUAUUUCCAAAAAUAAAAAUCUUGAUAUAUAUAAUUUUGCUAAAUAAGGUAUUUAAACUUUUGAUAAAUGAAAUUACCUUCAUAAAUGAAAUCUUACUUGAAAUCCUGCAACUAAUUAACUCAUUUUAAUAGUUUAAUUUUCAUUAAAGUGUAAUUUUCUUUUGCUUGCUAAGACCAACAUCAGUAUGUACUUUAACUUUUUUGUCAAAUAGCUACAGUUUUAUCAAAAUCAUUUUCGUCUAUACUUAUAUAUAUGCACGUACAAAAACAAAUCCAUAAAUGUGUGUAAAAUUAAAAAGAAUUAAGCAUUUAAUACGAUUCAUAUAUAUAUAUAUAUAUAUAUAUAUAUAUACACACACACAUCCACACACUAUCUGUAUUUCUCAUAAAUAGGUUAACUUUCAAGUUUUCUCGAAACCUUUUAUCAUGUUUUUAAGUAAUAAAAAUAUUAGGGUAUGGUUCAUAAUAGUACGAUUAACAUGUUCAUGGUAUUUGAUACACACAAUAUAACUUGCAAGCAUGUAAAAUUACACAGAUUUGAAUAAAAACAGGGGAUUUUAUUUUAUUUUAAUUUUAUCAUGUUUUUGGGAUAACAUGAAGGAAAAAGACCCAAAGCUAUAUAUUUAUUUUUCAUCAGUCAAAAGCAUCCCCCAUACUUAGGCUGAAAGUUGAUCCAUCAGCACUCAAACGGAACUGCUGAAGCCUUUAUUGUAAGCAUAUUCAAUAAGGGAAUCCAACUCAUCAUUGGUGCAGUCGAUCAAAUUGUCCUUAUUUUUAUCAGCAACGUCCAUGGCCUCUUCGACUUGCUUGUUUGGCGUGAGUGCACCUAGAUGUUGAAAAGCAUCCUUGAGCUGGUCCCUGGUGAGGCUGCCCUGCUUAGAGUAAGAUCGAAACACUUGUUCCAAUUUGUUUUUCUGAUCCUUGUUAUCCUUUGUGGCUUGCAUUGUGGAUUUUGAGGUUAUGACAGGGUGAUAUUAGAGAGAAGGCUUGCCUAGCUUGGUUUGGUUUUCUUUUUCCAACGCAAUUCGUUUAUAUAGACCCAAAACUUUGAACACGAUUCUGUUGAAGUGUAGGGGUAUAAAACAUUAUUUGGUGGUGGGUUUUAAAAAUUGAUUUCCGUCCUCUUUAUCAAUAAAAGUAUUAAAUCAAUCAAUAAAUUUUUGUAAUGAACACUUCAAAAAAAAUUCCAUGAGGAUUGGUACGAAUAAAAAUAUUAAUGUUAAUUUCUUCUUUUCUUCUGGCUUCAAAUUAACCACAGAUUGAAAAAUGCUAAAUAGCAGCCUCCACUAUCUUGUGUUUCGUUUAUUUUAGCCCUCAAUUUGCAGUUUAGUUUUAGUUUUUUUUUUUUUUUUUUUUUUUUUGUGGUUGCCUGAUUAAAUGAUACAUUUCGGUUUUAAUGAAUUUCCAGAAUUUGGUAGAUCUCGUGAAAGGAGUUCUAGAAAGCACUUUGAUGAGCAUGCUUGAAAUUUGUGAUAAUUUUUACUAAGAAUUUUUACAAGAAUAGAUCAUCAUUGCUAAUAUUGUGUGACAAUUUAACUUUUUUUUUGUUUUCAUUUUCGUUUUAUUUUUUUUUUAGUUUUUUUUCUCCCCUUUUUUUUUAUUAGAUCAAUUGUUUCAGCAAAAAAAAAAAAAAAAAACCCAAUGGAUAUGCCUAGAGUGUAACGAGCGACGUUGACCGAAUCGUGAGAAGCUUGACUUGAGGCUCGGAGCUCGACCACACCUCCGGGGCUCGAUACUAUGGCUCGAUUGUAUUGCGUGAUCGAAUCGAGCUAUUCGAGCUCGCUCGAUUAAGUUUCGAUUAAUAUGUUCAAAAAAAAGCUCGAUUCGUAUCUCGAUAAGAGUCUUGAUUUAAUUCAUGCUCGAAUUCAAAAAUCGAAUAUUUUAUUAAUUAAUAAUAAUAAAAAAUUUCUAAAUUAUAAGCUCGACUAAGCUCGCGAGCUACUCGAGUUAGAUAUAAGAAUACUCGAAUUCAGCUCGAUCGAUAAGUCGAGCUACUCGAGCUCGAGCUCGACUCGAUAAUAAUCGAACCGAAUUGAACCCGAAUAGCUUAUGAGUACUAAUGUAUCAUUUACACCCUUAGGUAUGCCCAUGUGCCAUCUUAUUUCAUUUUUUGCCUUUCAUUUUUUUUGUAAUUAGAUAAAUAUCACAAUAAAAAAAUCAGUAUAUAAAUUUUUUAAGAUAAAAAUCAAUUGACGUGUAGACAACAAAAUAUCUUGUAUCCUAUAUGUUUCGUUUCCUGUGAAUCCAAUCGGUGUGCUUUUUUUUUUUUUUAAAUUUAGGAUCAGAAGCCUUAAAAAAUAUGAAUUAUUACCCAAUUAUAAUAGCAUCAUCUACUAAAAUAAUUUUGUAAGAAACCUUUAUGAAGUAAGAAACGGAAAACUUAUAAUUGAAAAAUGAAUUAAUUAAUAGUAGGAUAAAAAAAAUUUAAAAGAUUACAAUUAGUAAUUUCAUAAUCAAAUAAAUGAUUUUUUUUAAAUUAUAUGUAUAAGUAUGUUUUCUAAACCAAAGCAAUGCACAAAUGACACCACAAAUUAAUCCUUUUAUAUAUGCCUUGCAAAUAUUUUAAUAAAAUUACAAAAAAAAUUUAACUAUUUCCAAAAAUAAAAUCUUGAUAUUUAUAAUUUUGCUAAACAAGUUAUUUAAACUUUUGAUAAUUAAAGUUAUCUUUAUAAAUGAAAUCCAACUUGAAAUCUUGCAACUAAUUAACCCAUUUUGAUAUUUCAAUUCUCAUCAAGAUAUAACUUUGUUUUGCUGCUGAGACCAACAACAAUAUGUACUUUAAUUUUUUUUGUCAAAUAGCCUCAAUUUUAUAAAAAUUAAUUUUGUCUAUACUUAUAUAUAUGCACGUGCAAAAACAUAUGCAUAAGUGUGUGUAAAAAUAAAAAGAAUUAAGCAUUUAAAUUAGAUUGAUAUAUAUAUAUAUAUAUAUAUAUAUAUAUACACUAUCUGCUUUCCUUCCGAAAAGGUUGACUUUCGAAUUUCUUCAAACCUUUUAUCAUGUUUUUAAGUAAUAACAAUAUUAGUGUAUAGUUUAUAAUAGUAUGAUCAACGUGUUCAUGAUAUUUGAUACACACAAUAUAACUUGCAAGUAUGUAAAACAACACAGAUUUAAAUAAAAAUAGGGGGUUUUAUUUUAUUUUAAUUUUACAUCCUUUCGAGACAACAUGAAAGAAAAAGACCCAAAGAUAUAUAUUUAUUUUUCGUCAGUCAUAAGCAUCCCCCAUACUUAGGCUGAAAGUUGAUCCAUCAGCACUCAAACGGAACCGCUGAAGCCUUUAUUGUAAGCAUAUUCAAUAAGGGAAUCCAACUCAUCAUUGGUGCAGUCGAUCAAAUUGUCCUAAUUUUUAUCAGCAACCUCCAUGGCCUCUUCAACUUGCUUGUUUAGCGUGAGUGCACCUAGUUGUUGAAAAGCCUCCUUGAGCUGAUCCCUGGUGAGGCUGCCCUGCUUAGAGUAAUAACGAAACACUUGUUCCAAUUUGUUUUUAUGAUCCUUGUUAUCCUUUGUGGCUUGCAUUGUGGAUUUCGAGGUUUAUGACUGGGUGAUAUUAGAGAGAAGGCUUGUCUAGCUUGGUUUGGUUUUCUUUUCCAAUGCAAUUUGUUUAUAUAGACCCAAAACUCGAUUUGUAUUCCGUUGAAGUGUAGGCGAAUAAAAUCCUUUUUGUGGUGGUUUUUAAAAUUUGAUUUCGAUUGAAAGGAAACGAUAUAAUUGUAUGACAAUUUCUUCAUUUGAAUUUUUUUUAAGUAUCCAUUUUAUUAAUAAAAUUAAUAUAUCAAUCAAUAAAUUUUUAUAAUGAAUACAAAUAAACAAAUAUUCGAAGAGGAUUGGUAUGAAUAAGAAUAUUAAUGUUGGCUUCAAAUUAACCACAGAUUGGAAAAUGCUAAGGGUAGUGAUAGCAGCCUCCCUUUCUUGUGUCCUAGUGAUGAUAGCAGCCUUCACUAUCUUUUAUGCAUUUUCUAUUGUUUCUUUUGAUUUUGCUGGUGAAAAGGCUAGACAACGAAGUCAGUAAGGAAUCUAAACUCUCACCCUGUCCAAAUUUGAGCUGUUUCUACACGAAAAAGUUUGAAGAGAAUCGUCUUGUUGCUCCUGGUUGGACAGAACUUGAUCAGACACAUUGAUUUUCUAAAAACUUAUAAUUUGAUGGAAGUGUCUUGUCUGUAGGAUAAUUUGAUAUUAUUGGAUAAAAAUAUUAUUAUAACAUAGAGAUUCAUGGACCCAUCGUAGACAUAAACUUUAAGAGUCGCUACUAUUUUUUUUUUAUUUAGGUGUAAUUGACCCUUUAACUGAAUCUGUCUUAUUUAAAGAGGAUUUCUAAGAUAGACUUAGGCAUUUUUAAAUAGUAGAUUCUAAAAUCCAUGAAAUCAGAUUUAAGAUUCAGAAGUCCAAUUAUGCAUGAAGAAGUUUAUAGCACCCUUACAGUGCUUAUCCAAAAAAUUGUAUUAAUUUGAUUUCAAAUUAUCUAAGCUUUGAAAUAUUCUUAUAAUUAUACCCAGUAAUUUAAUUAUUAGAAAUUGAUCCUAAAAUUACUCUAAUAGUUUAGUAGCAAUGUAAGAUAAUUUUCUCACCUUAAGAGUAUUCAUAGAGACUAAUGUCUCACUCUGAAGAGACUCCGUCAUUGAAUUUAUUAAUAUAUUUUAUUUAAAAAAUAAUUAGUAAAAUCCUCCAAUAGUUUGAUAAGAUUUUACUUUGGUGCAAGUCUCCCAAUAGUUUUUUGAGAUUUUAUAUGAAAAUCAUUUAUAAAAUUUUGUUUUGAUGUAGAAUUCUAAAUAGUUUGGUGAGAUUUUAUUUGAAAAUUAUUUAUAAAAUUUUACUUUGAGAAAAUUCAUUAAAUCUUCUAAUUUUGUAAGAAUUAAUUCAAGAUUUUUAUCCUCCAAUAAUUUGGUAAGAUUAAAAAUAUUUUAUUUUAUUUUAUUUUAAAAAUUCAUUAAGUCCUUCAAUAGUUUGAUAAGACUUAAUUUAAGAUUUAAAUAUUUCAAUAGUUUGGUAGGAUUGAAAAUUUAUUAUUAAAAAAUUACAUUAUGAAAUUCUCUAUUAAUUUGGUAAAAUUCAUAAUUGAAAAUUUCUAAACCAAUGAAAUAAAAAAUUCAUAAUUUAAAACUCACAAUCUUUAAAUUUUAUUUUAAACGUACAUAAAAAAGUAAAAUAAAUGAAUAAAUAUAUAAAUAAACAAAAUGUGAAAAUUACCCUAAUGGAUGGAGACAUGCCUAGGUUGAAGUAUCUCUUGAUCUGUGGUGACAGAUAAUCACCAAAGAGCUCUGCCACUAAUUCUAACCUAAGAGCUAGGGUAUAGAUUGCUACUCAUCCAUUUCUUGGUGGGUUUCCUUUUUUUUUCCCUUUUUUUUUGUAUGUUGUUGAUUGGUGUUUAUAUUGGGCCUUUUGCUAAGAGUUUUAGCGAUUUGCAUUGAAUGAAAAGGAUUGCAAAUCUGAUUAUACUCUGAACUUAUUUUUUCUUGAUUUUGUUUAAAAUUUAUUUAAUUAAUUUCUAAAAUUGUCUUGAUUUUCCUUGAUUUUCAGAGUCCCUCAAAACUUCCCAAACUAAAUUUGACUUUGAUUCCUUGAUUUGCUUUCUUUUCAACCUUCCUUUAAUAUUUGAAGAGAUCAUGUUUUAGUUUUAAUUGUUGAGAUCAUCCUUGAUUAGUGCUCAAAUUACUCCAUAAAUUUCAUUGACAUGAUUUAUGAUAAAAAUUUAAAACAAAAUAAAUAAAAAGAGUAAAACAUAUAAAUAAAUAAGACAAAAAAAGAUAUAAAAAGAAAUGAAGGAAAUUGGACAGUUGGGCUUGGUUUGAGCCCCGAACUAAAUAGGGUGUCUAUAGUUAGCUCUCUUUGCAUAGUUUUUGUAAAAUAGAAAUUAUGCAAAGAUAUAGAUAUCUAUUACGUUCAAGCCCAAAUUAUUCAAUUUUUUUUUUUUAAAGGCUCUUAAAAAUGAAGGUACACAACCUUUUAAAAAAUUAAGGAUGACACCCGAAGGUUUUGACAAUCAUGCCCAGAAGUCUUAUAGAUCAUGUCCAAAGAGCUUGAAAAUUAAGCACGGAGGUCUUACAAAAUCAUUCAUUAAAAAAUGCUCCUUUAAACAAAGGCUACACAACUAUUAAAAAAGUACCUAAAAUUUUUAAAAGAUCAUGUCCAAAGGUCUUAGAGAUUAUGCUCGGAGUUCUUACAAAUCUUGACUCUAAAAUAAAUUCAGCUCGAAAGACUUUCAAAUCUUUCCCAAAGGACUUAGAGAUUACGCUCGGAGGUCUUACAAAUUUCGAUCUUAAAAUAGAUUCAACUCGCAAGACUUACGAAUCUUGCCCAAAUGACUAAGAGAUUACACUUGAAAGUGUUACAAAUCUUGACUUUAAAAUAAAUUCAGCUCAGAAGACUUAUGAAUCUUGUCCAAAGACAUAGAGAUUAUACUCAGAGGUCUUAUAAAUCUCAACUCUAAAAUAGAUUCAAGUCAAAAGACUUGCAAAUCUUACUCGAAGGACUUGGAGAUUAUGUGCGGAGGUUUUACAAAUCUUGAAGAUUAUGCCUAGAGGUCUUACAAAUCUUAAUUCUAAAAUAGAUUUAGCUAAGAAGAUUUAUGAAUAUUGCCCAAAAAACUUGGAGAUUAUACCCGAAGGUCUAAUAAAUCUCAACUCUAAAAUAGAUUUAGCUUGAAAGACUUAUGAAGCUUACCCAGAGGUCUUACAAAUUAAACUUCAAAAAAGUUUAUUUAAAACAAAUGUUUAACCAUUUUAAAGAGAAAAAGGAUAUUUGGAGGUUUUAAAAAUCAUGCCCAGAGGUCUUAUAGAUAUUGCUUGAAAGACUUUUAAAAUAGUUUAAUAGUUUUGAAGAUGUUGCCAAAGGUUUUUUUAAAAAAAAUUAUCCGAAGGUUUUUUAAGAUUGAUACUUAAAAAUUUUAACAAAUUUACCCUGAGGUAAAAUCUUGUUUGAUCAAAGUUUCAUUUUUUAUCAAAAAUUUAAGUCAGCAUCUUUUCCUCUAAACAAUAUGAAUGCAACAUAUGAAAUAGAUGUGAUGUAUACUAUGUAAGAAAUGCAUGAAGUGCAAUGAAUUAAAUGCAUGAAUUUUAUACCAAAUGUCCUUAAUUAUGGUAAUAGGUUUCUCAAAACUUUUUCUUCCUUCCAUCUUUCCAUGACAUGUCCUCUGAAUUAGUUGACAAGUUCUUUCAUGCCCUAAAAUAGACAUUCUCAACAUUAUCAUUCUUGAAAGCUAUUCUUCUCCUCUAGUGAGUUGUUUUAAUUUCAAUCCCUUGCAUUUGGCAUUUUCUUGCUCCAAAAAGGUCUUUUAUAGCAUUCACAUAUCUCCCACCCUAAGCAUUAAGAUCCAUCAUAUUUUGAACAUUUUUCAAAACUUCCCAUGAAUAGCAACAAAAGUUACCCCAGAUAUCUCUUUUCUACAUGUGAUCAAAUCUCUUAAAAAUUGGUGAUUACUUCUUAGAAUAAGGAUGAUGAAUCAUAAUUUUGGUCUUCCAAAAGGAUGCAAUGGUUUGGCACCUCUUUCAAUUCUUGAUAUGUGGUAUUUUAAUAAAUAUCAAGAACAACUAUGUUAGGUUUAAAUUUUCAAGUUUGGAAAAAGAACAGGGCCUAAAUUUUAGAAAGAAUCUUCAUACUGAGAUCAAUCUUUUUGGGCCUUUAAAGAAAAGUCUCCUUGGUGCUACAUGAAAAGUUAUGAGUUGCUUUCAGAGUUUUAAUCUUGCUUUAGGCUGGCCUUUCGGGAUUUCACCCUAAAACUUCAUUCUUUUCUCUUUUUUUUUUUUUUUGAUAUUUCAUCAUGCAUUUGAGCAUUCAAAAUUUAUCAAAAAGUGAUGGUGAUUUCCUAAAGAAAAACUCCUUAAUUUAGAUAUUCAUACUUGAUCAAAAUAAACUUUUUAAAGGACGUAAUGUGGGCUAAGGUUUAAGGUUUUAAAAAAAGCAUAAAUAGGCCCAAAAAAAUGUAUUUACAGGUGAUCAAACAAAAGAUCAUUUCUUUUCCAGCAACAUCUUUCCUUGUUUCAAAGAUGCCUUUGCUCUUUUCUCUCUUUUUUUCUUCUUUUAUUUUCUUCUCUUUUCAUUUUUUUUCUUUUGCAUGAGCUUAAAAUUUUUUAAACUCAUCUUAUUUUAAGCUUUUCUAACAUGAGGCAUUAUUUCCUAACUCUAAGCACAAGAAUAGAUGCCAUCUUGAUGAAAUCCUUUUUCUCUUAAACUUGCCCCCAAAAUUUAAAUGUUGAUCCCUAGUUAAGGUUUGUUCGAAAGAAUAAUCAAAGGUUUAAAAAAGGUAGCAAAUGGAUAUUUUCUUCUUUUAUGAAGGGAAUUUAAAAGAUAACUAUUUUUCAUUUCAAGUAUGGAUACUUAUUGAAAAGCAGUCCUUAAGAGACAACUUGUUUUUGAUUGAUUUUAGGUUCAUUUGAAUGCCCCACAUACAUGAUUUCAUAAUCAACUCUCUUUUUUUUUUCUUUUUUUUGUAAUUCAUGCAUUUUGAUAAAAAAGCCAUCUGAAUGUUCAUCAAUCAAAAUGAUCAAAAAGAUUAUUUGGGGCAUCAAGUAAAUUUGGCUUUUGCCCCAAAGUGAGUACAAAUGAUCGCUUGGUAAAUGAUUCAAAAAAAAAAGAUGAAUGUAGGACAAGCUAAAAUACUGAAUAAAUUAAGAAAAUAUGGCUCAAGAAAUUUAAGUGGUGACAUGCUUGAAAGAAGCUUGACAUUUAUUGAAUCACCAAAAACUAAAAUGCUUAGGAGAGUGCCUUAAAAGAUUUUACAAAUUAAUCAACUAUCACAUUGUUCAUAGCCCAAAUGAAUAUUAAUAAAUUUUAAGUUGCAUCAUGGUCAAAUAAGGGAAGUUCUGAAACUUUCAUCCUUAGAAAUUCUCAAGGUUCUUAAUCUUCUAAAUGAAAAAAAUUAAAUGUUCAGGGGAAUGGCUCAAGAUACCUAUUCCUAAUAAUAAUUACCAAAUUUCUUGAGUUUUUCUUUCACAUGCAUUUGUAAGAAGCUAAACAAAUAAAACUCAUAAGAAACCAAUGACUUCAUGUCCAAGAAAUCAAUAUACAAGGAAUAAUCAACAUAUGAUAAAACAACAUUCCAUUGCUCAAAAAGCUCUUUGGUCAAGGUGACAUUAUGGAUAAGGCUUUCAAACUUUUCUUUCAACUGUUUGCAUUUCUCAGUCGAGUCCAAUUGCCCUCACGUUAUAAUCAUAUUUACCAUUUAUACCAUAACUCUUGGCUAAUGGAUUUGAAGUUGCUUUUAAAGGUAUUGAGGUGAGGUACUAGUACUUUAUUAGCAGUGACAAAAGAGCAAAAAUUAGAAUUAGGAUUUUCUCUAGAUUGUUUCUUGAUCUUAUUUGGCCAUUCAAUGGUUGAGUAGUAGAUUGGGGAUAAUGACUUAUGUGAUGAGCUAAUUGUUGGGUUAGUUGGGGAAAAUAAGGAUUCGAAAAGUUAUUUAUAGUAAAGGUGGUAAGGUUAGUACAUGAUGUGUGGGGUCAAGCUUCCAACCUGUUUCCCUUUAUACAUCAUGACAUGAACAUCUUCUCUUUUCAUUCUUGGUACACACACAUCCUUUAUGCCAAGGGCAUUAUCUUCUUUAAGAUUUUUACUUUUUAUGGCAUUCUCUAUUAUCUCUCCUGAUAUGACCAUGUUGGUAAAAUUCUUUAUUACAUUUUCAAUCAUCCUUUCAUAAUAUGGAGCUUUAAGAGUGCUGACAAACAUGAUUGUAGUUUUUUUUUCUGUUAAAGGAGGUUGAACCUAUACAGUAGCACCCUUUUCACCUUUGAGCAUAUUCUUUGAAACUCUCAACAUCUUUUUUCUCCAUACUUUGUAGAAACAAUCGAUCCGGGAGUAACUUUACAAUAUACUUGUAUUGAGUUAUAAAUUCCCUAGCCAAUUCUUUCCAUGAAGUGAUUCGAGUUCUAUCAAACUGAGCAUACCACUUAGUAGUAGAUCUCGUAAGAUUGUCUUAGAAUACAUGAUCACGAGUUUGUCAUCACAGGUAUGGGCAACCAUCUUUCUACAAUAUAUAGUGAUAUGGGUCAUCGGGCAUUUAGUAUCAUUAUAUUUUUCAAAAUUUGAUACCUUGAACUUGGGUAAAAUAAUUACAUCUGGCAUUAAGCAAAGCUCUAAUGCAUCCAUAGAUCCAUAAAAAUCUAUUUCUUUGAUAGCUUUUAACCUCUCUUAUAUGAGAUCCAUUUUUUUUAGCACCUGAAUCUUUUAUUGCUUCAAAUGAACUUUUCAUUAGUUUUACUAACUUUUCAGAACCAUCAAGGGUUGGAAUUAGUGAAGCAGUUGAAAGUAUUUUAGAACAAGAGUAUGCCCCUAAAGGUGGUACUUGUUGUGAUUGUACCCCUUGGGAUGCUUAUAUGUAAGUUUCUUCCACCUCUUUCUCUUUAUUUAAAUUUUUUAGCAUUUCCAUUAUCUAAGCAAAAUCUACUCUCAUUUUCUCAAUUUAGCUAUGUUGUUUUGGCUCCAUAAGUGGCAAGGAGACUACCUUAAUGAUCGGGCUCUUAAACCUUAUUACCACAAUUAAGAAUUAGGACAAUGUCUAUUGCGAAUUUAUGCAAGAAAAUAAAAAAUGUAUGCAUGAAUGAAUGGAUGCAUCAUUAAAUUCUAUCACAUAAUAAGAAAGAGAAGAAAAAGGAAAUCUUUAAUUAAAAAUUAUUUUGACAAAAACAUCCAAAAUCAUUCUUAGGAAAAAUCUUAAAAUCUAUUGCCUAAUCCUAUUUUUUAGCUUUAAGAUCUUGGUACUGCCAUGGAUAAGUUCUUCAGCCACUAUGAUUAUGCAAUACCCUUUUAACAAUCUUUGGCUCUCAUUUAUCCCCAAAACUCAACGCACUAUCUCUGAUUAAACUUUGCACCUUAUGCUUGAAAGCAAUGCAAUAUUUUAUUAAAUGGCCUGUAGUCCCAAAGUGAUAAUCACGUCGAGCUUCAACCUCAAACAAUUUAGGAUAAGGUGGUUUUAGUAGCUUUAAAGGAACUGGUGUGAUUUGAUAAUUUUCAAGGAAUACCGAGAAUAAUUUAAUGUAAGUCAUAAGGAUUGGAUCAAUGAUGGCUCUCUCUUUUUUUUUUACUUAAUGAUUUUUUGAGUUGAGUAGUUUUUUUACUCACAGGUGUAGAGUUUAGAGCAAAAUUAGGUGUAUAUGCCCAAAAGUUUAUUGGUGGGGAGCUCGACUGCUGAGCUAAAGGGUUUUGAAAAGCAUAAUUCAUAAUCGAAAAAGUAUAUGCGUAUGGGCUAAUCUGCGGAGGUUGAAUAGAAAUGGCUUUGUUUGGGAUGCCAAAAGAGAUUGUUUAGGAAUAAUCGGUUGGGGAUUUGGGUAUGAGCCAAUCUAUAGAACUGUGCAAGGUUAAAAGGCCUUAUCUCUUCUACUUAUUUUUUAACUUGGUCUUUUCUUAGGCCAUUGGACACAUUGACAUGACUUGGAUCAGUAUCAGUAUUAUAAGAGGCUUUUUAAUCUUAACAAAAUGGCUAUUUAAUGCACACACAAAUUGGAGUCGAUGAGAAUUCUUGAGAAUGGGUCACUUUAAGAUUUUCCACCAUUUCCACUAGCUUGGUAAGUUGCAUUUUUAUUUCUUGUAGGUCAUGUCCAAAUUCUUUUUGGUUGAGUUUCAAAGCUUGGAUCCAUGAUUUUAACAGAUCUCUCAUUUCUUUUGAAUUGUUAUCCCAAAUGAUUAAAAGAUUUCUAUUAUGCAAUGACAUGAUGAAUGAAUGAUGAUGAUGAUCUCUGAAUAAGUGAGAUGCAUGAAAUGAAUGAAAAUAGACAAACAAAGAAAUAAAUAAAUGUAAACUUAUUGAUGCUAACAUGAUUCAAGCAAAAAAAAAUAACAAACAAGAACAAAGUUAGCAACCAUUAUAAAGAAAGAAAAACCAAAAUAAUUUAAUGCAUAACUUAAAAGAUAUGUGACCUAACUUGGAGUAUUUAUACAAAAAAGGAAAGAUAUGGAUCUACCUAUGGGUAUUACAACUCACUAUAUGUGGUUUAGGAUUGAUUCUACAUGUUCCCAAAUUAUUUCUUACAUCAUUGUCUAUCACAGACUAGUAAAACACCCUAAUCUUUACCCAUUAUAGGUUACAAAUGGCAAGGGUUCAAUUGAAGUGGGAGUGUUUUGCUAGCCUAUGCCAAGAUAUGAAAUCUCACGAAGGCGUAGGUACUUUACUCCUCUUAAGGGACAGAACUCGAUUGUAGAAUUCACGUUAUUUUAUUUUAUUUAAAAAAAUAAUUAAGUCCGCCAAUAGUUUGGUAAGAUUUAAUUUAAGAUUUAAAUCCUCCAAUAGUUUGGUAAGAUUAAAAAUUUAUUAUUAAAAAAAUUAUAUUAUGAAAUUCUCCAAUAGUUUAGUAGAAUUCAUAAUUUAAAAUUUAUAAACCCAUGAAAUAAAAAAUUAAUAAUUUAAAACUCAUAGUCUUUAAAUUUUAUUUUAAACAUACAUAAAAAAAAUGAAAUAAACGAAUAAAUAUAUAAAAAAAAUAAAAUGUGAAAAUUACCUUAAUGGAUGGAGACACACCUAGGUGGAAGUAUCCUUUGAUUUGUAGUGACAAAUAAUCCCCAAUUUGAACCAAAGAGCUCUGCCACCAAUUUUAAUCAAAGAGCUUGGGUAUAGAUUGCUACUCAUCUAUUUCUUAGUGGGUUUCCCUUUUCUUUCUCUCUUUUAUUUUUUAUGUGUGGUUGAUUGGUGUUUAUAUAGGGCCUUUUACGAGGAAUUUUAGAGAUUUGCAUUGAAUGAAAAGGAUUACAGAUCUGAUUAAGCUCUAAAUUGAUUUUUUUCCUUAAUUCUCUUUAAAAUUCGUUUAAUUAGUUUUUGAAAUUAUCUCGAUUUUUCUUAAUUUUUAGAAUCCCUCAAAAUUUUUCAAAUUAAAUUUGACUUUGAUUCCUUGAUUUACUUUCUUUUCAACCUUUGUUUUAAUAUUUUAAAAGAUCAUGUUUUAGUCUUGAUUAUUGAGAUCUUCCUUGAUUAGUGCUCAAAUUACUCCACAAAUUUCAUUGACCUGAUUUAUGAUAAAAAUUUAAAACUAGAUAAGUAAAAGACUAAAACAUAAAAAAGAUAAAUAAAUAAAUAAAACAAAUAAGAUAUAAAAAGAAAAGUUGGAAAUUGGACAAUUAGUCUUUGUUUGACCCCCGAACUAAAUAGGGUGUUUACAAAUAUAUAUUUUAUACUUUUUUACUUUUUAAAUUAGAUAAUUUUGUAAAAAAUGAUAUUGAUGGAAAUGUCUACAUGGCAUCCAUAUUUAUUUUCUUUCAACCUUUCAUUUUUUUAUAAAUUUUUAUUUUAAAAAAAGUUAAUAAUAAAAAUUUUACAAGAACAGUUCAUCAUUGCUAAUUCGCGUGACAACUUAACUUUUUUUAUCCUUUUUUUCGUUUUGAUUUUUUUUACUUUACUUUUUUAGUUUUUUCUCCCUUUAUUUUUUAUAGGUCAGUUUUUUUAAACAAAAGAAAAAUUAACCAAUGAGCCCAUGUGGCAACCUAUUUCAUUUUUUACCUUUCUUCUAUUUUUUAAUUAGAUAAAUAACACAAUAAAUAAAAACAGUAAAUAAAUUUUUAAGAAAAAAGUCUAUUGAGGUAUUCACAAUAAAUUUUUCUUAAUUAGAUAAUUUUUGAGAAAAUAAUGUCAAUGUAGGUGUUCACAUAACAUCCUCACUUGUUUUUUUCUUUUAUAAUUUUAUAGUUUAAUUAGAUAAAUUUAUAAUAAAAUGAGACAGUUGAUAAAAAUAGCAAAACAAUCAGUAUUUAUCGAUUUCGAUACAUCUCGAUUUGAUAUGGGUGUUUUUAUAAAAAAUUGAUAUCAAAUCGAAUCAUGUUGGUUUUUAAGCUAAGGAGAAGUAAGAUGUGGAUUUAGGGUGCUUUGUCCUAAAUCAUCUCGUGGUAUACGUAAAAUUAUAUAUUUUAUUAUUAAUUUGGUUUUAUAUUUGCAUACAUUUAUUAUAUUAAUAAAAUUAUUAUUUGAUACUUUAAUUUAAUAAAUUAAUAUUUUAAACUCAAUAGGGGUGUCCAUGUGGCACCCUUAUUGAGCUUUUCUUUUUUGUUUUUGUUUUUCUCUUUUUUUUGUUUAUUUUGUUUUUCAAAUUUUUUUAUUCUUUUAUUAGAUAAAUUUAGUGAGAGAAAAAAAAAAGCCGAUUGAAAUAUCCACAUGACACUUCCAUUUAUUUUUUUAUCAUUUACUUUUUUAAUUAGAUAAUUUUAUUUAAAAAGUAACAUAAAAUUAUUUUUAAUUUAAUUUUAUUAAAAUUUAUAUCAAAAAUAAUAAUAAAAAAUGAACUAUGAAUUAUUUUAAUUAAUAAAAUAGUUAAACCUAUGCUACGAGCUCAUUUCUAGUAUUCAAGAAAAUAGUAAAGAAAAUUAUUUAAACCCCAUCUCUUAAUUUUAAUAUUAAUUGGAACACGCUAGUAGUUUAUUUACAGAGAUCAUUAGAAAUUAAUUACUUUCUUAGUCAACUACUAGGGUUUGAAACAAGUGCCAGAAAAUCGAUAGGCCUUAAAAUUUCAAUUCCUGGCAUUUUGAAUUCAAUGUUGUUGGAUUUCUUUAGGUAUGGGUUGAGCCCAAUGGCUCAUUAAUUAUGUUCUUAAUCAGGCCUAAAAUCUAUUUAACCACAAUUUAUGGUUCUUAAAACUUAUGUAAGUGUGCCUAUACAUUUAUAUUAUAAAAAUUAUCACAUUCACUUGUAAUAGUGGAGUUUUUGAAUUUUAUUAUCAAGAUUGUAAUAGUAGUGUGAGCAAUUGAUAUAAUAUUAAAUUUUAAUUUUAAUUAUGUCAUAAUUAUAGAUCCGUGGACUUACUGCUAGACAUGGAUUAAAGAAGUUACCACCAAUCUUUUUUUGUUAGGUGUGAUUGACCACCUGAUUGAAUUUGAUCUACAAGAUAGAUGUUAGGUUCGGGAGUCAAUUACGCUUAAGGAAAGUUGUAGCACUCCCACAGUACCUAUCCAAAUUAUAGUACCAGUUUGAUUUUGUAUCAUCCAAGCCUUGGUCAUUUUAUGAUUUUACCAAAUACUUUAGUAUUGAAAAUUAACCCUAAAAUUGUCCCAAUAGUUUUGUAGCAAUUCAAGAUAAUUCUCUCACAUCAUGAGUAUUCAUAAAAACUAGUGUCCCACUCUGAAAAGGCUCUUUCAUCAGAUUUAUUAAUUUAUUCCAGGAAAAAGUAAAUCUCCUAAUAGUUUGAUAGGACUUAGUUUGAAGCAAUCCUCCAAUAGUUUAAAGGAUAAAAAUUCUUUAUUUAUUUGAAAAGACCCUUUUUUUAUUGAAAAGAGUUUUUAAUUAUUUUUUAUUAUUUUGAAAAUUUUAUUUACAAAAAUUUUUUUGUUUGAAAAGAUUUUUUUUAGAAUUAUUUUUCUUUUUUUACUUUUAGAAAUAAAAAUGGAAGAAAUAACAUUUUUUUAAAAAAAUAAAAAAUGGGUUAAAAAUAAAAUAAAAUAAAAUUAGAAAAUAAAAAUAAAAUAGAAAAGAAAAAACCUGCGAUCAGGUCGGGUUGGUACCAAGGUCAGAACGUGGGUCAACGAGUCACGUGCGGAUCCUUGGCUAUCUAAAAUGGUGUCGUGUUGGAAGAGUAUAAAAGCCACACCACUCAACUUUUCUUCAGAACUAUUUGAUUAAGCCUUUCUUUCCAAAAUGUAUAUUCUUUUGUCUUCUCUCUAACUGAUUUUCAAAAAUUGACGAAUAAAUCUCAAAAGCUGAUAGGGAAUUUUCAGGAACCCAACAAAUUGUCUAGAAAUCUAAACUCAGAAGUCCUUGGAAUGCAAAACCCUAUAGAAAUUCAAACCCAAAAACACCAAAUCCCAAUCCUAGAAAAUCUAAACAAAUCAAAUCCAAGACCUAAAACCUCUUGGUUGCUAAAUAAAUUUCUCUUUUUUUUUUCUCUAAAAUUUUUUCAUAAUCUUUUUUUUUCUCCUUUCCCUUUCUUUGAUCACAGGUGUCAUAACGUCUAGAUCCGGGGAUCUAUCGCUAGACAUUGACUUUUAGGGAGUCGCCACCAAUCUUUUUUAUCUAGGUGCGAUUGGCCACCUAAAUAAUCUGUCCUUUCAGGGAACACCUAAGUUUAAGGGUCCCUAAAAGAAUAGGUUCAGGUCUACUAACCAGAACAGGGUUCGGGAGUUCUGUUACGUGUGAGGAAGGUUAUAGCACCCUCACAACGCCCAUCAAAAGAUGGUACCAGCUUAAAUUUGUGUUAUCCAAUGAGCCUUAAAAUUUUAUCCAGCAAUUAAUUAUUGGAAAUUAUUCUCAAUUGACUCUAAUACUUUUAGCAGAAAAUUGAGAAAAUCCCCUCACCUCAGGAGUAUGCCAGAAAACUAUUGUUUCACUUACAGAGGCUCCAUCGUCGGAUUAUUUAACAUUAAGGAAAAUUCAAAAAGAAGGAAAAAAAUGAUUGCUUUUUGUGCAGGGAAAAUUGAUACUUUCAACUUUUUCCCAAAAAUAUUUUUUUGAAACUUUGAUUUCCAAGGAAAAUUGAUACUUUCAACUUUUCCUCAAAAACCCUUUUUUUUGAAAAUUUAUUUCUAAGGAAAAUUGAUACUUUCAACUUUUCCUCAAAAACCCCUUUUUUGAAAAUUUAUUUUUUAAGGAAAAUUGAUACUUUCAACUUUUCCCCAAAAAUAUUUUUUUUUAAAUCUUUUUAUCUUCAAGGGUUAUUUAAAAGAUGCACAACAAAUCAAAAUUUCCUGUGAAAUAGUUUAAACUUACUUGGUAUCCAACAUGAGAACAAAUGAACAACUUCUUGCACCACCUUUGCUUACGAGAUGGUGAUGGAAUUAAGUGCAUCGAUUCUUGGCCCUUUUAAGACACUGAUACAUGUAUGAUGUUUCAACAAAGUCAACCAUCUCCUUCUCAACAGCAAACCUAGUCACUUCAACCACUAGGCGAGGCGUAACAUGGACAGUCUCCAGAAAACAAAGCUGUAUCCCCAAAUGGGCCAAGGCAUCCCAACAGGAAGUGAAGUUUUGUUGCCGUAUCUAAAUCCCUUAACAAAUGAAUCAACAUCCCCAAUACUGGCCAGGAAGAGAGCAACAAAGCAAUUACGAAUUUGCUCAACUUGUUCAAGUGUAUGCUGAUUCAGAUCAGAGAUUGAUAUCAUCAUUCCAGCAACAAAUGAACCCAGCUCAUCACCAAGCAACAAGCAAGCAAAAAUGCUAUGGAUGUCAACUGAUAGAACUCUUAAGUCAACGAUUUAGUCGUGGAUAGUACUCCCUGAAGGACACCAGAACUGCCACCUAGAACUGAAGUAAAGCAAACAGCAAACCCACAGCACAGUCCUCCACAUAACUGCAAAAAGCAUAUAGCGAAAUUGUUAUACCAAACGAACACGUGAAGAGAAAAUUUUGAAGAAAACCUCCAAGGACAGCAACUGUUCGAACAACACGAAGCUUUGUUGUUGAAAACUCCAAGCUUGAUGCGUGAAUCCUUGGCUGCAUAUUUUGGUGUAAUUGAUUGGGCUGCAGCUGAGUAGGCUGUAAUUGCAUCUGUGACAUCAGUUGCUGCCUUUCGCAUCAUCCAAUCUGUGCUCCCAAGGCGUUCAUGGAUGCUUUGCCAGAAGGAUUCCAAGCUCUGAGGUGCAAUUGCUCCCACCUGUGACAAACUCGCCACUACCGACGAAAGGGAAGCCUUAGCCAUAAAAUUCUGAUUAUUCAACAGCUUGCAGAUCCUUGGACACAGCUUCUGAAAAGCAGCCAAAGGAGGAUCAGUUGCACAUUCCACCAUCUAAGCCAUACAUGUUGCUCGACGUAACAAAGUGGAGUGCCUUUUCCAUCGUGUUCUCCAAAACAGGUUCUACAGGUGAUCUUCCACCUCCUCUUUCGAAGCAAAGCCUUCUUUCAUGGACUGUCGCCAUGGCUACUGAGUCCGAGACCGAGACAGCUACGAUUGGGCUCAGCUUGCGCCUGUGCCAGCUUUUGUUGCUCAACAGACCUGCUCAUGCGCUCAAGCAACUGAGCAGCCUUCCGCUUGCCCCUAUCUGUAUCAUUUUGUGCCAAGUCCACCAAUGGACUCGUCGCUCCUAGUUCCUGGGCCUCUGCUAAAUGUUGUUGGUCUCCAGCACAAAGGUGAACCAAAACUGCAGCUGUAUUCUCUCUAUUCCUGCUGCCCAGUCUUCUUUUCGGUUCUUCUUUUUUUUUUAUACCAGCAGCCUCACGUUCCCUUGCCUGCUACCAAGUUUUUCUCUCCCUGCAUCCUCUUAUUUAUUUAUAUUAUCGAGUAGGAUUUUUGGUUUGCUGAUCAGCCUCGUUUACAUUCGCUGCAGGUUAUGGUGGAUCCUGAUGCGCCCAGCCCAAGUGACCCAAACCUGAGGGAAUACUUGCCUUGGUGAGUUGCAUGUCACUCUGUCUUUCUCUCUCCGGCUCCUUCAUCUCCAUUCCUUUGCAUGCUGUGUGUGUCUCUAUCUGUUGCAUACUCAAACGGGUACGCAAAAAGAAACAGACAGUGAGGCGAACAGCCGAGCAAGCACUCCAAAUGCUGAGUUUUGGUACUUGCGGUUGUUUGCUUUGUUUCCUCAUCUUUCUCCCUGGGCAUUAGACACACUGAAUGGAGUUCGAGUGCUCCCAAAUGCUGGACUUCGCAGGGGUGCUUGUGGAACCAAAGGCAGGGUCAAGAAAGGGAAGGUUUCCCACAGAGGGGAAGCCUCGAAGGCUUGGUGUCGAUGGGGGCUUCCCCUUUUGUUUGGCUUCUGUUUUUUUCCUCCCCCUUCAGCUUGUAUAUUCACUGUUGAUAUAUAGACCCAUGCUGAUAGAGUUUCAAUUCAAUUCCAAUUAGUCAUCCAAGGCUAAAGAUUAGCCACUAAUCAUGCUUUCUGAUCAUCAUCCAACUUAAUCUCAAUUUUUCUUUUUUUCAAAAAAAAAAAAUCAGAUAAUAAAAAAAUGAUAAAUAUGAAAUAAAAAAAAUCUAAAAUAAAAUUGAAUAAAAAUCUCUGCAAUUGAACUUGGAUUAGUCUCAAUUGACAAAGAAUCCCGGACAAAAUGGGGUGUCUACAGCUGCCCCUCUUUGCACAUUUUUUGUGAAACAGAAAUUGUGCAAAGACGUAGACACCCAUUCAAGACUCAACUAAAUUUUUUUUCCCAUUUUUUUUCUUUUUUUUUUUUUAAAAAAAUCUUGAUCAAAGCUCCUCUAAACAGAGGUUCAAUGAUUUUGAAAAACAUAAACAAAGCUCCUCUAAAUAUAUGCAAAUUUUGUUAUUUUCUUGUUUUUUUUAUUUUUUUUAUUUUUUUUAUUUUUUUAUUUUUUAAAAUUUGAUCAAAGCUCCUCUAAGCAAAGGCUCAAUGACUUUGAGAAACAUAAACAAAGCUCCUCUAAAUAGAGGCAACUUUUUUUGUUUUUUUUUUUUUGCUUUUUUGCUUUUUUUGCCUUUUUUUUUUAAAAAAAUGAUCAAAGCUCCUCUAAGCAGAGGCUCAAUGACUUUGAGAAACAUAAACAAAGCUGCUCUAAACAGAGGCACCACGACUUUGGAAAGUAAAUUGCUCCUCUAAACAGAGGCACCACGACUUUGGAAAUGUAAAUUGCUCCUUAACAAUCAUGUCCAAAGGAGUUGAAAGUUGUGUUUGAGGGAAUUUCAGGAGAUUAUGCCCAAAGGUCUUAUAAAUCAACCAUGAUACCAAAAGACAUCCUAUUUCAAGGAUUAGGAACUUACCUGACAAGCUUUUUCUUUUUCAAAUUUUGCAAAAUAUCUUUAUAUAUGUCUUCUCCAUGUGGGAUGUUGGAGCACCCUUGCUUCUUGAAUUUAUACACUAUACUUUCCUGAAAGUAGUGUACGCUAUGCAAAUGCAUAUGAAUUUCAAUGCAUGCUAUGCAAAUGUUGGCCUAUUAAUUCCUGUUCAAUGUAUGGUACUUAAGUUUCUCAAGCUUUUCUUGGGCAUCAAGCCUUUUGAUUCUUCAGAUAUCCAAUUACACUGCUAUUCUAAGAUCAAACCAGUGUAGCUCUCAAUUAUCUUUUCCACUCACAUUCUUCCUUGUUCAGUUCCUCAAUACUUUGGAAUAAGCUUCAUCAAUCGAUCAUCACUUGACCAUCAUUCAAUGAAUUUCUCAGCACUAACAAGUUUCAAAACAAGUUUCAUCCACCAUCACUGGGUAAUUGUCUCAGCAUUAAUCAUUCCGAAACAAACUCUGUCUACUGAUUGUUCUCAUCAUUCAAUCAUAACUUACAAGUCAUAUCGACCAAUUCAUCCUUGUACUCAUCUCUUGGUUGUUUCACUUUUCAAGAUUUGCCCCAUUAUAUUCUUCAUUUGAUCACCUCAUAUAUCUUUUCAAAUCAUCUCCUUUAGGUUUCUAUCAUUUCUUCAUCAUCUUAGAUUUCUUUUCAAAUGAAUGUAAGAUUCUUUUAAGCACAUAUUCAUUCAUUCAUUAUCAUUUCAAAUCUUGACAAAUACAAUGCAAUCAAGCAUUUUCUCAAUUCAUUCUAGGGGUGAAACAAUAAGAGAACGCAAGGUGAAUUAUGGUAAAGAUAAUCAAUAAAGAUCUAUUUUGGUACAAAGCAAAUGAAAAAGGAAGUAAAUUAGAUACAUGUCAUUGGGAUGGAUGGUAUGUUCAAAUGAUGAAUAUUCAGACGAUUCUCAACAUUAAUCUAGGAUUCUUUUUCAAAAACUCAUUCCAUUUACUGUUGAAGUCAACUUGACCUUGGCGAACUUUGCCCCAGUCUUUGAGGGGUCUUCAAAUGUCUUUGAUCUUCCAUUCAUGUGAGCCAUUUGACCUGGAUCUCUUUCUAUCAAAAUCAACCCUUUCAGGUCUUCAAUUUGAAUCUCUUUUUUCAUUUUCUCAUUUUUUCAUUCAUUCUUUCUUCUUUUUUCUUUCUUUUUUUUCCUUUUUUUUUUUCAUCAUCUUUUUUUUUUCUCAUUUUUCAUCCAUUGUUGAUAUCUUUCAUACAUCCAACUUUAGAGCAUGAUUCCAUUGCUUCAUCAUGAGUAUACCUUCGCUCAACAUAUGAUAAUUCAAGUUGAGUAUUCACACUUGAUCUAAAUGAACUUUUCAAGGUUGUAAUGUAGGCCAAGGUGAAGGGUUAUAAAAAAAAUGGAUAUAAUAGGCUCAAAACAUGUAUUGAAAAGGUUCAAAACCAAAGGAUCAUUUGAUGCAGCUUGGCAUUUUGCCCCCAUAUUGUUUCACUAUUUUCUUUCUUCACACAAAAGAUUCUCAUUACUUUGCCCCAAGUCAUGUGUGGCACGUAUUUUUUCUUUUUCUUUUCUUUCUCUUUCCAUCUUUGAGACCUUUUGUGGUAUUUUUUUUCUUUUUUUUUUUUUUAAAUUACCCUCCAGUGUAGAGGGUGAUCCUUGGUUGGGGUCUUCAGAAAAAAAAAAUGAUAGGCUCAAAGGGGUAGCAAUAAAUAGUUUUUCAAAUGGUAAAAGAAAGAUGGCCAUUUUUCAUCUCAAUUGUGAAUACCUUUCUUGAACAUCAUCUAUUGAACAAAGCUCAUGAACUUGUAUAAAAGAUUGCACAUCUUCAAGACAUAUCUAUUUCUCCUCCAGUAACAGCUUACUUUUGCUCAAAUCAUCUUCUCAUAUUAAUGUGGAUGAGUUCUCAAAAUUAAAUCCCAGAAUUAUUGUUAUCAUUGUCUAAAUAUUCAUCAUCUGAAAUUUAAGAAUGGGAAUGUGAAGUUAUGAAAGGUAACAGGGCAUGGAGUAAUGGUCAAGUGACAGAGAAAAUGUAAUGAAAUACAUUAACUUGCCUUUAUUAAGAUGAUAACGAGUGAAAUCAUAUUGCAAAAAGAAAAUCUAACAAUCACUCGAAAAAGAAAUCCUAAAAUGACAAAGGAAACCUUUAACCAACCUUAUCUCCAUUCUUAAAAAUUAUCCCACUAUAUGAUCAGGUGAAGAAUCUCUAUUGACAUCUUGCCCCUCAAUCAUUCUGACUCUCUGGCCCUUUCUGUUCUUGACUUUCACUCAGUACGCUAACAUUAGGUGUUGUUGCUUUUCCCUGAUCAAAACUUAUCAUUCCAUCAUUGAUCAACCGUUGCACCUUCUGCUUUAAAGCAGUGCAAUUUUCAGUGGAAUGGCCAGUAAUUCCAUAAUGGUAGUCACAGCGGGCUGUAGGAUCAUACCACUUUGGAUAGGGUGGUUUAAGAGGUUCCACAUGGCUGGGGGCAAUCAAGUGGCUAUUAUAGAGUACUUGAUAUAACUCUGUAUAAGUUAUAGGGAUUGGAUCAAAUACAAGUUUUUCUCGAGUAGUCCGUUGUUCUCGUGAGCCACUUGCUGGGUUAGUAGGGCGAAUUUGGGUUCUUACAGGAGCUUGAAUGUUAAGGCGGUAAGUGGAUGAAUAAGAUGGUUGUGGAGCUAGCUGGUAUGGGUAGGAUGAGGCAUUAUUCACAGCAGGAUAGUAUGGAGAGUAACCUUGGGAUGGAUAGGGUUGAUAACCCCUGAAUUGUUGUCUAUCAAAGCUCACAGCUUGAGCUUCAGCUUCUUUCUUUUCUGAUGCCUUCUUGGUUUCUCCUCCUUUCAACUUACCAUUUUUUAUGACACUUUCAAUAAUUUCUCCAGAGAUCACCAUGUCGGCAAAAUUCUUUGUUGCAUUCCCUAUCAUCUUUUCAUAAUAAGGAGGCUUUAAAGUGCUGACAAAUAACACUGUAGUUUCUUUCUCGGUCAGAGAAGGUUGUACCUGAGAAGCAAUAUCCCUCCAUCGUUGGGCAUACUCUUUAAAGGAUUCAUUUGCCUUUUUCUCCAGAUUCUGCAAAGAUAAACGAUCUGGGGCCAAAUCGAUGAUAUGUCGAUAUUGACUGAUAAAGUCAUGUGCCAUAUCGCUCCAAGAGCGAAUGCGAGUUCUGUCUAGCUGAACAUACCAUCUGGUCGCAGAGCCAGUAAGACUAUCCUGGAAAACAUGUAUCAAGAGUUUUUCAUCAUGUGCAUGAGCUGCCAUCUUCCUGCAAUACAUGGUGAUGUGGGUUUUGGGGCACUUUGUACCGUCAUAUUUUUCAAAUUUCGGUACUUUAAACUUAUGGGGGAUAACCACAUCAGGGACUAGGCAGAGCCCAGCAGCAUCUACUGACCCGUAAAAGCUAAAUCCUUCCACAGCCCGUAGCCUCUGCUCUAGCAUGCUAAUUUUGGAGCUUUCCUGAACUUCCACUCUUAUCUUCUCUUUUUCCUUCUUCUUUAAGUCAUCUAGGUCAGGAAUUGGUUCUGUUGCUUUUUCAAUGAAGACAGGAUUUAUAUAGCUAUUAUACUGCCCUGGGUUGAAAGCUGAUGGCAUUCCAGGAUAUGUUGGAUAUGCGAAGUGUUGUGGCGGGACCUCUUGAGCAGACUGGGCCUGAGGUGGGCCAAAACUUGGAGGGUACAAAGGGUCAGCCACUUCUUGUAAUGGGGGAACUUGCUGGCUUGUAUUUUCUGCAACUCCUUUUCCUUUAUUCAUGUUAUUAAGAGCCUCCAGAAUCUUGCUUAGUUCACUUUCAAUCUUCUCCUGAGCUUUUUCUAGCUUUUCAAAUCUAUGAGAACUUUUUUCCUCCAUUUGCCUUGCUCUAGAUCUUGUGUUGUAUGGAUGAGCAGGGUUUUCGCUAGAUGGAGCUAUUCUGGGACCUUGAGUACCAUACUUAUGAUUAGGAAUGUUAUGCUGUGCCUUAUGUAUGAUGCUUUGAUACACAAAUGAAAUGUACAUUUUUCUGAAUGAAAUCUAGUAUGAAAUGAAUGCAAAUGAUUGUGUUAAAACAUGAUCAUGAAAAUAAUGCAGAUGCAUACAAUCAGACAAACAACAUAAUUAGUUCCAUGGAUGAAAUGAAAGUGAUGCUGAUGCAUAAUGUUACAUAUGAUAAUGAUGCACAAAGUUAAACAAUCAAAAUGAUUAGAUAAACACCCUUUUUGUGUCCUAAUUUCAGGGUAUAUCUAUCAUUGGGUAGAAAGGGCUCUAUCCUAAGUUUAGGCACUCUUAAGGUUCACUAUAUGUGGUUUAAGGUCAAAGUCUAAAGGUCCUCAAAUUGUUCCUUACAUCCUUGUCCAUCACAGACUAGUAAUGCAUCCUAAUCCUCACCCAUUACAGGUUACAAGCAGAAAAGGUUCAAUUUGAGUGGGAGUAUUUCGCUAGCCACUGCGGAGGCAUUAGACCUCACGAAAGCAAUAGGUACUUUACUCCCUCCUAGAGGGACGGAGCUCGGGUGUAGAGCUCAUGUUAUGCACAUGCACAUGAAUGACAUAAUUAACAAAGUAAAUAAACAUGAAUGAAUAAUAAUACAUAUAUACAAAAAGGUUCAAUUUUAUUAGGCGUUUGGAUAACACAGAUUAUUUGCUGGCCUGACUCUCAACUUCCCCAGUGGAGUUGCCAAGCUGUCAUAACGUCUAGAUCCGGGGAUCUAUCGCUAGACAUUGACUUUUAGGGAGUCGCCACCAAUCUUUUUUAUCUAGGUGCGAUUGGCCACCUAAAGAAUCUGUCCUUUCAGGGAACACCUAAGUUUAAGGGUCCCUAAAAGAAUAGGUUCAGGUCUACUAACCAGAACAGGGUUCGGGAGUUCGGUUACGUGUGAGGAAGGUUAUAGCACCCUCACAACGCCCAUCAAAAGAUGGUACCAGCUUAAAUUUGUGUUAUCCAAUGAGCCUUAAAAUUUUACCCAGUAAUUAAUUAUUGGAAAUUAUUCUCAAUUGACUCUAAUACUUUUAGCAGAAAAUUGAGAAAAUCCCCUCACCUCAGGAGUAUGCAAGAAAACUACUGUUUCACUUGCAGAGGCUCCAUCGUCGGAUUAUUUAACAUUAAGGAAAAUUCAAAAAGAAGAAAAAAAAUGAUUGCUUUUUGUGCAGGGAAAAUUGAUACUUUCAACUUUUCCCCAAAAAAUAUUUUUUUUUAGAAAUUUUAAUUUUCAAGGAAAAUUGAUACUUUCAACUUUUCCUCAAAAACCCCUUUUUUGAAAAUUUAUUUUUUAAGGAAAAUUGAUACUUUCAACUUUUUCCCAAAAAUAUUUUUUUUAAAAUCUUUUUAUCUUCAAGGGUUAUUUAAAAGAUGCUCAACAAAUCAAAAUUUCCUGUGAAACAGUUUAAACUUACUUGGUAUCCAACAUGAGAACAAAUGAACAACUUCUUGCACCACCUUUGCUUACGAGAUGGUGAUGGAAUUAAGUGCAUCGAUUCUUGGCCCUUUAAGACACUGAUACAUGUAUGAUGUUUCAACAAAGUCAACCAUCUCCUUCUCAACAGCAAACCUAGUCACUUCAACCACUAGGCAAGGCGUAACAUGGACAGUCUCCAGAAAACAAAGCUGUAUCCCCAAAUGGGCCAAGGCAUCCCAACAGGAAGUGAAGUUUUGUUGCCGUAUCUAAAUCCCUUAACAAAUGAAUCAACAUCCCCAAUACUGGCCAGGAAGAGAGCAACAAAGCAAUUGCGAAUUUGCUCAACUUGUUCAAGUGUAUGCUGAUUCAGAUCAAAGAUUGAUAUCAUCAUUCCAGCAACAAAUGAACCCAGCUCAUCACCAAGCAACAAGCAAGCAAAAAUGCUAUGGAUGUCAACUGAUAGAACUCCUUAGUCAACGAUUUAGUCGUGGAUAGUACUCCCUGAAGGACACCAGAACUGCCACCUAGAACUGAAGUAAAGCAACCAGCAAACCCACAGCACAGUCCUCCACAUAACUGCAAAAAGCAUAUAGCGAAAUUGUUAUACCAAACGAACACGUGAAGAGAAAAUUUUGAAGAAAACCUCCAAGGACAGCAACUGUUCGAACAACACGAAGCUUUGUUGUUGAAAACUCCAAGCUUGAUGCGUGAAUCCUUGGCUGCAUAUUUUGGUGUAAUUGAUUGGGCUGCAGCUGAGUAGGCUGUAAUUGCAUCUGUGACAUCAGUUGCUGCCUUUCGCAUCAUCCAAUCUGUGCUCCCAAGGCGUUCAUGGAUGCUUUGCCGCAAGGAUUCCAAGCUCUGAGGUGCAAUUGCUCCCACCUGUGACAAACUCGCCACUACCGACGAAAGGGAAGCCUUAGCCAUAAAAUUCUGAUUAUUCAACAGCUUGCAGAUCCUUGGACACAGCUUCUGAAAAGCAGCCAAAGGAGGAUCAGUUGCACAUUCCACCAUCUAAGCCAUACACGUUGCUCGACGUAACAAAGUGGAGUGCCUUUUCCAUCGUGUUCUCCAAAACAGGUUCUACAGGUGAUCUUCCACCUCCUCUUUCGAAGCAAAGCCUUCUUUCAUGGACUGUCGCCAUGGCUGCUGAGUCCGAGACCGAGACAGCUACGAUUGGGCUCAGCUUGCGCCUGUGCCAGCUUUUGUUGCUCAACAGACCUGCUCAUGCGCUCAAGCAACUGAGCAGCCUUCCGCUUGCCCCUAUCUGUAUCAUUUUGUGCCAAGUCCACCAAUGGACUCGUCGCUCCUAGUUCCUGGGCCUCUGCUAAAUGUUGUUGGUCUCCAGCACAAAGGUGAACCAAAACUGCAGCUGUAUUCUCUCUAUUCCUGCUGCCCAGUCUUCUAUUCGGUUCUUCCUUUUUUUUUUUAUACCAGCAGCCUCACGUUCCCUUGCCUGCUACCAAGUUUUUCUCUCCCUGCAUCCUCUUAUUUAUUCAUAUUAUCGAGUAGGAUUUUUGGUUUGCUGAUCAGUCUCGUUCACAUUCGCUGCAGGUUACGGUGGAUCCUGAUGCGCCCAGCCCAAGUGACCCAAACCUGAGGGAAUACUUGCCUUGGUGAGUUGCAUGUCACUCUGUCUUUCUCUCUCCGGCUCCUUCAUCUCCAUUCCUUUGCAUGCUGUGUGUGUCUCUAUCUGUUGCAUACUCAAACGGGUACGCAAAAAGAAGCAGACAGUGAGGCGAACAGCCUAGCAAGCACUCCAAAUGCUGAGUUUUGGUACUUGCGGUUGUUUGCUUUGUUUCCUCAUCUUUCUCCCUGGGCAUUAGACACACUGAAUGGAGUUCGAGUGCUCCCAAAUGCUGGACUUCCAGUUGAACCAAAGGCAGGGGUGCUUGUGGAACCAAAGGCAGGGUCAAGAAAGGGAAGGUUUCCCACAGAGGGGAAGCCUCGAAGGCUUGGUGUCGAUGGGGGCUUCCCCUUUUGUUUGGCUUCUGUUUUUUUCCUCCCCCUUCAGCUUGUAUAUUCACUGUUGAUAUAUAGACCCAUGCUGAUAGAGUUUCAAUUCAAUUCCAAUUAGUCAUCCAAGGCUAAAGAUUAGCCACUAAUCAUGCUUUCUGAUCAUCAUCCAACUUAAUCUCAAUCUUUCUUUUUUUCAAAAAAAAAAAAUCAGAUAAUAAAAAAAUGAUAAAUAUGAAAUAAAAAAAAUCUAAAAUAAAAUUGAAUAAAAAUCUCUGCAAUUGAACUUGGAUUAGUCUCAAUUGACAAAGAAUCCCGGACAAAAUGGGGUGUCUACAACAGGUUUAUAUAGAAGUUCAUGCUCAAUCAAUUCUCCUUAAAUCCAUGAUUUUGUUUGAUUUUCGUUUUAAUGAGAAUUGAUUUUGAAAUCAAAUCCCAAAAUUCUCUCCCUAUCAUUUUGAUGUGAAUUGAUUAUGGAAUUAAAUCCCGACAAUCUCUCUACAUCAAAUACCAAUUGAUUUUAGAAUUAAAUUCCAAAAAUCUCUCAACUACGAUUAAACUCUGAAAAAAAUAUUCCUAGACAAAACGGGGUGUCUACAAAUGAUCAAAGUUCAAAAUUUGACAAUUUUAAAUAUGAAUUCUUUGUAUCAUCUUACAUUAUACAUGCACAUGUAAUAAUACACACAAAGCAAGUAAUAAAAAGCUAAAAACUAUCUUAUAAAAUGUGGAAAUUAGAGUGGGGAAUUGGGGGUUAGAUAAUAGGAAGCCUUAAAAAAUAUGAAUUAUUACCAAAUUACAGUAGCAUCAUCUUAAUAAAAUAAUUUUGUAAGAAACCUUUAUGAAGUAAGAGAGGGUCUAAAUUUAUAAUUGAAAAAUGAAUUAGCUAAUAAUAGGAUAGACAAAUAAUUUAAAAGAUUAAAAUUAGUAAUUUCAUAAUCAAAUAAAUGAUUUUUUAAAAAAUUAAUGUAAAACUAUGUUUUUUAAACCAACACAAUGCAUAAAUGACAUCACAAAUUAAUCUUCAUAUAUGUCUUGCAAACAUUUUAAUAAAAUUACAAAAAACAAUUUUAAGUAUUUCCAAAAGUAAAAUCCAGAUAUAUAUCAUAUUGCUAAACAUGCUAUUUCAACUUUUGAUAAUUGAAGUUACCUUCAUAAAUGAAAUCUCACUUGAAAUCCUGCCACUAAUUAACUCACUUUGAUAUUUUAAUUCUUAUCAGUGUGUAACUAUUUUUUACCUGCUGAGACCAGCAUCGGUAUAUACUUCAAUCUUUCUGUCAAACAUCUUCAAUUUUAUCAAAACCAUUUUCUUCUAUGCUUACAUAUGCGAGUGCAAACACAUUUGCGUGUGUGUAAAAAUAAAAGGAAUUAAGCGUUUAAAGUAGAUUCAUAUAUACACUAUCUGCUUUCCUCCCAAAUAUGUUUGCUUUCAAGUUUCCUCAAACCGUUUGUCAUAUUUUUAGGUAUUAAAAAUAUUAACAUAUAAUUUAUAAUAGUGCGAUCAACGUGGUCAUGGUAUUUGAUACACAUAAUAUAACUUGUAAGCAUACAAAAUUACACACAGAUUCGCAUAAAACAGGGGGUUUUAUUUUAUUUUAAUUUUAUCAUGUUUUUGAGAAAACAUGAAAGAAAAAGACCCAAAGAUAUAUAUUUAUUUUUCAUCAGUCAUAAGCACCCCCCAUACUUAGGCUGAAAGUUGAUCCAUCAGCACUUAAACGGAACCGCUGAAACCUUUAUUGUAAACAUAUUCAAUAAGGGAAUCCAACUCAUCAUUGGUGCAGUCGAUCAAAUUGUCCUUAUUUUUAUCAGCAACGUCCAUGGCCUCUUCGACUUGCUUGUUUGGCGUGAGUGCACCUAGAUGUUGAAAAGCAUCCUUGAGCUGGUCCCUGGUGAGGCUGCCCUGCUUAGAGUAAGAUCGAAACACUUGUUCCAAUUUGUUUUUCUGAUCCUUGUUAUCCUUUGUGGCUUGCAUUGUGGAUUUUGAGGUUUGUGACCGGGUGAUAUUAGAGAGAAGGCUUGCCUAGCUUGGUUUGGUUUUCUUUUCCAAUGCUACUUGUUUAUAUAGACCCAAAACUCUGAAUACGAUUCUGUUUAAGUGUUGGGGAAUAAAACAUUUUUUGGUGGUGGGUUUAAAAAAUUGAUUUCCAUCUUUUUUAUCAAUAAAAUUAAUAAAUCAAUCAACAAAUUUUAUAAUGAAUACUUAAAAAAAAAAUUCCAAGAGGAUUGGUACGAAUAAAAAUAUUAAUGUUAAUUUCUUCUUUUCUUCUGGCUUCAAAUUAACUACAGAUUGGAAAAAGCUAAACGGCAGCCUCCACUAUCUUGUGUCCAUUUUCUAUUGUUUCAUUUGUUUUAGCCCUCAAUUUGCAGUUUUUAGGUUUUUCUUUUUUGGUUCCCUGAUUAAAUGAUGCAUUUUGGUCCAUUUGGUUUUAAUGAAUUUCAGAAUUUGGUAGAUCUCGUGAAAGGAGUUCUAGGAAGUACUUUGAUGAGCAUGCUUGUAAAUUGUGAUAAUUAUUGUGUAUGAAUGUUAAGUUAUCCAAAAAUAAAUAAGUUUAGCAUUACGACUGUCUUUCUUUUUUUGUUUGCCAUAAAUGAUUCUGGAGCAAAGCAAACUACUGUUAAACUAAUUAUUUGCAUUGUACCACUUCCAGGAAUCAUGGCCUUAGUGGGUUAAAAUCGUAUACAUGUUUCUCUCUCAUAUGUUCUUAAUCUGGGUAGGAUAGAAUGAAGUUUGGGCUAUUUCAAUUCCUUUGCACCUUUUUUCCCUUGUACUGUAAUAUUUUCUCAACCACCCUUUUGCAAGGGGAAAGCUGUAAUAUAUUAUAUAUAUAUAUAUAUAUAUAUAUAUAUAUUUUUAAAUUAGAUAAUUUUGUAAAAAAAUUAUAUUGAUGGAAGUGUGUACAUGGUAGUCAGAUUUUAUUUUUUCAUUUCUUCAUUUUUUAUAAAGCUUUAUUUUUAAAAAGUUCCUAAUAAAAAUUUUUACAAGAAUAAAUCAUCAUUAUUAACAUUGCAUGACAAUUCAAUUUUUUUUCCUUUUUAUUUGUUUUGAUUUUCAUUUUCAUUUUUUCAUUUUUAGUUUUUUUUCUCCCUUUAUUUUUUACUAGAUCAAUUGUUUCAGUGAAAAAAACUCAUCGGAUGUGCCCACAUGACAUCCUAUUUUAUUUUUUGAUUCUUUUUUUUUAAUUAGACAAAUAAUACAGUAAAAAAAUCAGUAUAUAAAUUUUAUAAGAUAAAAAUCAAUUGAAGUAUAGACAACAAAAUAUCUUGUAUCCGAUAUGUUUUGAUUCCUAUGGAUCAAUCGGUGUGCUUUUUCUUUUUUUUUAAUUUAGGAUUGGAAACCUUAAAAAAUAUGAAUUAUUACCAAAUUACAAUAGUAUCAUCUACUAAAAUAAUUUUGUAAGAAACCUUAUGAAGUAAGAAACGGAAAACUUAUAAUUGAAAAAUGAAUUAAUUAAUAGUAGGAUAGAAAAAUAAUUUAAAAGAUUACAAUUAGUAAUUUCAUAAUCAAAUAAAUGAAUUUUUUUUAAAUUAAUGUAAAGCUAUGUUUUCUAAACCAAAGAAAUGCACAAAUGACACUACAAAUUGAUCCUUCAUAUAUGCCUCACAAACAUUUUAAUAAAAUUACAAAAAAAAAUUUAACUAUUUCCAAAAAUAAAAUCUUGAUAUAUAUAAUUUUGCUAAAUAAGGUAUUUAAACUUUUGAUAAAUGAAAUCUUACUUGAAAUCCUGCAAUUAAUUAACUAAUUUUGAUAGUUUAGUUUUCAUUAAAGUGUAAUUUUCUUUUGCUUGCUAAGACCAACAUCUAUAUGUACUUUAAUUUUUUUGUCAAAUAGCUAUAGUUUUAUCAAAAUCAUUUUCAUCUAUACUUACAUAUAAGCACGUGCAAAAACAAAUGCAUAAAUGUGUGUAAAAUUAAAAAGAAUUAAGCAUUUAAUUAGAUUCAUAUAUAUAGAUAUAUAUAUAUAUAUACAUACACAUACACACACUAUCUGUAUUCCUCAUAAAUAGGUUGAUUUUCAAGUUUUCUCGAAACCUUUUAUCAUGUUUUUAAGUAAUAAAAAUAUUAGUGUAUGGUUCAUAAUAGUACGAUAACAUGUUCAUGGUAUUUGAUACACACAAUAUAACUUGCAAGCAUGUAAAAUUACACAGAUUUGAAUAAAAACAGGGGGUUUUAUUUUAUUUUAAUUUUAGCAUGUUUUUGAGAUAACAUGAAGGAAAAAGACCCAAAGCUAUAUAUUUAUUUUCAUCAGUCAUAAGCAUCCCCCAUACUUAGGCUGAAAGUUGAUCCAUCAGCACUCAAACGGAACUGCUGAAGCCUUUAUUGUAAGCAUAUUCAAUAAGGGAAUCCAACUCAUCAUUGGUGCAGUCGAUCAAAUUGUCCUUAUUUUUAUCAGCAACGUCCAUGGCCUCUUCGACUUGCUUGUUUGGCGUGAGUGCACCUAGAUGUUGAAAAGCAUCCUUGAGCUGGUCCCUGGUGAGGCUGCCCUGCUUAGAGUAAGAUCGAAACACCUGUUCCAAUUUGUUUUUCUGAUCCUUGUUAUCCUUUGUGGCUUGCAUUGUGGAUUUUGAGGUUAUGACAGGGUGAUAUUAGAGAGAAGGCUUGCCUAGCUUGGUUUGGUUUUCUUUUUCCAACGCAAUUCGUUUAUAUAGACCCAAAACUUUGAAUACGAUUCUGUUGAAGUAUAGGGGUAUAAAACAUUAUUUGGUGGUGGGUUUUAAUAAUUGAUUUCCGUCCUCUUUAUCAAUAAAAGUAUUAAAUCAAUCAAUAAAUUUUUGUAAUGAACACUUCAACCAUGAGGAUUGGUACGAAUAAAAAUAUUAAUGUUAAUUUCUUCUUUUCUUCUGGCUUCAAAUUAACCACAGAUUGAAAAAUGCUAAAUAGCAGCCUCCACUAUCUUGUGUUGUAGUGAUGAUACAAGCCUCCACUAUCUUGUGUCCAUUUUCUAUUGUUUCAUUUGUUUUAGCCCUCAAUUUGCAGUUUAGUUUUUAGUUUUUUUUUUUUUUGUGGUUGCCUGAUUAAAUGAUACAUUUUGGUUUUAAUGAAUUUCCAGAAUUUGGUAGAGCUCGUGAAAGGAGUUCUAGAAAGCACUUUGAUGAGCAUGCUUGAAAUUUGUGAUAAUUAUUGUGAAUGAAUGUUAAGUUAUCAAAAAAUAAAUAAGUUUAGUUUUAGGACUUUCUUUCUUUUAUUGUUUGCUAUGAGCAAACUACUGUUAAACUAAUUAUUUGCAUUGUACCACUUCCAGGAAUCGUGGCUUUAGUGGGUUAAAACUGUGUCCAUGUUUCUCUCUCGUAUGCUCUUAAUCUGGGUAGGAUAGAACUAAGUUUGGGCUAUUUCAAUUCCUUCGCACCUUUUUUCCCCUGUACUGUAAUAUUUUCUCAACCGCCCUUUUCAAGGGGAAAGCUGUAAUAUAUAUUUUUUAUAUUUUUUCUUUUUUUUAAAUUGGAUAAUUUUGUAAAAAAAAUUAUAUUGAUGGAAGUGUCUACAUGGCAUUCAGAUUUAAUUUUUUGAAUCCUUUAUUUUUUUAUAAAUCUUUAUCUUUAACAAGUUCAUAAUAAAAAUUUUUACAAGAAUAGAUCAUCAUUGCUAAUAUUGUGUGACAAUUUAAUUUUUUUUUGUUUUCAUUUUCGUUUUAUUUUUUUUUUUUGGUUUUUUUUCUCCCUUUAUUUUUUAUUAGAUCAAUUGUUUCAGCAAAAAAAAAAAAAAACCCAAUGGAUAUGCCCAUGUGCCAUCUUAUUUCAUUUUUUGCCUUUCAUUAUUUUUGUAAUUAGAUAAAUAUUACAAUAAAAAAAUCAGUAUAUAAAUUUUUUAAGAUAAAAAUCCAUUGAGGUAUAGACCACAAAAUAUCUUGUAUCCUAUAUGUUUCGUUUCCUGUGAAUCCAAUCGGUGUGCUUUUUUUUAAAAAAAAAAUUUAGGAUCAGAAGCCUUAAAAAAUAUGAAUUAUUACCCAAUUAUAAUAGCAUCAUCUACUAAAAUAAUUUUGUAAGAAACCUUUAUGAAAUAAGAAACGGAAAACUUAUAAUUGAAAAAUGAAUUAAUUAAUAGUAGGAUAGAAAAAUAAUUUAAAAAAUUACAAUUAGUAAUUUCAUAAUCAAAUAAAUGAUUUUUUUUAAAAUUAAUGUAUAACUAUGUUUUCUAAACCAAAGCAAUACACAAAUGACCCACAAAUUAAUCCUUUCUAUAUACCUCGCAAACAUUUUAAUAAAAUUACAAAAAAAUUUUAACUAUUUCCAAAAAUAAAAUCUUGAUAUUUAUAAUUUUGCUAAACAAGUUAUUUAAACUUUUGAUAAUUGAAGUUAUCUUUAUAAAUGAAAUCCCACUUGAAAUCUUGCAACUAAUUAACCCAUUUUGGUAUUUCAAUUCUCAUCCAGAUAUAUCUUUCUUUUGCUGCUGAGACCAGCAACAAUAUGUACUUUAAUUUUUUUUGUCAAAUAGCCUUAAUUUUAUAAAAAUUAUUUUGUCUAUACUUAUAUAUAUGCACGUGCAAAAACAUAUGCAUAAGUGUGUGUAAAAAUAAAAAGAAUUAAGCAUUUAAAUUAGAUUGAUAUAUAUAUAUACACACUAUCUGCUUUCCUUCGAAAAGGUUGACUUUCGAAUUUCUUCAAACCUUUUAUCAUGUUUUUAAGUAAUAAAAAUAUUAGUGUAUAGUUUAUAAUAGUUUGAUCAACGUGUUCAUGAUAUUUGAUACACACAAUAAACUUGCAAGUAUGUAAAAUAACACCAGAUUUAAAUAAAAUAGGGGUUUUAAAUUUUUAUUUUAAUUUUAUCAUCCUUUUGAGACAACAUGAAAGAAAAAGACCCAAAAGAUAUAUAAUUUAUUUUUCGUCAGUCAUAGCGUCCCCCAAUAACUUUAGGCUGAAAGUUGAUCCACCAGCACUCAAACAGAACCACUUGAAGCCUUUAUUGUAAGCAUAUUCAAUAAAGGAAUCCAACUCAUCAUUGGUGCAGUCGAUCAAAUUGUCCUUAUUUUUAUCAGCAACGUCCAUGGCCUCUUCGACUUGCUUGUUUGGCGUGAGUGCACCUAGUUAUUGAAAAGCAUCCUUGAGCUGGUCCCUGGUGAGGUUGCCCUGCUUAGUGUUGGGGAACACCACAGCUCUGGUAUCAUUUGUUGGGCUAAAAGCCUCCAAUCUAAUCACACCAGCAGAAGCAAAUCAAACAAUAAAUCAAACACACAAGAGACAACAAUUUAACGUGGUUCGAUCAACUACCUAUAUCCACGGAUGAGAAAUAAGAUCCACUAGUUGUAGAGAAUUACAAACAUACAUCAAAUCAUCAACCUCACUCAACAAUCAAUACUCAUAAGACACUCUCAAUCUCCUCUAGUCUUAUAGAGUAUUCUCAACCCAAACAAACACAAACCCAAACCUUUAUGCACUCUUUCAACAUAACCAAACACAUACGCAUAUGCUCCCAUACAUCAUACCUAUGUGGACCCUCUCAGUCUCCUCUAAUCCACUCACAAACAAACAUACACACCCAUAAGACGUAGAGUCCCAAUACUCUUAUGAGGUGUCUAUCCUACAAAACCCUACAACUCUCUUACAUCUUUUUUCUCAUACCUAACCCUGUAGAGACUUCACCUAUUUAUAACCAUACAAACUUGCCCAUUAAGAAUCCCUCUCCUCUUAGAAUUCUUCUCCUGUAAGUCAAACAUGCCUAUUAAGAAUCCCUUUCCUUUUAGAAUUCUUCUCUUGCAAGUCAAACUUACCUAUUAAGAAUCCUCUUUCUCUUGGAAUUCUUCUUUUGCAAGUCUUCUUGUCCAUCAAGCAAUAUCUGACAAAUCUCAAACAAAUCUCUAACAAAUCUCAAAGAAAUCUCUUAUGGGAUUUGAGUCAAUAUUCCUAACAAUCUCCCCCUUGACUCAAAUUCCAUCAAUCAUCUGUCUUCAUGCUAGACAUGCUUGGCUCCACCUGCAAUGGAAGUCUUACAAUCAUCUUCUCUUUUCUUGUGUCUCACGCUUUAUACAAACCAAUCUUCAAUCUUCAAAACUCGAACUCGAACUCUUCUCUUGAAUUGAGCUCCUCUAAAUUUAUUUCUUUUCAUGUCUUAAACCAAGCUUUUCCCAUAUCUCAAACUGUCAACUAUUCUCAUGUCUCGAACUAUCGACUCUUUCCACAUCUUGAAUCUUCAACUCUUCUCACGUUUCGAACCUUCAGCUUUGAUACCACUUGUUGGGGAACACCACAGCUCUGAUACCAUUUGUUGGGCUAAAAGCCUCCAAUCCAAUCACACCAGCGGAAGUAAAUCAAACAAUAAAUCAAACACAUAAGAGACAACAAUUUAACGUGGUUCAGUCCAACUACCUACAUCCACGGAUGAGAAACAAGAUCGACUAGUUGUAGAGAAUUACAAACAUACAUCAAAUCAUCAAUCUCACUCAACAAUCAAUACUCAUAAGACACUCUCAAUCUCUACUAGUCCUAUAGAGUAUUCUCAACCCAAACAAACACAAACCUAAGCCCUUAUACACUCUUUCAACAUAACCAAACACAUACCCAUAUGCUUCCAUACAUCAUACCUAUGUGGACCCUCUCAGUCUCCUCUAAUCCACUCACAAACAAACAUACGCACCCAUAAGACGUAGAGUCCCAAUACUCCUAUAGGGUGUCUAUCCUACAAAACCCUACAACUCUCUUACAUCUUUUUUCUCAUACCUAACCCUGUAAAGAGUUCACCUAUUUAUAACCAUACAAACUUGCCCAUUAAGAAUCCCUCUCCUCUUAGAAUUCUUCUCCUGUAAGUCAAACAUGCCUAUUAAGAAUCCCUUUCCUUUUAGAAUUCUUCUCUUGCAAGUUAAACUUACCUAUUAAGAAUCUUCUUUCUCUUGGAAUUAUUCUUUUGCAAGUCUUCUUGUCCAUCAAGCAAUAUCUGACAAAUCUCAAACAAAUCUCUAACAAAUCUCAAACAAAUCUCUUAUGAGAUUUGAGUCAAUAUUCUUAACAAUCUGCACAUUGACUCAAAUUCCAUCAAUCAUCUGUCUUCAUGCUAGACAUGCUUGGCUGCACCUACAAUAGAAGUCUUACAAUCAUUUUCUCUUCUCUUGUGUCUUUACGCUUCAUACAAAUAAAUCUUCAAUCUUUAAAACUCGAACUCGAACUCUUCUCUUGAAUUAAGCUCCUCUAAAUUUAUUUCUUUUCAUGUCUUAAACCAAGCUUUUCCCAUAUCUCAAACUGUUAACUAUUCCCAUGUCUCGAACUAUCGGCUCUUUCCACAUCUUGAAUCUUUAACUCUUCUCACGUUUCGAACCUUCAGCUCUGAUACCACUUGUUGGGGAACACCACAGCUCUGAUACCAUUUGUUGGGCUAAAAGCCUCCAAUCCAAUCACACCAACGAAAGCAAAUCAAACAAUAAAUCAAACACACAAGAGACAAUAAUUUAACGUGAUUCGAUCAAACUACCUACAUCCACGGAUGAGAAACAAGAUCCACUAGUUGUAGAGAAUUACAAAUAUACAUCAAAUCAUUAACCUCACUAAACAAUCAAUACUCAUAAGACACUCUCAAUCUCCUCUAGUCCUAUAGAGUAUUCUCAACCCAAACAAACACAAACCCAAACCCUUGUGCACUCUUUCAAUAUAACUAAACACAUACCCAUAUGCUCCGAUACAUCAUACUUAUGUGGACCCUCUCAGUCUCCUCUAGUUCACUCACAAACAAACAUACACACCCAUAAGACGUAGAGUCCCAAUACUCUUAUGGGGUGUCUAUCCCAUAAAAUCCUACAACUCUCUUACAUCUUUUUUCUCAUACCUAACCCUGUAGAGACUUCACCUAUUUAAAAUCAUACAAACUUGCCCAUUAAGAAUCCCUCUUCUCUUAAAAUUCUUCUCCUGUAAGUCAAACAUGCCUAUUAAGAAUCCAUUUCCUUUUAGAAUUCUUCUCUUGCAAGUCAAACUUACCUAUUAAGAAUCCUCUUUCUCUUGAAAUUCUUUUUUUGCAAGUCUUCUUGUCCAUCAAGCAAUAUCUGACAAAUCUCAAACAAAUCUCAAACAAAUCUCUUAUGAGAUUUGAGUCAAUAUUCCCAACACUUAGAGUAAGAUCAAAACACUUGUUCCAAUUUGUUUUUAUGAUCCUUGUUAUCCUUUGUGGCUUGCAAUAUGGAUUUCGAGGUUUAUGACUGGGUGAUAUUAGAGAGAAUGCUUGUCUAGCUUGGUUUGGUUUUUUUUUCCAACGUAAUUUGUUUAUAUAAACCCAAAACUCGAUUUGUAUUCCGUUGAAGUGUAGGGGAAUAAAAUCUUUUUUUGUGUUGGUUUUUAAAAUUUGAUUUCGAUUGAAAGGAAACGAUAUAAUUGUAUGACAAUUUCUUCAUUUGAAUUUUUUUUAAGUAUCCAUUUUAUUAAUAAAAUUAAUAUAUCAAUCAAUAAAUUUUUAUAAUGAAUACACAUAAGCAAAUAUUCCAAGAGGAUUGGUACGAAUAAGAAUAUUAAUGUUGGCUUGAAAUUAACCACAGAUUGGAAAAUGCUAAGCGUAGUGAUAGCGGCCUCCCUUUCUUAUGUCCUAGUGAUGAUAGCAGCCUCCACUAUCUUGUAUCCAUUUUCUAUUGUUUCUUUUGAUUUUGCAGGUGAAAAGGCUAGACAAUGAAGUCAGGAGUAAGGAAUCUAAACUCUCACCCUAUCCAAAUUUGAGCUGUUUCUACAUGAAAAAGUUUGAAAAGAAUCGUCUUGUUGCUCCUGGUUGGACAGAGCUUGAUCAUACACAUUGAUUUUCUAAAAACUUAUAAUUUGAUGAAAGUGUCUUGUCUGUAGGAUAAUUUGAUAUUAUUGGUUAAAAAUAUUGUUAUAACAUAUAGAUUUAUGGACCCAUUAUAGACAUAAACUUUAAGAGUCGUUACUAUUUUUUUUUUGUUUAGGUGCAAUUAACCAUUUAACUGAAUCUAUCUUAUUUAAAGAGUAUAUCUAAGAUAGACUUAGGCAUUUUUAAAUAGUAGAUUCUAAAAUCAAUGAAAUCAGAUUUAAGGUUCAAGAGUGCAAUUAUGCAUGAAGAAGUUUAUAGCACCCUUACAGUGCCUAUCCAAAAAAUGGUAUCAGUUUAAUUUCAAAUUAUCUAAACCUUGAAAUAUUCUUUAAUUAUACCCAGUAAUUUAAUUAUUAAAAAUUAAUCCUAAAAUUACUCUAAUAGUUUAGUAGCAAUGUAAGAUAAUUUUCUUACCUUAAGAGUAUUCAUAGAGACAAUGUCUCACUCUAAAGAGACUCCGUUGUUGAAUUUAUUAAUAUAUUUUAUGUAAAAAAUAAUUAGUAAAAUCCUCCAAUAGUUUGGUAAGAUUUUACUUUGGUGCAAAUCUCCCAAUAGUUUGGUGAGAUUUUAUAUGAAAAUCAUUUAUAAAAUUUUGUUUUGAUGUAGAAUUCUAAAUAGUUUAGUGAGAUUUUAUUUGAAAAUUAUUUAUAAAACUUUACUUUGAGAAAAUUCAUUAAAUCUUCUAAUUUGGUAAGAUUUAAUUCAAGAUUUUUAUCCUCUAAUAAUUAGUAAGAUUAAAAGUAUAUUAUUUUAUUUUAUUUUAAAAAUUCAUUAAAUCCUCCAAUAGUUUGGUAAGACUUAAUUCAAGAUUUAAAUAUUUCAAUAGUUUGGUAGGAUUGAAAAUUUAUUAUUAAAGAAAUUACAUUAUGAAAUUUGUCAUAACGUCUAGAUCCGAAGAUCUAUCGCUAGACAUUGACUUAAGAAGUUGUCACCAAUCUUUUUUAUCUAGGUGUGAUUGGCCACCUAAGGAAUAUAUCCUUUCAGGGAACAUCUAAGUUUAAAAGUCCCUAAAAAAAUAGGUUCAGGUCUACUAACCAGAACAGGGUUUGGGAGUUCGAUUACGUGUGAGGAAGGUUAUAGCACCCUCACAACGCCCAUCGAAAGAUGGUAUCAGCUUAAUUUUAUGUUAUACAAUAAGCUUUAAAAAUUUACCAAGUAAUUAAUUAUUUAAAAUUAUUCUCAAUUGACUUUAAUACUUUUAGCAGAAAAUUGAAAAAAUUCCCUCACCUUAAGAGUAUGCAAAAAAACUACUGUUUCACUUACAGAGGCUCUAUCGUCAGAUUAUUUAACAUUAAAAAAAUUCAAGAAAAUAAAAAAAAAAUGAUUGCUUUAGAUAUAAACUCUUUUCUCUUCAAGAAUUCAUUGCUUUUAUACAAGGAAAAUUGAUAUUUUCAACUUUUCCUCAAAAAUAUUUUUUAGAAAGCUUAUUUUCAAGGAAAAUUGAUACUUUCAACUUUUCAUCAAAAAUAUUUUUUAGAAAGCUUAUUUUCAAGGAAAAUUGAUACUUUCAACUUUUUCCCAAAAAUAUUUUUUAGAAAAACUUAUUUUCAAGAAAAAUUGAUACUUUCAACUUUUCCCAAAAAUAUUUUUUAGAAAGCUUAUUUUCAAGGAAAUUUGAUACUUUCAACUUUUCCUCAAAAGAAUUUUUUUUUGAAUUUUAUUUAAAGAAAAUAAUAAAAUAAAAUAAAAUAAAAAUAAAAAUAAAGAUAAAAAUAGAAUAAAAUAAAAUGAGAUAAAAUAAGAAAUACUAAAUAAUUCUAAUCUAAUAAAUAAUAAUAAUAAUAAUAAAAAUAAUAAUAAAUAAAUAAUAAUAAAAUGAGAAAAAAACCUGGGAACGGCUUGGCUCGGCUCAGCUUGAGGAAGAAAAACGGCUCGGAGAUGCGGCUCGGCUCAGCUCGACUUUGCACUCGGGUCACACGCAGGUCGCACGCGGUUUGGCGCUCGGGUCGGGUUGCCCAAUUUCAAAACGCGUGGAUCCUUUGGGAACAGUAAUGCCAAAACGACGUCGUUUUCAACAAGUAUAAAAGGCUCAUUCUUCUGUUUUUCAAUAGACCGAUCUUUUCCUCUCUCUCUCUUCCCUUCCUUUCCUCUCCUAUCUCUCUAAACAGACGAAGAACUCCGGUUGAAUUUCAUCAGAUUCUGGAAAAUGUCAUCGAAAUCUGGGUUUUUCACCAGAAAUUCAUCGAAAAGUUGAUCGAUUUCUGGAAAUAGUCGCCAAAAACUGGGUAGCUGACCGAAAAAUUCAAACUUGGCCUGAAAAUUCACCGAAAAAUUUAAACUUGACCGAAAAAUUCAAUCGGAAUCUAUAAAUUUUUCAGAAAUUUUCAGAAAAAAAUUUGCCAAAAUUCUAAAAAAUUUUUGAAAUUACUUUGGCCCUUCUGAACGCUUUUUUUUUUCUUUUUGCUCUUUUUCUCAAUCAGUCUCUGUGUUUCUGUUCUAGUCUUUAUGAUUCAUGGAUCUAUUUAUAGGGAUUGAUCAGAAAAGUUUCUGAUCAAUCCCAACUCCUCCUUGGAUUGGGAUUCAAUCCUUGAAUCCAAUAUAGACUCUGAUUGAAUCCUAAAUCUAUGGUAGAAUUCCAAAUUUCCAUCCCAAUCCCAGCCGAAUAAAAAGAAAAAGAAAAUCAAAUCAAAUAAAAAAAUGUUAAUAGAUAAUUUAAAAAAAUAAUUAGAUAAAUAAAAAUGUUAAUAGAUAAAUAAUAAUAAUAAUAAAUAUAUAAAUAGAUAAGUAAUAAUAAAAAAUAUAUAUUAAUAAAUAGUAAUAAUAAAUAAAUAAAUAAUAAAUAAAUACAAAAAAUACAAAAAUACAAAAUACAUAAUAAAAACAAAAUAAAACAAAUUGAAAUGGGCUUACCCAUUUGGACCAGGCCCAAUUGAUCUGGGCUUGGACCAAAUUAGGUGUCUACAGCUGCCCCUCUUUGCAUAUUUUCUGUGAAACAGAAAUUGUGCAAAGAUGUAGACACCCAUUCAAAACUCCACUCGACCUUUUUUUCUUUUUUGCUUUUUUUCGUUAAAAUUUUGAUCAAAAUUCCUCUAAGCAGAGGCUCAACAACUUUAAAAAACAUAAACAAAGCUCCUCUAAUCAGAGGCUCAAAGACUUUGAAAAUAAUAAACAAAGCUCCUUUAAUGAGAGGCUCAACGACUUUGAAAAUAAAUAAACAAAGCUCCUCUAAUCAGAGGCUUAACGACUUUUGGGAAGUAAAUUGCUCGUCUAAUCAGAGGCUCUAUGACUUUUGAAAAGUAAAUUACUCCUUUAAUCAAAGGCUCUACGACUUUGAAAAAUAAACAAAGCUCCUCUAAUCAGAGGUUCAACAACUUUUGAAAAUAAAUUGCUCCUCUAAACAGAGGCAUGACAACUUUGAAGAAUAGAUUGCUCCUCUAAUCAGAGGUAUCACAACUUUGGAAAAUAAAUUGCUCCUUGACAAUCAUGUUCAAAGGAGUUGAAAAUUGUGUUUGAAGGAAUUUCAGGAGAUUAUGCCCAAAGGUCUUACAAAUCAACCCUGAUACUGAGAGACAUCCUAUUUCAAGGAUUAGAAACUUACCUGACAAGCUUUUUUCUCAAAUUUAAAAAUGUUUUUACAUCCGUCUUAUCUAUGUGGGAUGUUAGAAUACCCCUGCUUCUUGAAUUUAUGCACUAUAUUUUCUUGAAUGUAGUAUAUACUAUGCAAUGCAUGUGAAAUUCAAUGCACGCUAUGCAAAUGUUGGCUAAUUAAUUCCUAUUUAAUUGUGGUACUCAAGUUUCUUAAGCUCUUUUUUUGGGCAUCACCCUUUAUUCUUCAAAGAUCAAAUUACGCUGCUCUUCUAAGAUCGAGCCAGUAUAGCUCUCAAUCAUCUCUUCCACUCACAUUCUUCCUAUAAGAAAUCUCUUUCCAAAUUUAAUAUCCUUAUCAGGAACUGAACAUCUCAAUUCUACUUUUAUCACUCUUGACUUCUUCAAUGCAAUGUAAAAAUCUUUCAUGCCAUUAUUCAUUUAUCAAUCAUUAUUUCAAACUCAACAAGUAAGAAUGCAUUUGCACAUUUCUUCGAUUGUAGAGUAUUAAGAAGAAAAGAAUAAGAAUGGUUGAAAAACUAUCAACAAAAAAGGCACACAAAAAGUGAAAUAGAAUGUUUUUUUUAUUAGCAAAAUGCUGGCAAACUUUGUCCAAGGAAGAAUUACAAGGAUAAGUAUAGGGAGACAAAGCCCAAAAAUGAACAAUAGGACAAUCAUGAUAACACAUCUCAAGGUUUUCUGAAAACCCAACCAUCUGAUGCAUUUAACAACUCAGAGCUCCUCCGAAUUUGCUAACCUCUACGCCAAUAGAUUUUUCAAAUUUGAUGCUAUAUUCUCCUUAUCUAAGCUUCCUUUUUAGGUUUUCAACUUAGAUAAACCCCUAUGACUCAAACUGCCCUUUUAAGGUUUUUGCCUUGAGUCCUCAUUUUUCAUUCACUUUUUUUUCUUUUUUUUCAUUUUUCAUUUUUUUCAUUUCAUUUUUUCUCUUUUUUUUUUCAAGCAUAGUAUUUCUUCACAGCAUCAAAAUUUAUAGGAUGGGGUAAAUCAUUUCUAUCCAUUUCAGUCAGUAUUAGUGUUCCACCCAAGAAAGCCUGUUUCACUACAUAUGACCUUUUCUAAUUCAGAGUCCAUUUUCCUCUAUUAUUAUGCUGGAUUGGAAGGAUUCUCUUCAAGACCAACUCUCUUUCUCGAAAGCAAUGGGGUCGAAUCUUUUUUGUCAUGAGCCCUCAUCAUUCUUUUUUGAUAUAACUGACCAUGGCACAAUGUAGUCAAUCUCUUUUUUUCUAUGAAAUUUAACUGUUCAUAGCGUUCUCAAAUCCAUUCAGCUUUUUUCAACUCAACUUUUUUUAGAACCCUUUAAGGAUGGGAUCUCCACUUCCACUAGUAGUACAGCUUCCAUCCUAUAAACCAAAAAAAAUGAAGUUGUCCUAAUAGAGGUAUGCACUGAUGUUUGAUAUGCAUGCAGUGCAAAUGAUAACUUCUCAUGCCAAUCUUUAUAAGUCUCAGUCAUCUUCUCAAAAAUUCUUUUUAUGUUCUUGUUGGCUGUCUCAACUGCCCUAUUCAUUUUUGGACAGUAUGGUGUCAAGUUAUAAUGCUUGAUCUUGUAUUGAGCACAUAUUUCUUGCAUCAUCUUACUAUUUAGAUUCUUGGUAUUAUCUAAAAUAAUUCUCUCUGGAAGUCUAUAUCGACAGAUAAUCUCUCUCUUUAUGAAUUUACAAACCACAAAUCAUGUUACAUUUGCAUAUGAUGCUACUUUCACCCAUUUUAUGAAGUAAUCUAUUAUCACAAAAAUAAAUUUAUGCCCAUUAGAAGCCUUUGGGAUGAUAGGACCAAUGACAUCCAUGUCCCACAUUGAGAAUGGCCAAGGUGGUGCCAUAAUAUGUAAAAUAGAUGGCGAAGCAUGAAUUUUAUCAGCAUAUAUCUAGCCUUUAUGGCAUUUACGAGCAUAGUCAAUGCAAUCACUCUCCAUUGUCAACCAGUAGUAUUCUGCUCUUAUGAUCUAUCUCGUCAUCAUAUGUCCACUGGCAUGUGCCCCACAUAUUCCAUCAUGUAUCUCUUCAAUGAUUUUUCUUGCUUCAACCUUACUUACACAUCUUAGUAAUACUUGAUCAUGGCUUUUUUUGUACAGAACAUCCCCAUCUAGGAAAAAACUCAUAGCUAAUCUUUGGAUGACCCUUUUAUCAUUUUUUAUUGCUUGAACUAGGUAUUGUUGAUCCUUAAUAUACUAUAAGAUAUCAUAAUACCAGGGCUUUCCAUCCUCCUCUUCUUCUACAUUAGAGCAAUGAGCUGGCAUAUCCUUAACAUCUAGCCUGAUGGGCUAAAUGUCAAUAUUGUCAUUAAUUCGAAUCAUUGCGGCUAGAGUAGCUAAGGUAUUGAUAGUCAGAUUCUUUUUUCGAGGUAAAUGAUCAAACUGGAUAUCUUUAAAUUGUUUUAUCAACUCUAAAAUAUACUUAUGAUAUGGAACGAGUUUUGAAUCUCUCGUCUCUCAUUCCUCUUUCAACUGAUAUAUAACUAGAGCUAAAUCCCCAAACACUUUUAAUGCUUUCACUCUUCUAUCUAUAGCAGCUUGUAGGCCCAUGACACAUGCCUCAUAUUUAGUAAUGUUAUUUGUGCAAUUAAAAUUUAACCUUGCUAUUAUAAGACAGUAUUGUUCUUUUAGGGAGAUCAGAAUUGCUCCAAUUUCAUGUUCCAAGGCAUUGGUAGCUCUAUCAAAAUACAUUCUCCAACACUUUUCUCCAUGCCUCCCUUUCUCCAAUUGGAAAAUAGUUAUUAGAUCUUCAUUAGGGAAUUCUAACCUCAUUGGUUCAUAUUCUUCAAUAGCAUGAUCUGUGAGGAACUCCGCUAUAGCGCCUUCUUUUAUUGUCUUUUGGCUUACAUAUAUAAUAUCAUACUCCGAGAGCAUUACUUGCCAUCUAACAAUUCUUUCAAAUAAAAAAGGCUUUCGAAGAUGUAUUUAAUUGGAUCCAGUUUUACUAUAAGCCAUAUGAUAUGAUAGAGCAUAUAUUGUCUGAGUCUUUUGGCAGUCCACGUUAAUGCACAAUAUAUUUUCUCCAAUGAGGAAUACUUGGAUUCAUAUUCUGUGAACUUUUUACUCAGAUAAUAAAUAGCUCUCUCUUUUUAGUUAGACUCAUCUUGUUGCUCCAGCACACAUCUCAUUAAAUUUUCACACACUGUUAAGUAUAAAAUUAAAGGUUUCCCUGGAAUAAGUGGCACCAACACUGGAGGAUUUGACAAGUAUUGCUUAAUUUUAUCAAAAGCCACUUGACAUUCUUCAUUCUAUUUUUCAAGAUUAUUCUUACAGAGAAGCUUAAAUAUGGGAUCAUAUUUAUAAGUAAGUUGAGAGAUAAAUCGAGAAAUAUAAUUCAAUCUUCUCAGAAAACCUCGAACCUCCUUUGGUGUACUCAUAGGUGACAAAUUUUGAAUGACCCGUAUCUUGUCUGGAUCGACUUCAAUUCCUCUUUCACUGACCAUAAAACCUAGUAACUUCCCUGACUUUACCUCAAAUGUGCACUUGGCUAGGUUUAAUUUAAGCUGAAACCUUUUCAAUCUCUCAAAUAACUUUCUGAGGCUGGUGAUAUGAUCUUCAUUCUCACAAGAUUUUAUAAUCAUAUCGUCUACAUACACCUCAAUCUCUUUGUGCAUCACGUCAUGGAAGAGUGUUACCAUGACCCUUUGAUAUGUUACCCCAGCAUUUUUUAACCCAAAAGGCAUGACUUUGUAACAAAAGGUUCCCCAUAUGGUCACGAAAGUAAUUUUUUUCAUAUCAUCUGCAGCCAUUUUUAUCUGAUUAUACCUUGAGAACCCAUCCAUAAAGGAAAAAAUUAAAUGCCUAGCCAUGUUAUCUACCAGUGUGUCGAUAUACGAUAAAAGAAAGUUAUCCUUUGGACUAGCCUUAUUCAAAUCACGAUAGUCUGCACACAUUCAUACCUUUCCAUCUUUUUUAAGAACCGGUACUAUAUUGGCUACCCACUCUAGAUACUUAGCCAUUUGUAGAAAACCUGCAUCAAACUAUUUUUUCACCUCUUCUUUGAUCUUUAGUAGCAUUUCAAGCUUCAUUCACCUCAGUUUCUGUUAAACUGGCUUACAUUAUGAUUUUAGAGGCAAUCUGUGCUCUACUAUCUCCGUGCUUAGUCCUGGCAUAUUUUGGUAAGACCAAGCAAAUACAUCCAUGAAUUCCCUAAGUAGAUCUGCCAAAUGUUGUUUAUCUUCUGAUGAAAGUGAAGUGCCAAUUUUGACAUCUUUCUUAUUCUCUUCAUUUCUCAGAUUCACCAAGUUAACUAUCCCUGAUGAGGCUCAAUUGACUUAUUUCUUGUUCAAUCAAUCUUAUUAGGUCCGAAAGCAUAACAUAUUCCUCAUAAUUCUCUUCAUUGUCAAGUUCAUCAGUGUUAAUUGAAUUCUCAAAACUAACCUCUUAAUUGUUAUCAUAAUUAUCUUCAUGUUUAUUUAAGGACCUAAAAUUGUAUGAAAUGAGAUAUGUUGACAAGAUUUGUUUGAGAAAAUGGCAAUAAUAAAAACACAAGAAGAAAUGAAUGAAAAUGCAUCCUUCUAAAUUUUUAUUAAAAUAAUAAAAGAUAAAUGGCGCAAACAAGAAAGAUCAUCCUAAUGUCUUGGGCAAUAGCUAUUGGGAUGUUACAAUUAUAUUGUAUUAAUUUCAAAAGUCACAGACACUUCAAUGGCACUGCAAUUGUUUAGCUCAUAAUUUGGUGGACCCACCCCUUUUGAUUAAGCCCUACUUCAUCUUUAAUAGCAUUAAUGGUUAACUGGGCAAAAGCCCUUUCCAUGCUUUUUUCUGUAUUUGAAUACAUGAAUCCUCCAGGUCUAAAAGUCUCAUACAGGUGUGGGAUAACCAUUAGUCUUACUAUUUUUUCUACUGGCCUUCUCUUGAUUUCUCAUUUUACUAUCUCAUAGCCUAAGCCUAACCUUUCACUAUUGUCUAUCACUGUCGGGGGUUCUUUUAUUCCUUGCAAGUUCUUGCCCAGCCUUAAUCCUGGAUACCAGCCCUUAUUGAUGACUUGGCUUAUCACUAUCCUUGAAAAAGAUUAAUUUUUAAGUCCUUCACCUAUACAAUUAACCAAUUCAAAAGAUCGAUAGGAGCAUUCUACUACUUUUUCGAUAGCCUUUACAUACAGAGCAUUCAAGGUUGGGUCACUAGCAUGUCUUCCUCCCAACUACCACUACUAAUUGACCUUUUACAUUAAACUUGAUCUUUUAGUGUAAAGUAGAGGGCACAGCACCUGCCAUGUGAAUCCAUGGCCUUUUUAGUAGACAACUGUAGGAGGAAGAGAUAUCCAUCACUUAAAACUUCACAUUAAAAGUGUAUGGCCCUAUUUGCAAGGACAUCUCGAUAUCUCUCAAGACCUCUCUUUUGGUUCUAUCAAAAGCUCUCACGAUCAUCUGACUGUCUUUCAUAUGAGAGUAGUCAAUGGGUAACCUUGCCAAAGUUAACAUAGGCAUGACGUUGAUAGCGGAGCCAUUAUCAAUAAGGACUUUAGCUAUGAUAUGGCUCUUGCACUUGACUGUGAUAUGCAAAGCCUUGACAUUUCUUCUUCCCUCCGAGGAAAUUUCAUCAUCGUUGAAUGAAAUGUAAUUCAAUAUGACUAGAUUUCUAACUAGGUGGUUCACAUAUUUAACAGAUAAAUUAUGUGCCACAUAUGCCUGGUUCAAUACUUUCAGCAGGGUGUUUCGAUGUGGCUUCGAAUUUAAUAAUAGUGAUAGUAAUGAAAUUCGUGUUGGCAUUUUAUUCAACUGUUCAACAACUGAAUACUCACUAUGUUUUACCAGCUUCAGGAAUUCACAAGCUUUUUUUUCUAACACCAACUUCGGACGAUCUUCCUCAGGUUCUACUUCAAGGUUAUUUUGUCCUUCUCCUUCAUUAGCCUUCUCUCUUCUAGCUUUCUCUAAUAUUUUUAGAGUGUAACAUCUUUCACUUCGGGUAAUACCUCUUACACUAGUUAUAUUGGAAGUGUCAGCUUUAGAGACAUCCCCUUCUUACCCCUGAACUACUGUAUCGCAGCCAUAUUUCUAGGGUAAAGCUUUAUCAUCCUUAUAUGGGAAAGGAGUCGAAACUUUAAAAGUUAUCAGCCUGGGAAUGAGUUUAUCUAUGAUUGACUUUGGCUUGUUCCCAUAAUGGAUGGUCACCGACUUUGGAAAUAGUUUUAUAGGCUUAUCAGUUAUAGACACUUCAACACUUUCUAAGUCUUCUCUUUUUUCAUAGACCUCUAUCUAGUAUAAAUUCAAGAGCUUUUGCACUUUUUAGUGAAACUGCUCACAAGUUUCGAUAGAGUGACCCAUUGUCCCGCUAUGAUAUUUACAACAAGUGCCAACUAUAUAUAUUCCAUGAUGGCUGUAUAGACUCACUGGUUGUAUCAUGUCAACUUUUCAUAAAAUAUCAAACAGCUGACUAAGAGGCGUUUUAAUAUCUGCCACUUCUUUCUUAAAAUGAUGCUCUUGUUCUUCACUUAAAGCAUUCAUAUUAUGAUUAGGGAAGGGAUUGCCACUAAAAUUUGGUGUAGUUACCCCUCCUGUAUCAAAGCUAAUUAUUCCAUCCUUGAUCAAUCGUUGCACUUUGUGUUUCAGGACGGUGUGAUUUUUGAUAGAGUAACCGACAAUCCUAUAGUGAUAGUCACAAUGGGCUGUGGGAUCAUACCACUUAGGGUAAGGUAGCUUGAGGGGCUCUAAUUUACUAGGAGCAAUCAGAUGACUGUUGUAAAACUCAUGAUAUAAUUCUGUAUAGGUCAUUAGGAUUAGGUCAAAUACAGGUUUUUUGUGAGUAGUUUGUUACUCUCAUAAACCACCCAUUAGGUUAGCUAGAUGAGUUUAGGGUUUUAGGUAGGCUGAAUAUUAGGACUAUAUGUGGUAUUCUAAGGCCUAAGAGGAGGUUGAUAUGUUUGGGGAUAAGGUGACUGUGUAAAUGGUUGGUAUGGGUAAGGGGAAGUGUUAUUUACAGUAGGGUAAUAUGGAAGGUAUCCUUGUGGUGAGUAGGGCUGAUAACCUCCAAAUUAUCGUCUAUUAAAGCUCAUAGCUUGAGCUUCAGUCUUUUUCUUCUUUGGGACUCUUUUGCUAGAUGCUUCACUUCCUUCCAACUUGCCAUUCUUGAUGGCAUUCUCGAUAAUUUCUCCUGAAAUUACCAUAUCAGUGAAAUUUUUGGUUGCAUUCCCUAUCAUCUUUUCAUAAUAAAGAGGUUUCAAAGUGCUAACAAACAGCAUUGUAAUCUCUUUCUCAGUCAGAGGAGGUUGUACUUGAGAAGUUACAUCCUUCUAUUUCUGAGCGUAUUCUUUAAAAGACUCAUUUGCCUUUUUCUCCAGGUUCUGUAAAGACAAACGAUCAGAAGCCAUAUCGAUAAUAUGUCGAUAUUGAUUGAUGAAGUCAUGAGCUAUAUCACUUUAAAAAUGAAUGCGGGUUCUAUCAGCUGGACAUACCACCUGGCAGCAGAGCCUGUAAGGCUAUCUUGAAAAAUAUGCAUUAGUAGUUUUUCAUUAUGGGGCAUGGGCUGCCAUCUUCCGACAAUACAUGGUGAUAUGAGUUUUUGGGCACUUCGUAUCAUCAUAUUUCUCAAAUUUUGGUACUUUGAACUUUGGUGGAAUGACUACAUCCGAGACUAAGCAUAGCCCAGCAGCAUCAACAGAACCAUAAAAUCCAAUUCCUUCUACGGCUUGUAAUCUUUAUUCAAACAUACUAAUCUUUAGAUCUUCCUGAGACUCUGCCACUUUUGCUUUCUCUUUAUUUUUCAAGUCAUCUAGAUUAGGAACCGGUUCUAUUGCCUUUUUAGUAAAGAUAGAAUUUACAUAGCUAUGGUAAUGCCCUAGAUUGGAGGCUGAUGGCAUUCCAGGAUAUGUAGGAUAUGUGAAGUAUUGUGGUGAAACCUCUUGUGUAGACUAGGCUUGAGGUGGACCAAAACCUGAAGGAUAUAAAAGGUCAGCCACUUCUUGUAAUGGGGGAACUUGUUGGUUUGUAUUUUUUUCUAUUCCUUUUCCCUUAUUCAGCUUAUUGAGAGCAUCUAAAAUCUUGCUCAACUUAUUUUUAAUCUUUUCCUGUGCUUUCUCUAGCUUUUCAAAUCUGUGAGAGUUUUUCUGCUCCAUUUGUCUGACUCUAGCUUUUUUGUUGUAUCGAUGGACAGGGUUCUCGCUAGAUGGAGCUAUCCUUGAACCUUGAGUACCAUAUCUUAGAAUUAGUAAAUUUGCAUGACUAUCUCAUGGUUACUUUGUUAAGUGUAAUGAGUGAGAAUGCAAUGAAUGAGAAUGCAUGUAUGCAAAGAACAUUUGCCUUAAAGACGGUAUUUAACUAAAAGAUUUCAUUUAUUCCAAAAAACUUUUAUUUACAUUGAGUUUAUCAUCCUAAAAUUAUAACCAUAAAAUUGUUUGAUCUGUUCAUAUUGGGCCUUGGCUUUUUCGAUAAAGUUUAAUAGAUGCUGCCCAUGCUCUCUUACUGGGGUCACCACUUGUUUUAAUACCUCUACCUCUUCUACCAUCUCUCUUGCCUUGCAUACCCCUUUACAAAUUUGGGUCGUUAGGUACUCAAUAUAUUUCUAUCUUCUUAAGUUCUCUCUUUUACCAUACCAGACUUGGUAUGAUAACUCUCUAUGCUCCCUAAGUAAUGCAGCAAUAUGGUCUUCUUGUUCAUUCAACUUUUAUCUCAGCCUGCUUAGAUAACUAUUCAGCAUGUUAUUCUCUAUCUAUACUUAGGUACUUUCUUCUUCCAAUUCAGCAUAUUCUUGUUUCAAUCUUGCAUUCUCUUCAGUUAGCUCAACAAUCAUUAUCUCUUUGGCCCUUUCUCUCACGCAUAAUCUCUUAUAUUUUGAUAUAGCUCUGCUAGGUCUUCAAUAGUCGUAUCAUGUUAUCUAACAAUCUUACAAACUUUGGCUUCAUGUCUUUCAGCUCUAUCUUUCCACUGGUCUUUUUCUUCUCGAAGCUUCUAGAUUUCUUACUUUAACUUACCCUUUUCCUACUCAAAUUUUUUUGUCGCAAGCUCUAAUUCUGAUGGUGUCUCUUCAAGCUUUCCUCCUGUUGGCGGUUGAAAGCUUUCAUAAGUGAAUACCAUUUCUUGUUUUCGUUUUGCUCUCCAAACCAGAUACCCUGGAGUGACUUUAUCAGUAAACGAUCUAAGACUCACUCUUCGGGGAUUUUUCCAUGCUUUAAUCAUCUCAUUCAUCUUCUGAAAUGCUUUUGGCUCACUGUAAGAGAAAUCUAAUUAAUGAAGCCCAUACGUCAUAGGAAUAAACUGUUCUGCCCCAAACUACCUUUUCACUGGGAGUGAUGUAUAAUUUGUCGCUCUCUAUAAACACAGAAGUGGGGCCACUAUAUUUAUCCCCACAUUGAUACAACAUAGGCUCACAAUUCAUCCAUGGGGCCAACCAUCUUACUGUGGCACUGGUCAAUUUUUAUAGGAAAGUUAUCCAUUCUUUUUUAGAUUUUGGUUCUGACCACCCACUUUCACAGAAUUCUUUGAUCAGAGCUCGAUUACGAGCAUAAAGCUUUGAGAAAGCACCUUUUCUCCAUUCGAAAUGGCUUUUCAUCCAUAAGUACAAUAACUGUAUGCAACCUAUAAAGUGCCCUCCAUUCCGACGGUAGUAACUCAAAGAUCUGAUAGUCUCUACUAAUAUUAUGGUUGAAGGAUUACAGCCAUUGAUCACACUCUCGAAGAAGUCAACCACCGUUAUCUCAAUAUAACCCAAAACCUUUGAGAAGAUCACCAUUCCAUAUAUAGCUAAGGCAAAUACAUCUAACCCCCGUUCUUCGUUGGCAUGUUGCAAUAGAAACUCAUGAAAGAACUUCCACGGUAGACAAACCUGUUCUUGUUUCUUCUUUAUAUGAGAAUCCACAACUUCUUUGUCUAUCCUCAUGAGUUAACCUAAACCAUUACAAAAUCCUGACUUGUGUUUUUUGACAUAUAUCUUAUCGGGAGCCUUGAGGUGCAAACCCAACAAAGUUGAAUAUUCUUUGAUGGUUGUGUCAUAUCAACUUCAUUGAAGAUGAAAUACUUGUAUGCAGGAUCCCAGAAUUAUGCUACAGCUCUGAUUAGUUGAUCGUCGACAACUACUGCUAGAAGGUGUGCUAUAUGCCCGUGUCUCUGGCAAAACUGCUCUUAUCUUGACGAACUCAUCUUCUUCCAUAUAUCAACCAAGUCCUCUAGAUUAUUUUGUUUGAGAAGGAUAGAUGUUUCUUGAGACAAGGUAGAAUCAUAUCCGAUUGAUAAACAAUCCCACAUCUUCAGUUGAAUCUUUUUUUACUGGACCCUUACUUCGUUGGGUGACUCACAAGGUGCUAAUACAGAUGAAGAACAAACUAGUUGUUUUGUGGAGUCCAUGAAAAAUUUUUGUUAAAGACCGUCUUUCAAGCAAAUGUUCUUUAUGCAACUUUAUGAUAUGAGCAUGAACUGAUGCAAAAGAAUAAGAGAAAAGGUUAGUAUGCUCAAAAAAUAAAUAAAUAAAUAACUAAGUAACUUAAAAUAUCACACAGAAUAAGAGGAAUGAAUCCUAUGCUUUUGGUUAAUUCUAAAAAGGAAGAAUAAUGGCUCUAUCUAUAGGUUAGGCACUCUUAAGGUUCACUAUAUGUGGUUUGAUGUUAAAGUCUAAAGGUUCCCAAAUUACUCCUUACAUCAUUGUCCAUCACAGACUAGUAAGGCACCCUAAUCCUCACCCAUUACAAGCUACAAGCGAAAAAGGUUCAAUUUGAGUGGGAGUAUUUCGUUAGCCACUGCAAAGGCAUUGACCUCACGAAAGUAAUAGGUACUUUACUCCCUCCUAGAGGGACGGAGCUCGGGUAUAGAGCUCAUAUUAUGCAUAUGCAUAUGAAUGACAUAAUUAAUAAAGUAAAUAAACAUGAAUGAAUAAAAGAAUCUAUACAAAAGGUUCAAUUUUAUUAGGCUUUUGGAUAACACAAAUUUAUUUGCUAGCCUAACACUCAGACAUCCCCAGUGGAGUCUCCAAGCUGUCAUAACGUCUAAAUUCAGGGAUCUAUCACUAGACAUUGACUUAAGGAGUUGCCACCAAUCUUUUUUAUCUAGGUGUGAUUGGCCACCUAAGGAAUCUAUCCUUUCAGGGAACACCUAAGUUUAAAGGUCCCUAAAAGAAUAGGUUCAGGUCUACUAACCAGAACAGGGUUCGAGAGUUCGGUUACGUGUGAGGAAGGUUAUAGCACCCUCACAACGCCCAUCGAAAGAUGAUACCAGCUUAAUUUUGUGUUAUCCAAUAAGCCUUAAAAAUUUACCAAGUAAUUAAUUAUUGAAAAGUAUUCUCAAUUGACUCUAAUACUUUUAGCAAAAAAUUGAAAAAAUUUUUUCACCUCAAGAGUAUGCAAGAAAACUACUAUUUCACUUGCAGAGGCUCCAUCGUCGGAUUAUUUAACAUUAAAGAAAAUUCAAAAAAAUAAAAAGGAAAAAAUGAUUGCUUUAGAUAUAAACUCUUUUCUCUUCAAGAAUUCAGUGCUUUUAUACAAGAAAAAUUUAUACUUUUAACUUUUCCUCAAAAAUUCAUUUUUGAAAACUUAUUUUUAAGUAAAAUUGAUACUUUCAACUUUUUCCCAAAAAUAUUCUUUCUCAAAAAUAUAUUUUAGAAAGCUUAUUUUCAAGGAAAAUUGAUACUUUCAACUUUUCCCCAAAAAUAUUUUUUAGAAAUACUUAUUUUCAAGGAAAAUUGAUACUUUCAACUUUUUCCCAAAAAUAUUUUUAGAAAGCUUAUUUUCAAGAAAAAUUGAUACUUUCAACUUUUCCUCAAAAAUAUAUUUUUUUGAAUUUUAUUUAAAGAAAAUAAUAAAAAUAAAAAUAAAAAUAAAGAUUAAAAUAAAAUAAAAUAAAAUGAGAUAAAAUAAGAAAUACUAAAUAAUUCUAAUCUAAUCAAUAAAUAAUAAUAAUAAUAAUAAAUAAAUAAUGAAAAAAACCUGAAAAUGGCUCGGCUUAGCAGCUCGGCUCAGCUCAGCUCAGCUCCGUACUUGGGUCACAUGCGGGUCGUAAGCGAGUUGGCGCUCGGGUCGGGUUGCCCAAUUUCAAAACGCGCGGAUCCUCUGAGAAUAGUUACGCCAAAAUGAUGUCGUUUUCAACAAGUAUAAAAGGCUAAUUCCUUUAUUUUUCAGUAGAUCGAUCCUUCCCUCUCUCUCUCUCUCUCUCUUUCCUUCCUUUCCUCUCCCCUCUCUUUAAACAGAUGAAGAACUCCGGUUGAAUCUCGUCGAAUUUUGGAAAAUGUCACCGAAAUCUGGGUUUUUUAUUGAAAGUUCAUCGAAAUGUUGGUCGGUUUCUGAAAAUAGUCGUCGAAAACUGGGUAGCUGACCGAAAAAUUCACUGAAAAAUUCAUCGAAAAAUUCAAACUUGGCCGAAAAAUUCAAUCGAAAUCUAAAAAUUUUCCAAAAAUUUCCAGAAAAAAAAUUCACCAAAAUUCUAAAAAAAAUUUGAAGCUGCUUCUGGCCCUUUUGAAUGUUUUUUUUUUCUUCUCGCUCUUUUUUUCAGUCAGUCUCUGCGUUUCUGUUCUAGUCUUUGUGAUUCGUAGAUCUAUUUAUAUGGAUUGAUCAGAAGAGUUUUUGAUCAAUCCCAAUUCCUCCUUGAAUUGGGAUUCAAUCCUUGAAUCCAAUAUGGACUCUAAUUGAAUCCCAAAUCCACGGUAGAAUUUCAAAUUUCCAUCCCAAUCCCAGUCGAAUAAGAAGAAAAAGAAAAUCAAAUCAAAUAAAAAAAUGUUAAUAGAUAAUUAAAAGAAAAUAAUUAGAUAAAUAAAAAUGUUAAUAGAUAUAUAAAUAGAUAAGUAAUAAUAAAAAAUAUAUAUUAAUAAAUAGUAAUAAUAAAUAAAUACAAAAAAUACAAAAUACAGAAUAAAAAAUAAAAUAAAACAAAUUGAAAUGGGCUGACCCAUUUGGACCAGGCCCAAUUGAUCCGAGCUUGGACCAAAUUGGGUGUCUACAAAAUUCUUUAUUAGUUUGGUAAAAUUCAUAAUUGAAAUUUUCUAAACCAAUGAAAUAAAAAAUUCAUAAUUUAAAACUCACAAUCUUUAAAUUUUAUUUUAAACGUACAUAAAAAAGUAAAAUAAAUGAAUAAAUAUAUAAAUAAACAAAAUGUAAAAAUUACCCUAAUGGAUGGAGACAUGCCUAGGUUGAAGUAUCUCUUCAUCUAUGGUAACAGAUAAUCACCAAAGAGCUCUACCACCAAUUUUAACCUAAGAGCUAGGGUAUAGAUUGCUACUCAUCCAUUUCUUGGUGGGUUUCCCUUUUUUUCUCCCCUUUUUUUUGUAUUUUGUUGAUUGGUGUUUAUAUUAGGCCUUUUGCUAAGAGUUUUAACGAUUUGCAUUGAAUGAAAAGGAUUGCAAAUCAGAUUAUACUCUGAACUUAUUUUUUCUUGAUUCUCUUUAAAAUUUAUUUAAUUAAUUUCUAGAAUUGUCUCAAUUUUCCUUGAUUUUCAGAGUCCCUUAAAACUUCCCAAGCUAAAUUUGACUUUGAUUCCUUGAUUUGCUUUCUUUUCAACCUUCCUUUAAUAUUUAAAGAGAUCAUGUUUUAGUUUUAAUUGUCGAGAUCAUCCUUGAUUAGUGCUCAAAUUACUCCAUAAAUUUUAUUGACAUGAUUUAUGAUAAAAAUUUAAAAUAAAAUAAAUAAAAAGAGUAAAACAUAUAAAUAAAUAAGAUAUAAAAAGAAAUGAAGGAAAUUGGACAAUUGGGCUUAGUUUGAGCCCCGAACUAAAUAGGGUGUCUACAGUUGCCCUCUUUGCAUAGUUUUUGUAAAAUAAAAAUUAUGCAAAGAUAUAGAUAUCUAUUACGUUCAAGCCCAAAUUAUUCAAUUUUUUUCUUUUUUUUAAAGGCUCUUAAAAAUGAAGGCACACAACAUUUUAAAAAAUUAAGGACGACACCCGAAGGUUUUGACAAUCAUGCCCAAAGGUUUUAUAGAUCAUGUCCAAAGAGCUUGAAAAUUAAGCCCGAACGUCUUACAAAAGCAUUCAUUAAAAAAUGCUCAUUUAAACAAAGGCUACACAACUAUUAAAAAAGUACCUAAAAGUUUUAAAAGAUCAUACCCAAAGGUCUUAGAGAUUAUGCUCGGAGUUCUUACAAAUCUUGACUCUAAAAUAAAUUCAACUCGAAAGACUUACAAAUCUUCCCUAAAGGACUUAGAGAUUAUGCUCGGAAGUCUUACAAAUCUUGAUCUUAAAAUAAAUUCAACUCGCAAGACUUACGAAUCUUGCCCAAAUGACUCAGAGAUUACACUUAGAAGUGUUACAAAUCUUGACUUUAAAAUAAAUUCAGCUCAAAAGACUUAUGAAUCUUGUCCAAUGACUUAUAGAUUAUAAUCAGAGGUCUUAUAAAUCUUGACUCUAAAAUAAAUUCAAGUCAGAAGACUUGCGAAUCUUACUCGAAGGACUUGGAGAUUAUGUGUAGAGGUUUUACAAAUCUUGGAGAUUAUGCCUAGAGGUCUUACAAAUCUUAACUCUAAAAUAGAUUCAGCCAUGAAAAUUUAUGAAUAUUGCCUAAAAAACUUCGAGAUUACACCCGAAGGUUUGAUAAAUCUCAACUCUAAAAUAAAUUCAGCUUGAAAGACUUAUGAAUCUUACCUAGAGGUCUUACAAAUUAAACUUCAAAAAAGCUUAUUUAAAAUGAAUGUUCAACCACUUUAAAGAGAAAAAAGAUAUUUUGAGGUUUUAAAAAUCAUGCUCGGAGGUCUUAUAGAUAUUGCUUGAAAGACUUUUAAAAUAGUUUAAUAGUUUUGAAGGUGUUGCCAAAGGGUUCAUAAAAAAAAUUAUCCGAAGGUUUUUUAAGACUAAUACUUAAAAAUUUUAACAAAUUUNNNNNNNNNNNNNNNNNNNNNNNNNNNNNNNNNNNNNNNNNNNNNNNNNNNNNNNNNNNNNNNNNNNNNNNNNNNNNNNNNNNNNNNNNNNNNNNNNNNNNNNNNNNNNNNNNNNNNNNNNNNNNNNNNNNNNNNNNNNNNNNNNNNNNNNNNNNNNNNNNNNNNNNNNNNNNNNNNNNNNNNNNNNNNNNNNNNNNNNNNNNNNNNNNNNNNNNNNNNNNNNNNNNNNNNNNNNNNNNNNNNNNNNNNNNNNNNNNNNNNNNNNNNNNNNNNNNNNNNNNNNNNNNNNNNNNNNNNNNNNNNNNNNNNNNNNNNNNNNNNNNNNNNNNNNNNNNNNNNNNNNNNNNNNNNNNNNNNNNNNNNNNNNNNNNNNNNNNNNNNNNNNNNNNNNNNNNNNNNNNNNNNNNNNNNNNNNNNNNNNNNNNNNNNNNNNNNNNNNNNNNNNNNNNNNNNNNNNNNNNNNNNNNNNNNNNNNNNNNNNNNNNNNNNNNNNNNNNNNNNNNNNNNNNNNNNNNNNNNNNNNNNNNNNNNNNNNNNNNNNNNNNNNNNNNNNNNNNNNNNNNNNNNNNNNNNNNNNNNNNNNNNNNNNNNNNNNNNNNNNNNNNNNNNNNNNNNNNNNNNNNNNNNNNNNNNNNNNNNNNNNNNNNNNNNNNNNNNNNNNNNNNNNNNNNNNNNNNNNNNNNNNNNNNNNNNNNNNNNNNNNNNNNNNNNNNNNNNNNNNNNNNNNNNNNNNNNNNNNNNNNNNNNNNNNNNNNNNNNNNNNNNNNNNNNNNNNNNNNNNNNNNNNNNNNNNNNNNNNNNNNNNNNNNNNNNNNNNNNNNNNNNNNNNNNNNNNNNNNNNNNNNNNNNNNNNNNNNNNNNNNNNNNNNNNNNNNNNNNNNNNNNNNNNNNNNNNNNNNNNNNNNNNNNNNNNNNNNNNNNNNNNNNNNNNNNNNNNNNNNNNNNNNNNNNNNNNNNNNNNNNNNNNNNNNNNNNNNNNNNNNNNNNNNNNNNNNNNNNNUGAAAAGAAACUCCUAAAUAUUUCAAUUUAUUGGUAAUUUUUAGAAGACUUUUCUCACCUAAAGAAUUCUUGAGAAUUACUAUUCAGACUUCCCAGAGUCCCAUCAUUAAAAUUUUUUUUUAAAACAUGCAAUGCAGACAAGAAAAUAGAAUAUGUACACAAAAAUAUAUAUUUAUUAGGAAUUAAUUUUCUUUAAUCAUUCUCUAAUUAUCACUAAAAUUUUGAAAGGAACAAAAAAAUAAAAUUUUUAUUGAAAAUUUUCCUGAUACCCUAAUACACUGGCAAUAAUUUUAAAAAAAUUUUCUCACAUAAGGAUUUCUUAAAAAUCUUUACUCAAACUUCCUUUGAAUUCCAUUCUCUAAAAAUUUCAUUCAUAUCAUUAUUAUAUGCAUGAAAAAUAAAAUAUAUCAAACAUGAGUUUAAACACAAAAUAUUAUAUUAAAAUAAGCAUGAGAAUCUAAUCAACAAAAAAAUUAAAAAUGCAUAGGAUUAAACUUAUAACUGAAUUUAAACAAUCAUAAACGACUUGUAUGAGUAUAAUAAAACAAACAUAAAGGUGGAAUAACAUAGUUCAUGUGAAACUCAACCUAUAGCCUAUUUUCAGCUUUCAUUCUUUUUGUUAUCAAUCAUAAGAACAAGCCAAGACAGCCCCCACGCAUAGGGAAAUAAACAAAAAAAUACAAAAAGCUAGAAGCUUUAUAGCUUGUGCAAAACCUUUCACAUAAAGACAACAAACUAGAUAAGAAAAAAAACCUCAUUCCAUGUUGAAGAGCAAAGACCUAUGAAGCUACCCAUUGAUGUUUUAUAUAGCUCAAAUGGAUUAUAGCCCAAAAGUCAUCAACUUCAGACUUCCAGCUUUAUCCGUUUUAGCUUUCAAAACAAAACAACACUAUGGUCCAAACAACUUUCAGUCAUGUUUUUUUUACCUUGCUAGUAAACCCAUGUCUGUCUCAUACAAAGAAAGAAAGCAAAAUAGAUGCUGAAAUUACUUUAGGCAGCAAUGGAAAUAAGUUACAAAAUUUGUUUGGAAGAUCAACCAAACCGUGACUUCCCAUGAGGAGUUAGGCAGCAUGAUUUGGCUUAGUCUAAGCUAAUUUCCUUUUCUUUGUUUGCUUUAGCUUAAACCAACUAGAGGUUGGUUAUAAAGGAUGAAAAAAAGGGUGAAAAAAUUUAUGGCAUGAUCAAACAGCUAUUGUCAGAAGGAGAAACAACAGCUGUUCAGCAACACAAGAAAAACAAUGGUGUUCCAACCAUCUUGGAAAAAAUGAAAUAGAAACAUAGAACAAAUAAGGCUUGAAAUUUUAUUAACAAACACACCAAACACCAAAGCAUGAAAGGAAAAAAUAAGAGCACUUGCAGAAAAGAUCAUGAUAGGAGAAAAAAUAGUGUGAAAUACAUUAUAUAAUUAGCAAACUCAACCUUGGUAUAGGCUAUCUCACCUUUUGAAUUUUUUGAUUUUAGCUUUUCUUUUUUUUUCUGCUCUCUCUUUUUUUUUUUUUUCCAAUGCUUCAUCCCCCUUCUUCCGCCAUUCUAGUAGCCUUUGGAUGAAAUCUCAUCCAAGGGCCAUAGUUUUUCCUUUUCUUAUUUUUAAGGAGCCACCUUUGGUCCUUGGAUUAAAAGACAACAAAGGAUCCAAUGGCUCAGAUUACACACUGCAAAGGUUGAAUUUUUAUGCCCUCUUAAACCCAUAAAAGACCAUUUUAUGCUUAGUGCAAAAGUUUUGGUAUUUGUGGUCAUUUCUUUAUAAAUUAAUGUUCCCAUGGUCAUUUUUGUGAUUUUCAAGCACCAAAAAUCAUAAAUUAUUAUUAAGUUGAGAUCUGAAAAGUUUCAUAAAAUUUUAAGCUCAAAAAAAGCCAAAUUAUGAAAAUACCCAUAUAAGGGUAUUUCAAUAAUUUUACACUUUCGGGGGUACUGCUAUGAUUUUAGAUGCACCAAAAAUUAUAAAAUAUCAUGAAAUUGUGAUCUAAAAAGUUUCACAAAAUUUCAAGUUUAGAAAGAUCAAAUUACAAAAAUACCUUUACAAGGGUAUUUUGAUAAUUUCAUGCUUCCAAGCGUACAAUAAAAACUCUAAUGUUUCAAAAAAAUCUCAACUUUAACUUUAAACAAUAUUGAUUUUAAUUAGGUUUUGAAUUUUUAGAAUUGAUCCAGGCUCUAUCCCUUUUGACCAAGUUUCAUGCAAUUUUGACUAGGGUUGACUUUGAAGUUUUAAAUAGACCAAUUUGUGAGGUCUUUACAAGUCUUAAAUGGUUCUCAUAAAUGGUUUUAGCCUUUUAUUCACAAAUAAGCCCUAGAUAAAUCAUGUUAAAAAAUAUCCUAGACAAAAUUUGGUGUCUACAACUACCCUUCUUUGCAUACUUCUAAGGAUCAAAAGUAAUACAAAGACAUAAAUGGUAAUUUUGUCUGAAUGAUGUUUUCGAGUGAGCGAACCUUUGUUUUUUCUUCUCUUCUUCUCUGUUUUAUUUUUUAAACUAUGGAUUUUAGAGAUUAAAUCUUAAAAACUUUUUGAAUGCUCCUCCAAUCAGAGGCAAUGGAGCUUUGAAUAUUUAUAAUGUUUUAUGAAUCACAAAACUUUUGGAUGCUCAUCUAGUCAGAGGCCAUGAAACUUUGAAUUUAAAAUGGUUGGAGAUUAUGCCUGAAGGUUUUACAAAUCUUAAAAUCUUUAAAUGCUCCUCCAAUCAGAGGCCACGAAACUUUGAGUUUAAAAUGUUUGGAGAUUAUACUCGAAGGUCUUACAAGUCUCAAAAUCUUUAAAUACUCCUCCAAUCAUAGGCCAUGAAACUUUGAAUUUAAAAUGUUUAGAGAUUAUACUUGAAGGUCUUACAAAUCUCAAAAUCUUUAAAUACGACUCCAAUAAGAGGCUAUGAAACUUUUAAAAAAUUAGAAUGUUUGCUUGAAGGUCUUACAAAUUAUAUCUAGAGGUCUUAAAAAUUAUGCCCGGAGGUCUUAAAGAUUAUACUCGGAGGUCUUAGAGGUUUCAAAAUCUUUGAAUGCUCCUCUAAUUAGAGGCCAUGAAACUUUUAAACAAUUAAAAUGUUUUGUCCGAAGGUCUUGAAAAUUAUGCCUAGAGGUCUUAAAGAUUAUGCCCGGAAGUCUUAGAGAUUUUAAAAUCUUUGAAUGCUCCUCCAAUUAGAGGCCAUGAAAUUUUUAAAAAAAUUAAAAUCUUUUUCCCAGAGGUCUUGAAAAUUAUGCUCGGAGGUCCUAAAGAUUAUGCUCAAAGGUCUUAGAGAUUUCAAAAUCUUUGAAUGCUCCUCCAAUAAGAGGCCAUGAAACUCUUGAAAAAUUAAAAUGUUUUACAAAUGGUUUUCCCUUAAAAAGAGAUUUUUUGAAACUCUAUAGAUUUUUGUUUGAACAUGGCUCUUUCCAAAUAGAGGCUUCAAAAUCUUUAUUUGAAAAUGGCUCCUCUUAAAUAGAGGUUUUGAAACUUGAAAAUCUUGUUUCUCUUUUCUCUCUAUUUUGAAACUAGUUUGAAAAUGAUUCAUGAUGUCAUGGCUUGAGAAUUUCACAAGUUGUGAUUGUUUAAAAUAAUUUUUCAUACUUCAGUCUUUUAUUUGAAUGAUUCUUUCUUAAAAAAAAAGUUUAAAUUUUUCAUAAUUCAUGAAUGCAAUGGAUAUAAUGCAAGUAUUAUUAGAAACCAAUAUGAUGUAUCCAAAAUGUGGUAACAAGUUUCCUUACAUCAUUCAUUUUUCUCUUUUUUUCUCUUUUUUUUUUCUAUAAAAUGAAACCAUUCUCAAACCUGGUUUGCAUAUUCUAGGAUCUUCUUUCUUAUGAACUUCAAUGAUCAUUUGUUGAUCUUUAUCCUUAUAAUGUUGAUAAACACAAUCCUGAUGCAAAUGUCUAUCCAAUGAUGUGAAUACAAAUGUCAAUGCGAAUGUAAAUGUCAUUGCAAAUACAAAUGACUUUUUCACAAUGCAAAUGCCAAUGUGUUUUCUGUAUAAAUGCCCCUAAAAAUUCUAAAAUGCCUAUGUCAUGAUGCAAAUGCAAACUUCUUUCUUAUAGUGCAAACGUAAAUGCCUUGGUUAAGAUGUAAAUACAAUGCAAAUACAAGUUAUACAAAUGUGAAUGUCUUUCUUAUGAUGCAGAUGUAAGUGAUGCAAAAGCGAAUAUCUUUCUUGUGAUACAGUUGCAAGUGAUGCAAAUGUAAAUGUGUUUUUCCUUAUGAUGCACAUGCAAGUAUAAAUGCAAAAGUCUUUUUUUUGUGAUAUAGAUGCAAGUAAGGCAAAUGUGUUUUUCUUUUUUUUGUGAUGUAAAUGCAUUGGGCUUAAUAUUUCAUCAAGGGGCAACUAAUCUGGGCUUAAAUAUUUCUUUAAAGGUCGGCUAAAUUGGGCGUACAUUCAUUUGAGGUCAACUAAUUUGGGCUUAAAUCUUUUUUUUGAAGGCCAGCUAGAUGGACUUAAUAUUUCAUUAAGGGCUAGCUAAUUUAGGCUUAAUAUUUAUAAGAGGCAAGCUAAUAUGGGCUUAAUAUUUCAUUAGGGGCCAGCUAAUCUGGGCUUAAUAUUUCUUUAAAAGCCAGUUAAACUGGCUUACAUUUAUUGGGGGUUAGCUAAUCUAGACUUAAAUAUUUCUUUGAAAGCUAACUAAAUUGGGCUUAAUAUUUCAUUGAAGUUUAGCUAAUCUGGGCUUAAAUCUUUCUUUAAAUGAUAGCUAAAUUGGGCUUACAUGCCCGAGAAUCAACAAUCUCUAUUAAAAAUGAAAGAUGAAGAUUCUUUCCAAAUGGGUUGAAUAGUUCUGUAUAUAGAGAUUUUUGUUUAUUCAAAAGGGUUUCAGCACCUAUAAGGGAUAAAAGGCAUAUACUUUUUUCAACAAGUUCACAGAUGUAACAAGUUUCCUUACAUCAAUCAUUUUUCUCUUUUUUUCUCUUUUUUUUUUCUUUAAAAUGAAACCAUUCUCAAACCUGGUUUGCAUAUUCUAGGAUCUUCUUUCUUAUGAACUUCAAUGAUCAUUUGUUGAUCUUUAUCCUUAUAAUGUUGAUAAACACAAUCCUGAUGCAAAUGUCUAUCCAAUGAUGUGAAUGCAAAUGUCAAUGUGAAUGCAAAUGUCAUUGCAAAUACAAAUGACUUUUUCACAAUGCAAAUGCAAAUGUUCUUUUUGUAUAAAUGCACUACAAAUACUUUUUCUAAAAUCCUAUUCAUAUAAAUGCAAAAUUUUUUCUAUAGUGCAAAUGCAAUGCCUGGUUAAGAUCAAAUACAUAGUUAAUUGCAAAGUUUGAAUGUCUUUCUUAUAUUCAAUGUAUGUUGAUAGCAAAAAAUAUCUUUCUUGUGAUACAUAUUAAGUAUCAAAUGUAAAUUUUUUUCUUAUGAUCACAUGCAGAUAUAAUGCAAAACUUUUUUAUGUGAUAUGACAAUAAGUAAGAUAGUUGUUUUUUUUUUUGGGAUGUAAAAUCAUUUCAGUAAAUAUUUAUCAAGUCAACUAAUCUCUUAAAUUUUCUUUAAUAGCUUAAAUGGGCGUACAUUCAUAGGUAAUAAUUGGCCUUAAAUCAUUUUUUGAAGGCCAGCUAGACUGGAUUUAAUAUUUCAUUAAGGGCUAGCUAAUUUAGGCUUAAUAUUUAUUAGAGGCAAGCUAAUAUGGGCUUAAUAUUUCAUUAGGGGCCAGCUAAUCUGGGCUUAAUAUUUCUUUAAAGGCCAGUUAAACUGGCUUACAUUUAUUGGGGGCCAGCUAAUCUAGACUUAAAUAUUUCUUUGAAAGCUAGCUAAAUUGGGCUUAAUAUUUCAUUGAGGGUCAGCUAAUCUGGGCUUAAAUUUUUCUUUAAAUGAUAGCUAAAUUGGGCUUACAUGCCCGAGAAUCAGUAAUCUCUAUUAAAAAUGAAAGGUGAAGAUUUUUGCCAAAUGGGUUGAAUAGUUAUGUAUAUAGAGAUUUUUGUUUAUUCAAAAGAGUUUUAGCACCUAUAGGGGAUAAAAGGCAUAUACUUUUUUCAUACAAGCUCAUAGAUGAAACAUAAAUUUUCUCAAAAACAUGAAUUCCUUAAAAAUCAAACAUGUUAAACACUUUUUUUAGUCUUUAAAUGUGAUAUUUGAUGUAUGUCAAAGUUAGCUAUAAAGGUUUAAGAUUUUAAAAGGUUAUUUGGGAAUGGACAAAGGUUUAGAUUUUCAAAGUCAACUCAUUUUAGACUUUUAUGACUUUGAUAUUUUAGAUCUUUCAAUGAGGUUUGGCUUAGGAUUUACCACAUUCAGCAUUAGAAGUGGCUUUAUGAUCAUUUUUCUAAGAGAAACUAUUCAAUUUUAAGCCUUCAUGCUUGAUCUAAUAUAAACGAUUUAAAGGUUGUAAUAUAAGCUAAGAUUCAGGGUUGUCAAAGAAAAAGAUAGAAAGGCCCAAGAUAAGUAUUUAAAGGUAUUUAAAACCAAGGAUCACUUUUUUCGUUCGAAGUAUACACUCUAAGGUUAAUUCUUUUUUGCUUUUCACCCAUUCAUUCCUUUUUCUUUAUUUUAUUCUUCAUUUUCUUUCAUUUUUUCUUUCUUUUUCCUCUUUUUUUUUUUGCUUUGCUUUUUUUUUUCUUUUGGAUCCUUUUUUUUUUUUUGGAUCCUAUCAUUGAGUGGAUUCAAAACUUUUUUGAACUUUUAUAUUAAGCCUUUAGCCCAACAUAUGAGAUUCUAUUUGGACAUCCCCAUUCUUAACCCUUAAAAGUGUUUCUUUUUGCCUUCUAGUGUAAAACGUUAUCCUUAGUUAGGGUUUAUUUUGAAAGAAUUCAAUUAGGCUCAAAGGGGUAACAAGGGAUAAAUUUUUAUAUUUGUGAAAGAAUAAUUGAAGACAACCAUUUGUUAUUUCAAGUAUAAAAACUUAAAUUGGAGAGCAAUUCCCUUUAGGAAAAUGAUCUCUAAAAAAAGUUUUCAUUUCAACAUUUUUUUUGUUUUUUGGUUUUGUUUUUUCUUUUUUAGUUUUGGCAUUUCUAUUUUUAGGCUUUUUUUCUUGUCCCUUUUUUCAAAACUUUGAAUUGUUCAGGACUUUAUAGGAAUUUAUUUGAAUUUUCUAAAUGCAUGAUGUCAUAAUUAUUUUUUCUUCUUUCUCUUUUUUUUUCUUUUCAUUUUUGUUCUUCUUUUUUUGUUUUUAUUAUUUUUUUGACAUGCCCCCCUAAAUUCAUUUUGCCAAUAAUGUGUUUAAUCAAAGAUGCCCCAUUUUAGCAAACCAUCUUUAAUGAAAGUUGUUACAAGAAAGGGUUAUAUGGAAUGAACUAGAAAAUGUCAUAUAGAAAUGAACCUAUUUAAGGUACCAAAUGAUCCAUGUUACUUUAACAAAAAAAGAAUGAAUUGGUUGAUCAUAGCUCAAAUUGUCUAGAGGGCAAUGAGAUCUUUCUUUUCUGAUCAACAUGCCACCCAGACCCAUGGUCAGGCCAAUUUUAAGGCAAAGAGCUAAAAGGUUGGUAAGUUUCAUGAUCAACCUGACCCUGAUGACAUAUGGGUCAAGCCAAUAUUUUGGUAAAGAGCUAAAAGGUUGGUAAAUAUAAGCAACAUGCCCCAAAAACAUAUAAGCCAAGCAAAAUUUUAGGUAAAUGACUGAAAGGUUGGUAAAUCUAAGGUCAUUUUACAGGAUUUGGGUUAACUUUGUUUCAAAAUUUUGUGGAACUAUAGAAUAAUAUUGACACAUCAAAUUACCACAUCUAAAUCCUUAAGAAAAUGUUUUAUUUGUCUAAUAUUAUUGGAAUGCAAAUUUGUUUUUCCUUUUUAAAUUAGAUGUUUCAUUAUUUAUUACCUUGGAAAAGAAUAUCACCUUUUGAUAUCAUAACAUUAUUGGGUGAAAGCGAGGUUCACGAAUUUAAGGUUAUAGCUUUUGAAAGGUCAUGGUUGUUGAAUGGAAUCAAUUGAAAGGCUUAAAAGAGAGGGUAUAGGUAUUUGACAAAUCCCUAAUAAUGAUUGCCAACUCAUAUGAGACUAAAAAUUUUUUUUUCUUCUUUUUUUAUUUUUUUCCCUUUUUUUUGCCUUAUUUCACUUUUUUUCAGAAAAAGCUUUUUUUUUUUUAACUUAAGACCUAACUAUUUAGGGCUUUAUUUAAAUCUAACAUUUUUUUCCUUUUUACCAAUUAUAAAUCUAAAAUUUAAUAGAAAUUAAAACUAUUAAAUGAUGAUGUAAAUCCAUGAAAUACUCAUGAUGCACAAGAUCUAUUCAUGCAAUGCAAACACUCAAAUAUGACCCAAAAAAUUCAUAAUAUUAAUAAUAUUCUUAAGAUGACACUCAAACUUACAAACAAAGGUUUCUCAUUUGAUGAUUCAAUUUUAGCAUCAUUAACCCGUAACUCUCCUACUAUCAAUCAUCACAAUUACUAAUCAAUUCUGUAAAUUUUAUGGGAUUUGCAUCAAUCAAAGCCUAAACUAUAUCCUUCAAGGUAGUGCAAUCUUUUAUGGAAUGUUUUUUAACCCCCAUCAUGAAACUCAUACUUAACAUUUGGAUUAUACCACUUCGGGUACAGAGGCUUUUUGGGUCUUGCCAAAACAAUAAAGAUCAUAUGAUUCUUGACCAGUAAGACAUCGAAAGUGAAUGACACAUCUUGAAUCUCUUUCUCCUAUAGCUUCGUGAAAGGCUUGAGUUGAUCAUUGGUUUUAUAAAUGUUUGUGAUGAAGGAACUGAAGCACACAGAUGAAGUGGUUAAGGAAAAUCUUUGGCCCAAAAUAUCGGUUAGGAGCAAUAUGGUGACCAUUGUGAAUAGUUAUCCAUUAAACCUUCUUGCAUCAUGUGAGAUUUCUCUCAUUUCGCCCUUUAACAAUUGUUUUUUAGGAUUGUUCAACAAAAAUAUCUCCCCUCCUUUCAUCACUAGCAUUUACAAUUCUUUCCUUUUUUAUUUUAUUCUCAAUUCUGCCUAUAACAACAAAUCUACAAACUCUAAUGAAGUUUUUCUAAUCAACUUAUCAUAAUAGGGAGAAUGAAGGGUAUCUACAAAUAGGGAAUUCAAUUCCAUGUUAGUAAAAGAUGGUUGUACUUACAAUGCCAUCUUUUUCCAUCUAAUGGCAUAUUCUUUAUAGCUCUCAUUAGGACUCUUUCUCAUAUUUUGAAAGGUUAAUCGAUUUUGAGCCAACUCUAACAUAUACCAGUAUUGCUUUAAGCAAGCCCACGAUAAAUCCCUCUAAGUAUGAAUCUAACUACUUUCCAGACUAUAAUACCAAUUGACUGCUGCCCUAGUCAAACUUUCUUGAAAAAUAUGAAUAAAUAGCUUUUCGUCACUAGCAUACCCGACCAAUUUGUGAUAGCAUUGAGUGAAAUGUGUCUUAGGACAUCCAAUUCCAUUAUACCUUUCAAAUAUCAAAACUUUGAACUUGGGCAGAAUAACCACAUCUAAAACUAGUUGAUAUUCCUUUACAUCAAAAGUUUCAAUAGCUUGAACUCUUUCUUCCAAGAAAUUAUACCUUAAUUCCUCCAUUAUGGGUCUUAUGCUAGGUCUUUCAAGUUGAUCAUUUCUUUGAGCAUAAAGUCCCUUAAUAAUCUUCUCCAUUUUUCUUUUUAAAUUAAAUAUUCUCUUGACCCUUAGAAAAAAUUGCAAGAAUUAUUCUUGAAGAAAUUCAUCCUUUUCAAGCACACAUGAAUUGCAUUAUAUAGACACAAAAAUGAAUGAAUGGAUGAAUGGAUGAAUGAAUGAAUGAACAAAUGUCAAAGUUCUUUAAUAAGAAGUAUGAAAAUUGGUAAAAGAGUGAGAAUGAAAGACAAACCAUAACAGACAACAUCAUAUCAACAUAAAAACAUUUUUCAAACCAAAAAAAUUCAUAAACUUAUGACUUGAAGACCCUCUUUAAAGAAAAAUCCCAUCCAUGUUCAUCAUCUUGCCAUACCUUUCUCAUUAUUCCUAAAACUUAUAGUCCCCUAUUGUAGUUGGAUCAAACUGUUUCACAUCUACGAAUGACUACGCCUUAUGCUUGAAAGCUUCACAAUUCUUAAUGGAAUGCACCAUAUUCCCAUUAUGGUAUUCGCAUCUUGCAUUUGGGUCAAAAUAUUUUGGGUACAGAGGCUUUAAAGGCUCUGAAGGCACAAUGACAAUAAGGUGUCUCUCAAACAGAUAGCGAAAAAGUUUUCCAUAUGAAAUGGGGAGAGAAUCUAACUAUUUCUUUUCCUUGGAUAAUUUUCGGGUGACAGGUUGACUAGGAAUCCUAGGAUUUGGCUUUGGUGCAAAGGUUUGGACUUGAACAAUUGGCUAAACAGGUGGUUGGGUAAUGGAAGGCUGAAGACUUUGGUUCAAAUAUGGACUUUUUGAAGAUUGUAUGAAGUUUUAGGGCCUGAUUGUAGACAUUUGGAAAGGAGGUCGAAAAUAGUCAUAAGAUAAAUGCAAGUUUGAGCUUGAAACAAUUAAUGAAGGCUACAUGGAACCUAGUAACCAUGAUCUGGAAAUUAAAAUUUGAAACUUAGACACUUGAAUGGUAAGAUCACUCAUCCAUUUCAUGAUCUCAUCCAGACCUUCAUUAUUGUUCAAACCAUUGAAUGAUUCAGUGUGCUCUAAAAUUGUGCUAGGCCCAAUAGGAAUUAAUUGAUCAUGACUCCAUGAAUUCAUAGGAUUUACUUGGGCUAAAAUUGAUAAAGACUCUUGAAAAGAUGUCAAAAUAAAUUUCUUGAGUCUAUUCACGGUCUUCGUCAACUCAACGAGCUAUUUUAUCACCUCUUGAAUGUCAUGACCAAACUCUUCUUGAUUUCGCUCUAAUGCACUAUUUUGGGCCUUCAAUUGAUCUUCCAUAUUUUUGGCUUCUUAUUCCCAGUAACAAAAAUAUUAUCUCAAAAGUUUAAUACGAACAAUGCUUAUGCUAUUAUUCUUAUUGAAUAAAUGACACAAUUCUUAAUUUGCAUGCGACAUGUCAUGAAUGUUUGAAUAUGAUAAUGAUACAAAGAUAUAGAUAAAAAUGAAAUAACUAAAAAAUAUACAAACUAACUUAAUGAUGAAUGGAAUGACUAAACUCCAAAAAGAAAACAAACUUCUUACCUAUCCUAAAUUUUUUUGCUCUUUUUUUCUUCUUUUUUUUAUCCCAACUUUAUUUGCACUAUUAUUACCCUUAAACACAACUGUAUCAAAGUAUCCCAUAUAUCCUAAUUUGGGUAAUUUUUAUGAAAGGAAAAAAAAUGGCAUGGCUUUGGACUUCUGAAUAAUUUUUACAAAAAAGUUGACACCAUUAAUGGCUCCAUGAGAACUCUUUUUUUCUUCCUUGUCUCUUCUUAAAAAAAAUUGGCAUGGCUUUGGACUUCUAAAUAAUUCUUAUAAAAAGUAACACCACUAAUGGCUCCAUGAGAACUCCAUGAAAAAAAGUCAUUAAAAGUUAUAAUCGUCAUAAAAUAAAUGAUAAACUAUGAUAUAUUAGUGAUAAAAGGUAAAUUGUCAUAAUAUUGGUGACAUAAUUAUUAUCAUAAAUGAUUAUAAGAUAAUGUCAAAUGAGACAAUAAAAUCAAACGUUACCUUAUUCUUUUUUUUUUUGUGACGAUAGUUUUUGUCAGCUAUUUAUGAAAAAAAAUCAUUGAAGGCUAUAAUCGUCACAAAAUAAAUGAUAAAAUCUUAUACAUUAGUGAUGAAAGGUAAAUCAUCAUAGUAUUGGUGAUACAAUUAUCAUCACAAAUGAUUGUAAGAUAACAUCAAACAUUAUAAUAAAAUCAAAUGUUACAUUAUGCUUUAUUUUUUUAUGUUAAUUUUCAUUGGCUAUUUAUGAAAAAAGUCAUUAAAGGCUAUGAUCGUCACAAAAUAAAUGAUAAAAUAUGAUAUAUUAGUGAUGGAAAGUAAAUCGUUACAGUAUUGGUGACAUAAUUAAAGUCAUUAAAUCCUAUAUAUAUAAAAUAAAAUUGUUCCAUAGUUGAUUGAACUUGAUGUGGUGGUCUAGUGAAGGACGUUGCAUGGCUAUCACAUUAGUUGAUUGAGCUCAUUGUUUAAUGGUCAUUUUCCUACCUUUUUUUCCAGGCGCCAUCCUAAAGUAUAGACAAAGAAAAUGUAAACAAUCAUCUUUUGUUUAGUAUAAUAAAAUAAAAAAAAACACAAUGCAAAUAAUUAAUAUGCUAAUUACCUUAAAUUAGUUGAACAAUAAUAGUCAUAAGCCAAAGAUUUAAACAAAGUUGGCAAACAUGAUUCAAAAAGUAGUUAUCUAGAUAAAAAUAACAAGCAAUAUAUAAAACAACUAUUAAUGUUAGAAAAAACUAUAUCAAUGUAGUAUUUAUCAUAACAUAGGAAAUAACAUUAAUAGUUGUUUUGCGUAUAGUCCUUUUUCCCUUAUUUUGCAUGUAAAACAAUAGCAAACAGUAGUAGUAGCUUCAUUUUAGUUAAAUAGGAUAAUACUAUGCUAUUUUCUUUCUAUCAAGCUUAUUUCUAUUUUCUAUUUUAUUUCUAUCAGGUCACUGAAUUUUCCCAUUACUCGCCAACACAGCAGAACAAGAAGCUAAAGGUAACAAGAACAUAAAUCUACCCGGAAUUAAAGAAUGCACAUGACUUUGAUAUCUAAGCACUAAUAUUUUAUGUAACUACAAUUUAUUUUAGAACCUAGAGGGAUACUAUAAGGAUCUCAUGAAUAGUAUAUCUAUGCACAUAAAAUUCAAGAAAAAAGGCAUAUGUUAAAAAGAAAAUAAAUGCUACAAUCCUGUAUUAAGGCACUUGAUACAAGGAUAUUAAGUUGACAAAAUAAGGAAAUUUUGCUCUCCAUCAUGUAUUGAUCAGAACAUCCAUUUGAAACUUAAAACACUCAAGUCAUUAGUCUAAAAGAAUUAAGUAAAUAAAUCGGAUUGCCUACCUUUAGGUUUUUGAUGAGUGAUCAAAGGAAAGGUAGAAAUUUAAAAAUAGCGUAUUAACAUCAUAGAAUAUGUAGAAAAGUCUCAGAUAGAAACUUUAAACUAGGCAUGUAUUACAAAAUUAAAUUAAUCACUAGCUGUUAUAUGGUCAUGUUAGGUAGAUGUCAUUAUUCACCUUAUAAUGACUGUGAUAAAGAGAUGAGUACUAGUGCUAGCCUGGAAACUACUGGAGCAAAACAACAGAACUAAUAGAAGGCUUGAGUUAUAACAUUAAGAAGCGAGACAAAACAAAAAAAGACUACUGUCUUUAAUAGGAACUGAAUAAGUUCUAAACUUUAAAUAUGCUAGUUUAAUUGCUAAACUUUAAUAGCUAGUUUAAAUAUGGUCGAAAAUGCAAAUGGUAGAGUGAUGUAAUCCACAAUUAUCUUUCAAGUGUCUAUUAAGGACAUUCUGUUUAACAAAAAGAAGAAAGAUAACCCUGCAUGUAUUCUUGUUGUGAAAGAAAUUAACUUGUACUAUUUAAAAAUGAACAAGAAAAAAAAAUGUGACUUUUGUGCUGCUUAAGUAGGUGAAAGAAGCCAAUAAAUAUAGAUUUACUUUCAAAUAAAAAAUUCGAAACAAAAUAUCAUAAGAUUGGAAACAGGGCUUUUCAUUCAGAUUCUGUUUGGGAAGAAAGUGAUGAAAGGAAAGUGAUAAGAUGGGCCUUUCGAUUAUCAAUGAUCAAUGAUGAAAUUUAAACAACAGUCAAUAGCUAUCAGUUCCACAAUUUCUCCCAAAAUGCAUAUACACAACAGAUUAGUUUUUAAAAUUUUUAGGCAAAUUGAGAAGAUCCUCCACCUGAAAAAUGGAUACAUAUCAUAUCCAUAAAAAAGACAACAUCAAUUGUCCACCUAACAUAGGUUAACAGCUAUAAGCAAUUCAAAGUUUCAGCUUUUAGCUAUCACUAAUAGUUUAAGUGCAAAUCCAUGUUAAACAGCUGGACAUCUGAUGUCAAUUUUGGUGGGCAAGCUAAGCAGCUUAAAUGCAAAUAAAAAUGAGUGAUCUUGAAAUCAGAAGAAAAUAGUUCUAAAUGAAGAUAAAGAUAUAAAAUACCUGUUGUAGGUCAUUUUGAAAGAUGGUUUUUGGUGAACUAAAGAAGACAAAAUUGGCGUUUUGAUUCUAGUCGACCAACAAUGUAGUUUAGGAAUUGCUUCUACUUGAUUUGGAACACUGGAGAGUGGCUUUAGAUGAUUAACAGAUUUAGCAAAAAAUGAAAAAAGAGUUGGAAGAGAUCAGACGGUUUUGGCAUGGGUUUUGGAGGGAGUAUAAAAACCCAAUAAAAAUAUAUCAUUCUAAAGAAUGUAGUUUAGGAAAUUUCAAUUAAAAUUAUUUUUUUAUGGAUAUUAAUAAAAAUUAAAUUUUUUUUUAUUAAAAGUUACUAGUAUGGACAAGUGUAAUUAAAAUUUUUUUCUAUUUAAUUCAUUUUUUGCUUAAAAAUAUUUUUUAACAAAAAUUUUAAAUUUGAAAUUUUUAAAUUUUUAAAAUUUUAAACAAAAUGUGUAUUUUAAAAUUUUUAAUAUAUGUAAUAUUUAAUCAAUUUUCUUUAAUUAGAAAAUUUUCAUAUAUGAAUAUACAUACUUAGCUUAACUCAAACAAUAAUAGUAAUUUUUCUCUUUCCUUUUCCAAUAGUUUCUAACAAUAAAUUAUAUUAAAAAAAUAUUAUUUAAGGGUCAUAUAUGAAAAACGUAAUUUUUUAACUAAUAGUAUGUAAUUUGUUAAUAAAUUAUUAAAAUUUUAAUUUUAAUUAUAAAAAAUCAAAAUUACAAAAUUUUGAAUUAAGAAUUUGAAUAUUGAUAAAAUUUAAACAAUAAACUAGUAAGACAGAGCCAAUACACCAAAACAGUGACUAAUAAUAGUACUCCAUUAACUAUUAAAUAGUGAAAUAGGAUUCUAAGUUUUUAAAUUAUUAGAUCAUAGUUGGAUUUUACUUUAGCCUUUUGGGAACAAGUAGUAAGAUUUAAGAAGCACUUCUUAUCUUAAAAUGUGGAGUUAUUUUCUACUUGCAAUCAGUAUCAUCCCAAUACUUUUAAGAACUUGGCCAUGGGAUGAGAAAGUGUUGAAAUGGCAUUGGGCCCUUUUAGGUUUUUAAGGAGCAAACAAUUAUGGGUUUGUAUCACUUAGUAUCAUUUUUCUUUAGGUGUAGUUUAAGGAAACUUCAAUUAAAAUUAUUUUUUGUAUUGAUAUUAAUAGCUAUUUAAAAUUCAUUUUUUUACUUAACAAUUACUAGUAUGAUCAAAAGUAGCUAAAUUUUUUUCUAUUUAAGAUUAUUUUUUAUUUAAAAAAAUUUUUUUAACAAAAAUUUUAAAUUACAGAUUUUUAAAUUCUUAGCAUUUAUUUUUAAAUUCUAAACAAAUUAUGAAUUUAAAAAAUUUUUAUUAUAUGUAAUAUUUAAUCAAUUUUCUUUAAUUAGAAAAUUUUCAUAUAUGAUACAUACUUAAAUAAAUUGUGCUCAAUAAAAAUUAAAAAUUAUAUUUUUAAUUAUAUAGAUAAUCUAAGUAAAAUCAUCACUUAUAAAUUAUACAUUAAUUUGAACUUAUUAGUGAUAGAUAAAUAACAUAAUAACAUUAUUUAAAAGUUUGUGACAUUUAUGUUAUCGUCAUAUAACACCAUACAUUGAUGUCACAAAAUUGCAAUGUCAUUAAUAGUUAAUUAAAAUGUUCAAUUUAUGACAAAAACUAAUAAUGUCAUCUAAAAUCUAUAAAAAAGUUUUGUCAUAGAUAAAAUUUUAAAUUGGUGAUAAAAUUAUAACAUCACGUAAAAUAAAAAAUGUCACAAAAAAUUUACCACCAAAUUGUUUGUGAUAUUUAUGUUAUCGUUAUAUAACAUCAUAUAUUGACGUGAUGAAAUUGCAAUGUCAUUAAUAAUUAACUCAAGUGUUCAAUUUGUGACAAAAAUUAAUAAUGUCACCUAAAAUGUAUUAGAAAAAAUUCAACACAGAUAAAAUUCUAAAUUGGUAACAAAAUUAUAACGUCAUCUAAAAUUAAAAAAAAAGUCACAAAAAAUUUUUCCAUCAAAUAAAUAUAAAGGUAAAAUUUAGCGACAUUUAUGUUAUAGCCACAUAACAAAAAUGUAUGUCAUCUAAAAUCUAUAAAAAAAAUUCUCCAUAGAUAAAAUUUUAAAUCGAUAACAAAAUUAUAAUGUCACUUAAAAUUAAAAACAUCACAAAAUAAUUUCCCACUAAAUGAAUUUGCUGGUAAAAGUUUAUGACAUUUAUGUUAUCGUUGUAUAGCACCAUAUAUUGACAUAACGAAAUUGCAGUGUCAUUAAUAGUUACUUAAAGUGUUUAAUUUGUAAUAAAACUUAAUAACGUCACCUAAAAUUUAUCAAAAAAAAUUCAUCAUAGAUAAAUUUUAGAUUGUUAAUAAAAUUAUAACAUCAAAUAAAAUAAAAAAAUGUUAAAAAAAUAUUUCUCACUAAAAAAAUUUGGUGACAAAAUUUUGGUAACGUUAUCAUGUGACAAUUUUAUAUAUCAUCAUAUAAAAUAUCAAAACAAUAUAAAAGUGUGACGAAAUAUAUUAUUUAUCACCUUUUACAUACUUCACACAAUGAAAUAUAAUGCUUCAUAUAGAAAAAUUGUCACAAAUUGCCAGUUUUCUUUUAAUGUAUGCAAUGAUAUGAUGAAUGAAUGAUGAUGAUGAUAAUGGUCUAUGAAUGAGUGAGAUGUAUGAAAUGAAUAAAAAUAAACAAGCAAAGAAAUAAAUAAAUGCAAACUUAUUGAUGUUAACAUGAUUCAUGCAAAAGAAAGUAAAAAACAAGAACAAAUUUAGCAACUAAUAUAAAGAAAGAAAAAAACAAAACAAGUUAAUGCAUGACUUAAAAGAUAUGUGACCUAAUUUGGAGUAUUUCUACAAAAAAAAAAAAGAAAGACAUGGAUCUACUUAUGGGUAUUACAACUCAUUAUAUGUGGUUUAGGAUUGAUUCUAUAGGUUCCCAAAUGGUUCCUCAUAUCAUUGUCCAUCAUAGACUAGUAAGACACCCUAAUCCUCACCCAUUAUAAGUUACAAGUGGAAAGGUUCAAUUCAAGUGGGAGUGUUUCACUAGCCCAUGUAGAGACAUGAAAUCUCAUGAAGGCAUAGAUACUUUACUCCCUCUGAAAGGAUAGAACUCGGGUGUAGAAUUCAUGUUAUGCAUAUGCAAGUGAAUGACAAAUAGGAUAAAUAAGUAAAUAAAUAAAAUAUAAAAAAGGAAGAAAAAUAAUAAAAUAAAAUAAUUUUAAAUUUAUUAAGUAAGGCUUGGAUAACAAGAAAUUAUUUACUGGCCUAACUCUCAUAUUCCCCAAUGAAGUUGCCAAAUUAUCAUAACGUAUAAAUCCGUAAACCCAUCGCUAGACACAAACAUUAAGAGUCACACCAAUAUUUUUUGUUUAUGUGUGAUUAGCCACCUAACUAAAUCUAUCCUAUUUAAAGAGGAGUCCAAGAUAGAUUUAGGAUCUUUAAAUAUUAGAUUCUAAAAUUCAUGAAACUAGAUUUUAGGUUUGGAAGUGCAAUUACGCAUAAAAAAGGUUAAAGCACCCUCACAGCAUCCAUCCAAAGGAUGGCAUUGGUUUGAUUUCAAAACAUGCAAGCCUUGAAAUAUUCUUAUAAUUUUACCCAGUAAUUAAAAAUUGAUCUUAAAAUUACUCCAAUAGUUUGGUAGCAAUUUAAGAUAAUUUUUUAAUCUCAAAAGUAUUCAUAGAGACUAAUGUCUCACUCUGAAGAACCUCCAUUGUCAGAUUUAUUAAUAUAUUUUAUUUAAAAAAUAAUUUAUAAAUCCUCCAAUAGUUUGGUAAGAUUUUACUUCGAUACAGAUCUCUCAAUAGUUUGAUGAGAUUUUAUUUAAAAAUCAUAUAUAAAAAUUUUACUUUGAGAAAAUUCAUUAAAUAUUUUAAUAGCUUGGUAAGAUUUAAUUUAAGAUUUUGAUUCUCUAAUAGUUUGGUAGGGUUAAAAAUGUAUUAUUUUAUUUUAUUUAAAAAAUUCAUUAAGUCCUCCAAUAGUUUGGCAAGACUUAAUUCAAGAUUUAAUUCCUCCAAUAGUUUGGUAAGAUUUAAAAUUUAUUAUUAAAAAAAUUAUAUUAUGAAAUUCUCCAAUAAUUUGGUAAAAUUCAUAAUAUAAAAUUUAUAAACCCAUGAAAUUAAAAAAUUCAUAAUUUAAAACUCACAAUCUUUAAAUUUUAUUUUAAACAUACAUAAAAAAGUGAAAUAAAUGAAUAAAUAUAUAAAUAAAAAAAUGUGAAAAUUACUUUAAUGGAUGGAAACACACCUAAGUGGAAGUAUCCCUUGAUUUGUAGUGACAAAUAAUCGCCAAUUCGAACCAAAAAGCUCUACCACCAAUUCUAAUUGAAGAGCUUGAGUAUAGAUUGCUACUUAUCCAUUUCUAGGUGGGAUUCUUUUUUUUUCCCUCCUCUUUGUUUUUUUUUUUUUUUUUUUUGUGUAUGGUUGAUUGGUGUUUAUAUAGUACCUUCUGCUAGAAAUUUUAGGGAUUUGUAUUGAAUGAAAAGGAUCGUAGAUUUGAUUAUGCUCUAAAUUUAUUUUUUUCAUGAUUCUCUUUAAAAUCUUUUUAAUUAAUUUCUAGAAUUGUUUCAAUUUUUCUUUUAUUUUCAAAAUCCCUUAAAAAUUCUCAAAUUAAAUCUGACUUUGAUUCCCUGAUUUGCUUUCUUUUCAACCUUCUUUUGAUAUUUGGUAAGAUUAUGUUUCAGUCUUAAUUGCCGAGAUCAUCCUUGAUUAAUACUUAAAUUACUCCAUUAAUUUCAUUGACAUGAUUUAUGAUAAAAAAAAUUAAAACCAGAUAAAUAAAAGAUUAAAACAUAAAAAAAGAUAAAUAACUAAAUAAAUAAGACAAACAAGAUGUAAAAAGAAAUGAAGGAAAUUGGACAAUUGGCUUGGUUUAAGCCCCAACUAAAUAUGGUGUCUACAAAUAUAUAUUUUUAUACUCUUUUUUUAUUUUUUAAAUUAGAUAAUUUUGUUAAAAAUGAUAUUGAUGGAAGUGUCAACAUGGCAUCCAUAUUUAUUUUCUUUCAACCUUUCAUUUUUUAUAAACUUUUAUUUUUAAAAAAAGUUAAUAAUAAAAAUUAUACCAAACAGUUCAUCAUUGCUAAUUUCACAUGAUAAUGUAACUUUUUUUUUCUUUUUUUCAUUUUGAUUUUUGCUUUUUUUUUCUCCCUUUAUAUUUUAUUAGAUCAAUUGUUUAAACGAAAGAAAAGCCAACGAAUGUGCCCAUGCAUGUGGCAUCUUAUUUCAUUUCUUUCCUUUCAUCUUUUUUUUUUUUAAUUAGAUAAAUAUUACAAUAAAUGCAAAUUAGUAAAUAAAUUUUUUAGUUUAAAAGUCAAUUGAGGUAUUCACAACAAAUUUUCUUAAUUAGAUAAUUUUUUGAGAAAAUAAUGUCAAUGAAAGUGUUCACAUAGCAUCCUCACUUGUUUUUUCUUUUAUAAUUUUAUAAUUUAAUUAGAUAAAUUUUAUAAUAAAAUAAGACGAUUGAUAAAAAUAGUAAAACAAUCUGUAUCAAAUGAGUUUUGAUACAUCUCGAUUUGAUAUGUGUAUUUUUGUCAAAAAUCGAUAUCAAAUCAAAUCAUGUUGGUUGUUUAGGUAAGGAGAGGUAAGAUGUGGAUUUAGGGUGCUUUGUCCUAAAUCAUCUCGUGGUACAUGUAAAAGUAUGUAUUUUAUUAUUAAUUUGGUUUUAUAUUUAUAUACAUGUAUUAUAUUAAUAAAAUUAUCAUUUGAUACUUUAAUUUAAUAAAUUAAUAUUGUAAACUCAAUAAGGGUGUUCAUGUGGCAACCUUAUUGAGCUCUUUUUUUUGUUUUUUGUUUCCACCUUUUUUUUUCUUUCUUUUUCAAUCUUUCAUUUUUAUUCUUUUAUUAGAUAAAUUUAGUGAGAAAAAAAAGCCAAUUGAAAUAUCCACAUGACACCUCCAUUUAGUUCUUUUUUAUCAUUUACUUUUUUUAAAUGAUAAAUUUUUUAAAAUUAAUACAAAAAUAUUUUUAAUUUAAUUUUAUUUAAAUUUAUAUCAAAAUAAUAAUAAAAAAACACUAUGAAUUAUUUUAAUUAAUGAAAUAGUUAAACCUAUGCUGCGAGCUCAUUUCAAGUAUUCAAGAAAAUGGUAAAGAAAAUUAUUUAAACCUCAUCUUUUAAUUUGAAUCUUAAUUAGAACAUGCUAGCAGUUUUAUUUAUAGAGAUAAUUGGAAAUUAAUUACUUUCUUAGUCAACUACUAGGGUCUGAAACAAGUGCCAAAAAAAGUGAUAGGCCUUAAUUUUUCAAUCCCUAGCAUUUUGAAUUCAACAUUGUUGGAUUUCUUUGGGGCUGGGUUGAGCCCAAUGGCUCAUUAAUUAAGUUACUAAUCAGGCCUAAAAUCUAUUUAACCACAAUUUAUGGUUUUUAAAACUUAUGUAAGUCUGCCUAUACAUUUAUAUUAUAAAAAUUAUCACAUUCAUUUGUAGUAGUGGGGUUUUUAAAUUUUAUUAUCUAGACUGUAGCAGCAGUGUGAGCAGUUGAUAUAAUAUUAAAAUUUUAAUUUUAACGAUCAAAGUUUAAAUUAUUACAAUUUUAAAUAUGAAUUCUUUAUAUCAUCUUACAUUAUACAUGCACAUGUAAUAAUACAUAUAAAGUAAGUAAUAAAAAGCUAAAAACUAUCUUAUAAAAUGUGAAAAUUAUAGUGGAGAAUUGGGGGUUAGAUAAUAGGAAGCCUUAAAAAAUAUGAAUUAUUACCAAAUUACAAUAACAUCGUCUCACUAUAAUAAUUUUGUAAGAAACCUUUAUGAAGUAAGAAAGGGUCUGAAUUUAUAAUUGAAAAAUGAAUUAAUUAAUAGUAGGAUAGAAAAAUAAUUUAAAAGAUUACAAUUAGUAAUUCAUAACCAAAUAAAUGAUUUUUAUAAAUUAAUGUAAAACUAUGUUCUAAACCAACACAACGCAUAAAUAACGUCACAAAUUAAUCCUUUAUAUAUGCCUCGCAAACAUUUUAAUAAAAUUAUCAAAAAAAUGUUAACUAUUUCCAAAAAUACUAUUCAGAUAUAUAUAAUAUUGCUAAACAUGCUACUUCAACUUUUGAUAGUUGAAGUUACCUUCACAAAUGAAAUCUCACUUGAAAUCUUGCAAUUAAUUAACAUACUUUGAUAUUUUAAUUUUCAUCAGUGUGUAACUUUUUUUACCUGAUGAACAGAUAGUAAUUUUCAAUUUUUUUAUCAAAAUCUUCAAUUUAUCAAACAUUUUUUCUAUACUACUUUCAUUGUAACAUAUAUUCUUGCGUGUAAAACUAAAAAGGAUUAAACGUUUAAAUUAAAUUCAUAUAUACAUAUACAUUUACAUAUAAUUUAAUAUAUAUAUAUUAUUAUUAAUAUAAAAAUUUGCUUUUUCCCAAUAUAUUACUUCAAUUUCAUCGGACUUUUGCAUAUUUUUAGGUAAUAUAAAUAUUAGUGUAAUUUAUAUAGUGCGAUAAUAUCAAUAAAUGUAAUUUGAACACAGAAAAUAACUUGCAAGCAUGCAAAAUUACACACAGAUUUGCAUAAAAACAGGGGGUUUUAUUUUAUUUUAAUUUUAUCAUGUUUUUCAGAAAACAUGAAAGAAAAAAACCCAAAGCUAUAUAUUUAUUUUUCAUCACUCUAAGCACCCCCCAUGCUUAGGCUGAAAGUUGAUCCAUCAGCACUUAAACGGAACCAUUGAAGCCUUUAUUGUAAGCAUAUUCAACAAGGGAAUCCAACUCAUCAUUGGUGGCCAGUCGAUCAAAAUUGUCCUUAUUGUUUUAUCAGGCAACGUCCAUGGCCUCUUCGACUCUGCUUGUUUGGCGUGAAGUGCACCUCGGAGAAGGACGGAUGUUCAAAAGCAUCCUUGAGCUGGUCCUGGUGAAGGCUGCCCUGCUUAGAGUAAGAUCGAAACACUUGUUCCAAUUUGUUUUUUCUGAUCCUUCGGUUAAUCCUUUGUGGCUUGCAAUUUGCGAUUUUGAGGCUUAUGGACCAGGGUGUAUCUUAGAGAAGGCUUGCCCUAGCUUGGUUUGGUUUUCUUUUUCCAACGCAAUUCGUUUAUAUAGACCCAAAACUUUGAAUACGAUUCUGUUGAAGUGUAGGGGUAUAAAACAUUAUUUGGUGGUGGGUUUUAAAAAUUGAUUUCCAUCCUCUUUAUCAACAAAAGUAGUAAAUCAAUCAAUAAAUUUUUGUAAUAAACACUUCAAAAAAAAUUCCAUGAGGAUUGGUACGAAUAAAAAUAUUAAUGUUAAUUUCUUCUUUUCUUCUGGGUUCAAAUUAACCACAGAUUGGAAAAUGCUAAAUAGCAGCCUCCACUAUCUUGUGUCGUAGUGAUGAUACAAGCCUCCACUAUCUUGUGUCCAUUUUCUAUUGUUUCAUUUGUUUUAGCCCUCAAUUUGCAGUUUUUAGUUUUUUUUUUUUUUUUUUGUGGUUGCCUGAUUAAAUGAUACAUUUUGGUUUUAAUGAAUUUCCAGAAUUUGGUAGAUCUCGUGAAAGGAGUUCUAGGAAGCACUUUGAUGAGCAUGCUUGAAAAUUGUGAUAAUUAUUGUGAAUGAAUGUUAAGUUAUCCAAAAAUAAAUAAGUUUAGUUUUAGGACUUUCUUUCUUUUAUUGUUUGCUAUGAGCAAACUACUGUUAAACUAAUUAUUUGCAUUGUACCACUUCCAGGAAUCGUGGCUUUAGUGGGUUAAAACUGUGUCCAUGUUUCUCUCUCGUAUGCUCUUAAUCUGGGUAGGAUAGAACUAAGUUUGGGCUAUUUCAAUUCCUUCGCACCUUUCUUCCCCUGUACUGCAAUAUUUUCUCAACCACCCUUUUCAAGGGGAAAGCUGUAAUAUAUAUUUUUUAUAUUUUUUCUUUUUUUUAAAUUGGAUAAUUUGUAAAAAAAUUAUAUUGAUGGAAGUGUCUACAUGGCAUUCAGAUUUAAUUUUUUGAAUCCUUCAUUUUUUUUUUUUUAUAAAUCUUUAUCUUUAACAAGUUCAUAAUGAAAAUUUUUACAAGAACAGAUCAUCAUUGCUAAUAUUGUGUGACAAUAUAAUUUUUUUUUGUUUUCAUUUUCGUUUUUUUUUUUUUAGUUUUUUUUCUCCCUUUAUUUUUUAUUAGAUCAAUUGUUUCAGCAAAAAAAAAAAAAACCCAAUGGAUAUGCCCAUGUGCCAUCUUAUUUAAUUUUUUGCCUUUCAUUAUUUUUGUAAUUAGAUAAAUAUUACAAUAAAAAAAUCAGUAUAUAAAUUUUUUAAGAUAAAAAUCAAUUGAGGUAUAUAGAACAAAAUAUCUUGUAUCCUAUAUGUUUCAUUUCCUGUGUAUCCAAUUGGUGUGCUUUUUUUAAAAAAAAAAAAAAUUUAGGAUCAAAAGCCCUAAAAAAUAUGAAUUAUUACCCAAUUAUAAUAGCAUCAUCUACUAAAAUAAUUUUGUAAGAAACCUUUAUAAAGUAAGAAACGGAAAACUUAUAAUUGAAACAUGAAUUAAUUAAUAGUAGGAUAGAAAAAAUUUAAAAGAUUACAAUUAGUAAUUUCGUAAUCAAAUAAAUGAUUUUUUUAAAAUUAAUGUAUAACUAUGUUUUCUAAACCAAAGCAAUGCACAAAUGACACCACAAAUUAAUCUUUUAUAUAUGCCUCGCAAAUAUUUUAAUAAAAUUACAAAAAAAUUUUAACUAUUUCCAAAAAUAAAAUCUUGAUAUUUAUAAUUUUGCUAAACAAGUUAUUUAAACUUUUGAUAAUUAAGGUUAUCUUUAUAAAUGAAAUCCCACUUGAAAUCUUGCAACUAAUUAACCCAUUUUGAUAUUUCAAUUCUCAUCAAGAUAUAACUUUCUUUUGCUGCUGAGACCUACAACAAUAUGUACUUUAAAUUUUUUUGUCAAAUAGCCUCAAUUUUAUAAAAAUUAAUUUUGUCUAUACUUAUAUAUAUGCACUUGUAAAAACAUAUGCAUAAGUAUGUGUAAAAAUAAAAAGAAUUAAGCAUUUAAAUUAGAUUGAUAUAUAUAUAUAUAUACCCUAUCUGCUUUCCUUCCAAAAAGGUUGACUUUCAAAUUUCUUCAUACCUUUUAUCAUGUUUUUAAGUAAUAAAAAUAUUAGUGUAUAGUUUAUAAUAGUAUGAUCAACGUGUUCAUGGUAUUUGAUACACACAAUAUAACUUGCAAGUAUGUAAAAUUACACAGAUUUAAAUAAAAAUAGGGGGUUUUAUUUUAUUUUAAUUUUAUCAUCCUUUUGAGACAACAUGAAAGAAAAAGACCCAAAGCUAUAUAUUUAUUUUUCAUUAGUCAUAAGCAUCCCCCAUACUUAGGCUGAAAGUUCAUCCGUCAGCACUCAAACGGAACCGCUGAAGCCUUCAUUGUAAGCAUAUUCAAUAAGGGAAUCCAACUCAUCAUUGGUGCAGUCGAUCAAUUGUCCUUAUUUUUAUCAGCAACGUCCAUGGCCUCUUCAACUUGCUUGUUUGGCGUGAGUGCACCUAGUUGUUGAAAAGCAUCCUUGAGCUGGUCCCUGGUGAGGCUGCCCUGCUUAGAGUAAGAUCGAAACACUUGUUCCAAUUUGUUUUUAUGAUCCUUGUUAUCCUUUGUGGCUUGCAUUGUGGAUUUCGAGGUUUAUGACUGGGUGAUAUUAGAGAGAAAGCUUGUCUAGCUUGGUUUGGUUUUCUUUUCCAACGCAAUUUGUUUAUAUAGACCCAAAACUCGAUUUGUAUUCCGUUGAAGUGUAGGGGAAUAAAAUCUUUUUUUGUGGUGGUUUUUAAAAUUUGAUUUCGAUUGAAAGGAAACGAUAUAAUUGUAUGACAAUUUCUUCAUUUGAAUUUUUUUUAAGUAUCCAUUUUAUUAAUAAAAUUAAUAUAUCAAUCAAUAAAUUUUAUAAUGAAUACAAAUAAAUAAAUAUUCCAAGAGGAUUGGUACGAAUAAGAAUAUUUAAUGUUGGCUUGAAUUACCACAGAUUGGAAAAUGCUAAGCGUAGUGGUAGUAGCCUCCCUUUCUUGUCCCCUAGUGAUGAUAGCAGCCUCCACUAUCUUGUGUCCAUUUUCUAUUGUUUCUUUUGAUUUUGCUGGUGAAAAGGCUAGACAACAAAGUCAGGAGUAAAUCUAAACUCUCACCCUGUCCAAAUUUGAGCUGUUUCUUCACGAAAAAGUUUGAAGAGAAUCGUCUUGUUGCUCCUGGUUGGACAGAACUUGAUCAUACACAUUGAUUUUCUAAAAACUUAUAAUUUGAUGGAAGUGUCUUGUCUGUAGGAUAAUUUGAUAUUAUUGAUUAAAAAUAUUGUUAUAACAUAUAGAUUCAUGGAUCCAUCAUAGACAUAAACUUUAAGAGUCACUACCAUUUUUUUUUUUUUGUUUAGGUGCAAUUGACCAUUUAACUGAAUCUAUCUUAUUUAAAGAGGAUAUCUAAGAUAGAUUUAGGCAUUUUUAAAUAGUAGAUUCUAAAAUCCAUGAAAUCAAAUUUAAGGUUCAGGAGUACAAUUAUGCAUGAAGAAGUUUAUAGCUCCCUUAUAAUGUCUAUCCAAAAAAUGGUAUCAGUUUGAUUUCAAAUUAUCUAAGCCUUGAAAUAUUCUUAUAAUUAUAUCCAGUAAUUUAAUUAUUAGAAAUUGAUCAUAAAAUUACUCUAAUAGUUUAGUAGCAAUGUAAGAUAAUUUUUUCACCGUAAGAGUAUUCAUAGAGACUAAUGUCUCACUCUGAAGAGACUCCGUCGUUGAAUUUAUUAAUAUAUUUUAUUUAAAAAAUAAUUAGUAAAAUCCUCCAAUAGUUUGGUAAGAUUUUACUUUGGUGCAAAUCUCUCAAUAGUUUGGUGAGAUUUUAUAUGAAAAUCAUUUAUAAAAUUUUGUUUUGAUGUAGAAUUCUAAAUAGUUUGGUGAGAUUUUAUUUGAAAAUUAUUUAUAAAAUUUUACUUUGAGAAAAUUCAUUAAAUCUUCCAAUUUGGUAAGAUUUAAUUCAAGAUUUUUAUCCUCCAAUAAUUUGGUAAGAUUAAAAAUAUAUUAUUUUAUUUUAUUUUAAAAAUUCAUUAAGUCCUCCAAUAGUUUUGUAAACUUAAUUCAAGAUUUAAAUAUUUCAAUAGUUUGGUAGGAUUGAAAAUUUAUUAUUAAAAAAAUUACAUUAUGAAAUUCUCUAUUAGUUUGGUAAAAUUCAUAAUUGAAAAUUUCUAAACCAAUGAAAUAAAAAAUUCAUAAUUUAAAACUCACAAUCUUUAAAUUUUAUUUUAAACGUACAUAAAAAAAGUAAAAUAAAUGAAUAAAUAUAUAAAUAAACAAAAUGUGAAAAUUACCCUAAUAGAUGGAGACAUGCCUAGGUUGAAGUAUCUCUUGAUCUGUGGUGACAAAUAAUCACCAAAGAGCUCUGCCACCAAUUCUAACCUAAAAGCUAGGGUAUAGAUUGCUACUCAUCCAUUUCUUGGUGGGUUUCCCUUUUUUUUCCCUUUUUUUUUUGUAUGUUGUUGAUUGGUGUUUAUAUUGGGCCUUUUGCUAAGAGUUUUAGCGAUUUGCAUUGAAUGAAAAGGAUUGCAAAUCUAAUUAUACUCUGAACUGAUUUUUUCUUGAUUCUCUUUAAAAUUUAUUUAAUUAAUUUCUAAAAUUGUCUCAAUUUUCCUUGAUUUUCAGAGUCCCUCAAAACUUCCCAAACUAAAUUUGACUUUGAUUCCUUGAUUUGCUUUCUUUUCAACCUUCCUUUAAUAUUUGAAGAGAUCAUGUUUUAGUUUUAAUUGUCAAGAUCAUCCUUGAUUAGUGCUCAAAUUACUCCAUAAAUUUCAUUGACAUGAUUUAUGAUAAAAAUUUAAAACAAAAUAAUUAAAAAGAGUAAAACAUAUAAAUAAAUAAGACAAAAAAAGAUAUAAAAAGAAGUGAAGGAAAUUGGACAAUUGGGCUUGGUUUGAGCCCCGAACUAAAUAGGGUAUUUAUAGCUGGCCUUUUGCAUAGUUUUUGUAAAAUAGAAAUUAUACAAAGAUAUAGAUAUCUAUUACGUUCAAGCCCAAAUUAUUCAAUUUUUUUCUUUUUUUUAAAGGCUUUUAAAAAUGAAGGCACACAACUUUUUUAAAAAAUUAAGGACGACACCCGAAGGUUUUGACAAUCAUGCCCAGAGGUCUUAUAGAUCAUGUCUGAAGAGCUUGAAAAUUAAGCCCGAAGAUCUUACAAAAUCAUUCAUUAAAAAAUGCUCCUUUAAACAAAGGCUACACAACUAUUAAAAAAGUACCUAAAAGUUUUAAAAGAUCAUGCCUAAAGGUCUUAAAGAUUAUGCUUGGAGUUCUUACAAAUCUUGACUCUAAAAUAAAUUCAGCUCGAAAGACUUACAAAUCUUACCCAAAGGAUUUAGAGAUUAUGCUUGGAGGUCUUACAAAUCUCGAUCUUAAAAUAGAUUCAACUCGCAAGAUUUAUGAAUAUUGCCCAAAUGACUCAGAGAUUACACUUGGAAGUGUUACAAAUCUUGACUUUAAAAUAAAUUCAGCUCAGAAGACUUAUGAAUCUUAUCCAAAGACUUAGAGAUUAUACUUGGAGGUCUUAUAAAUCUUAACUCUAAAAUAGAUUCAAGUCAGAAGACUUACGAAUCUUACUUAGAGGACUCGGAGAUUAUGCCUAGAGGUCUUACAAAUCUUAACUCUAAAAUAGAUUCAGCUAGGAAGAUUUAUGAAUAUUGCCUAAAAAACUUGGAGAUUAUACCCAAAGGUCUAAUAAAUCUCAACUCUAAAAUAGAUUCAGCUUGAAAGACUUAUGAAAUUUACCUAGAGGUCUUACAAAUUAAACUUAAAAAAAGCUUAUUUAAAACAAAUGUUCAACCACUUUAAAGAGAAAAAUGAUAUUUGGAGGUUUUAAAUAUCAUGCCUGGAGGUCUUGUAGAUAUUGCUUGAAGGACUUUUAAAAUAGUUUAAUAGUUUUGAAGAUGUUGCAAAAGGUUUUUUUUUUAAAAAAUUAUCCGAAGGUUUUUUAAGACUGAUACUUAAAAAUUUUAACAAAUUUACCUUGAGGUAAAAUCAUGUUUGGUCAAAGUUUCAUUUUUUAUCAAAAAUUUAAGUCAAUAUCUCUUUCCUCUAAAAAAUAUGAAUGUAACAUAUGAAAUAGAUGUGAUGUAUACUAUGUAAGAAAUGCAUGAAGUGCAAUGAAUUAAAUGCAUGAAUUUUAUACCAAAUGUCCUUAAUUGUGGUAAUAGGUUUCUCAAAACUUUUAUUCCUUCCAUCUUUCCAUGACAUAUCCUCUGAAUUAGUUGACAAGUUCUUUCAUGCCCUAAAGUAGACAUUCUCAACAUUUUCAUUCUUGAAAACUAUUCUUCUCUUCUAGUGAGUUGUUUUAAUUUUGAUCUUUUGCAUUUGGCAUUUUCUUGCCCCAAAAAGGUCUUUUAUAGCAUUCACCUAUCUCCCACCCUGAGCAUUAAGAUCGACCAUAUUUUGAACAUUUUUCAAAACUUACCAUGAAUAGCAAUAGAAAUUACCCCAAAUAUAUCUCUUCUACAUGUGAUCAAAUCUCUUAAAAAUUGGUGAUUAUCGCUUAGAAUAAGGAUGAUGAAUCAUAAUUUUGGUCUUCCAAAAGGACGCAAUGGUUUGGCACCUCUUUCAGUUCUUGAUAGGUGGUAUUUUAAUAAAUAUCAAGAACAACUAUGUUAGGUUCAAAUUUUCAAGUUUGAAAAAAGAACAAGGCCUAAAAUUUAGAAUGAAUCUUCAUACUGAGAUCAAUCUUUUGGGCCUUUAAAGAAAAGUCUCCUUGGUGCUAAUGAAAAGUCAUAAGUUGCUUUCAAAGUUUCAAUCUUGCUUUAGGCUGCCCUUUCAGGUUUUCACCCUAAAACUUCAUUCUUUUCUCUUUUUUUUUGUUUUUGAUAUUCCAUCAUGCAUUUUAGCAUUCAAAAUUUAUCAAAAAGUGAUGGUGAUUUCCUAAAGAAAAACUUCUUAAUUUAGAUAUCCAUACUUGAUCAAAAUAGACUUUUUAAAUGACGUAAUGUGGGCUAAGGUUUAAGGAUUUAAAAAAAGCAUAAAUAGGCCCAAAAAAUGUAUUUACAGGUGAUCAAAUCAAAGAUCAUUUCUUUUCCAGAAACAUCUUUCCUUUUUUCAAAGAUGCAUUUUCUUUUUUCUCUUUUUUUUUUCUUUUUUUUUCCCUUUUUUUUUUUUUCAUGACCUUAAAAUUUUUUAAACUCUUAUUUCAAGCUUUUCUAACAUGAGGCAUUAUUUCCUAACUCAGCACAAGAUAGAUGCCAUUUGAGAAAUCCUUUUUCUCUUAAACUUGCCCCCAAAAUUUAAAGGUUGAUCCCUAGUUAAGGUUCGUUCGAAAGAAUAAUCAAAGGUUGAAAAAAGGUAGCAAAUGGAUAUUUUCUUCUUUUAUGAAGGGAAUUUAAAAGAUAACCAUUUUUCAUUUCAAGUAUGGAUAUCUAUUGAAAAACAGUCUAUAAGAGACAACUUGUUUCUAAUUGAUUUUAGGUUCAUUUGAAUGCCUCACAUGCAUGAUUUCAUAAUCAACUCUCUUUUCUUUUCUUUUCUUUUUUGUAAUUCAUUCAUUUUGAUAACAAAGACAUCUAAAUGUUCAUCAAUCAAAAUGAUCAAAAGGAUUAUUUAGGGCAUCAAGUAAAUUUGGCUUUUACCCCAAAGUAAGUACCAAUGAUCACUUGGUAAACGAUUCAAAAAAAAAGAUGAAUGUAGACAAGCUAAAAUACUGAACAAAUUAAGAAAAUAUAGCUCAAGAAAUUUAGGUGGUGACGUGCUUGAAAGAAGCUUGACAUUUAUUGAAAGACCAAAAAUUAAAAUGCUUAGGAGAGUGCCUUAAAAGAUUUUACAAAUUAAUCGACUAUCACAUUGUUCAUAGCCCAAAUGAAGAUCAAUAAAUUUUAAGUUUCAUCAUGGUCAAAUAAAGGGAAGUUUUGAAACUUUCAUCCCUGGAAAUUCUCAAGGCUUUUAAUUUUCUAAAUGAAAAAAAUUACAUGUUCAGGGGAAUGGCUCAAGAUACCUAUUCCUAAUAAUAAUUAUCAAAUUUCUUGAUUUUUUUUUCACAUGCAUUUGUAAGAAGCUAAACNNNNNNNNNNNNNNNNNNNNNNNNNNNNNNNNNNNNNNNNNNNNNNNNNNNNNNNNNNNNNNNNNNNNNNNNNNNNNNNNNNNNNNNNNNNNNNNNNNNNNNNNNNNNNNNNNNNNNNNNNNNNNNNNNNNNNNNNNNNNNNNNNNNNNNNNNNNNNNNNNNNNNNNNNNNNNNNNNNNNNNNNNNNNNNNNNNNNNNNNNNNNNNNNNNNNNNNNNNNNNNNNNNNNNNNNNNNNNNNNNNNNNNNNNNNNNNNNNNNNNNNNNNNNNNNNNNNNNNNNNNNNNNNNNNNNNNNNNNNNNNNNNNNNNNNNNNNNNNNNNNNNNNNNNNNNNNNNNNNNNNNNNNNNNNNNNNNNNNNNNNNNNNNNNNNNNNNNNNNNNNNNNNNNNNNNNNNNNNNNNNNNNNNNNNNNNNNNNNNNNNNNNNNNNNNNNNNNNNNNNNNNNNNNNNNNNNNNNNNNNNNNNNNNNNNNNNNNNNNNNNNNNNNNNNNNNNNNNNNNNNNNNNNNNNNNNNNNNNNNNNNNNNNNNNNNNNNNNNNNNNNNNNNNNNNNNNNNNNNNNNNNNNNNNNNNNNNNNNNNNNNNNNNNNNNNNNNNNNNNNNNNNNNNNNNNNNNNNNNNNNNNNNNNNNNNNNNNNNNNNNNNNNNNNNNNNNNNNNNNNNNNNNNNNNNNNNNNNNNNNNNNNNNNNNNNNNNNNNNNNNNNNNNNNNNNNNNNNNNNNNNNNNNNNNNNNNNNNNNNNNNNNNNNNNNNNNNNNNNNNNNNNNNNNNNNNNNNNNNNNNNNNNNNNNNNNNNNNNNNNNNNNNNNNNNNNNNNNNNNNNNNNNNNNNNNNNNNNNNNNNNNNNNNNNNNNNNNNNNNNNNNNNNNNNNNNNNNNNNNNNNNNNNNNNNNNNNNNNNNNNNNNNNNNNNNNNNNNNNNNNNNNNNNNNNNNNNNNNNNNNNNNNNNNNNNNNNNNNNNNNNNNNNNNNNNNNNNNNNNNNNNNNNNNNNNNNNNNNNNAAUUGUCCUUAUUUUUAUCAGGCAACGUCCAUGGCCUCUUCAACUUGCUUGUUUGCGCUUGAGUGCACCUAGAUGUUCAAAAGCAUCCUUUGAGCUGGUCCGUGGUUGAGGCUGCCCUGCUUACGUAGUAAAGAUCGAAACACUUGUUCCAAUUUGUUUUUCUGAUCCUGUUGUAUCCUUUGUGGCUUGCAUUGUGAUUUUGAGGUUUGUGACCGGGUGGUUGAUAUUAGAGAGAAGGCUUGCCUAGUUUGGUUUGGUUUUCUUUUCCAAUGCAAUUUUAUAUAGACCCAAAACUCUGAUUACGAUUCUGUUGAAGUGUUGGGGAAUAAAACAUUUUUGGUGUGCUGGUUUUAAAAAUUGAUUUCCAUCUUUUUAUCAAUAAAAUUAAUAAAUCAAUCAAUAAAUUUUAUUAAUGAAUACUUAAAAAAAAUAUUCCAAAGAGGAUUUGGUACGAAUAAAAAUAUUAAUGUUAAUUUCUUCUUUUCUUCUGCUUCAAAUUAACCACAGAUUGGAAAAAGCUAAAUAGCCAAGCCUCCACUUAUCUUGUGUCCAUUUUCUAUUGUUUCAUUUGUUUUUAGCCCUCAAUUUUGCAGUUUUUAGGUUUUCUUUUUUUUUUUUUUGGUUCCCUGAUUAAAUGAUGCAUUUUGGUCCAUUGCUGGUUUUAAUGAAUUUUCAGAAUUUGUAGAUCUCGUGAAAGGAGUUCUAGGAAGGUACUUUGAUGAGCAUGCUUGUAAAUGUGAUAAUUAUUGUGUAUGAAUGUUAAGUUAUCCAAAAAUAAAUAAGUUUAGCAUUAGGACUUUCUUUCUUUUAUUGUUUGCCAUAAAUGAUUCUGGAGCAAAGCAAACUACUGUUGAACUAAUUAUUUGCAUUGUACACUUUCAGGAAUCACUUAGUGGGUUAAAACUGAUAUACAUGUUUCUCUCUCAUAUGUUCUUAAUCUGGGUAGGAUAGAAUUAAGUUUGGGCUAUCUCAAUUCCUUUGCACCUUUUUUCCCUUGCACUGUAAUAUUUUCUCAACAACCCUUUUGCAAGGGGAAAGCUGUAAUAUAAAUAUAUAUAUAUAUAUUAUAUUUAAAUUAGAUAAUUUUGUAAAAAAAUUAUAUUGAUGGAAGUGUGUACAUGGUAUUCAGAUUUUAUUUUUUCAUUUCUUCAUUUUUAUAAAGCUUUAUUUUUAAAAAGUUCCUAAUAAAAAUUUUUACAAGAAUAAAUCAUCAUUAAUAAUAUUGCAUGACAAUUCAAUUUUUUGUCCUUUUUAUUUGUUUUGAUUUUUUCAUUUUCAUUUUGAUUUUUACUUUUUUAGUUUUCUUUCUCCCUUAAUUUUUUAUUAGAUCAAUUAUUUCAGUGAAAAAAACUCAUCGGAUGUACCCACAUGGCAUCCUAUUUUAUUUUUGCCUUUCAUUUUUUUUUAAUUAGAUAAAUAAUACAAUAAAAAAAUCAGUAAUAAAUUUUAUAAGAUAAAAAUCAAUUGAAGUAUAGAUAACAAAAUAUCUUGUAUCCGAUAUGUUUUGAUUCCUAUGGAUUAAUCGGUGUGCUUUUUCUUUUUUUUUUAAUUUAGGAUUGGAAACCUUAAAAAAUAUGAAUUAUUACCAAAUUACGAUAGCAUCGUCUACUAAAAUAAUUUUGUAAGAAACCUUUAUGAAGUAAGAAACGGAAAACUUAUAAUUGAAAAAUGAAUUAAUUAAUAGUAGGAUAGAAAAAUAAUUUAAAAGAUUACAAUUAGUAAUUUCAUAAUCAAAUAAAUGAUUUUUUUUAAAAUUAAUGUAAAACUAUGUUUUCUAAACCAAAGCAAUGCACAAAUGACACCACAAAUUGAUCCUUCAUAUAUGCCUCACAAACAUUUUAAUAAAAUUACAAAAAAAAAUUUAACUAUUUCCAAAAAUAAAAUCUUGAUAUAUAUAAUUUUGCUAAAUAAGAUAUUUUAACUUUUGAUAAAUGAAGUUACUUUCAUAAAUAAAAUCUUACUUGAAAUCCUGCAACUAAUUAACUCAUUUUGAUAGUUUAAUUUUCAUUAAAGUGUAAUUUUCUUUUGCUUGCAAAGACCAACAUCUGUAUGUACUUUAAUUUUUUUGUCAAAUAGCUAUAGUUUUAUCAAAAUCAUUUUUGUCUAUACUUACAUAUAAGCACGUGCAAAAACAAAUGCAUAAAUGUGUGUAAAAUUAAAAAGAAUUAAGCAUUUAAUUAGAUUCAUAUAUAUAUAGAUAUAUAUAUAUAUAUAUAUAUACACACAUACACACACUAUCUGUAUUCUUCAUAAAUAGGUUGACUUUCAAGUUUUCUCGAAGCCUUUUAUCAUGUUUUUAAGUAAUAAAAAUAUUAGUGUAUGGUUCAUAAUAGUACGAUAACAUGUUCACGGUAUUUGAUACACAACAUAAACUUGCAAGCAUGUAAAAUUACACAGAUUUGAAUAAAAACAGGGGGUUUUAUUUUAUUUUAAUUUUAUCAUGUUUUUCAGAUAACAUGAAGGGAAAAAGACCCAAAGCUAUAUAUUUAUUUUUCAUCAGUCAUAAGCAUCCCCAUACUUAGGCUGAAAGUUGAUCCAUCAGCACUCAAACGGAACCGCUGAGCCUUUAUGUAAGCAUAUUCAACAAGGAAUCCAACUCAUCAUUGGUGCAGUCGAUCAAAUUGUCCUUAUUUUUAUCGGCAAUGUCCAUGGCCUCUUCAACUUGCUUGUUUGGCGUGAGUGCACUAGAUGUUCAAAAGCAUCCUUGAGCUGGUCCCUGGUGAGGCUGCCCUGCUUAGAGUAAGAUCGUAAACACUUGUUCCAAUAUGUUUUUCUGAUGUCUUGUUACCUUUGUGGCUUGCAUUGUUGGAUUUUGAGGUUUAGACAGGGUGAUAUAAGCAGAAAGGGCUUGCCAGCUUGGUUUGCUUUCUUUCCAUGCAAUUGUUUAUAUAACCCAAAACUCGAAUAGUAUUCUGUUGAAGUGUAGGGGAAUAAAAUCUUUUUUGUGGUGGGUUUUAAAAUUUGAUUUCGAUUGAAAGCAAACAAUAUAAUUGUAUGAUAUUUUCUUCAUUUGAAUUUUUUUUAAGUAUCCAUUUUAUCAAUAAAAUUAAUAAAUCAAUCAAUAACUUUUUAUAAUGAAUACAAAUAAACAAAUAUUCGAAGAGGAUUGGUUCGAAUAAGAAUAUUAAUGUUGGCUUGAAAUUAACCACAGAUUGGAAAAUGCUAAAUAGCAGCCUCCACUAUCUUGUGUCCAUUUUCUAUUGUUUCAUUUGUUUUAGCCCUCAAUUUGCAGUUUUUAGUUGCUUUGUUUUUUUCGUUGCCUGAUUAAAUGAUGCAUUUGGAUAAAUUUAUUAUCCAAGCUUUAUGAUGAGUACCUAUAGACUUUUUGUAGUAAUAUGAUGAUGAUAAUAGUUUUGAAAGAACUAAAAACCUUUUGCUGUUAUUUGUUCACCCGAAAACUGAGAGUAAUCAUGUUAAUAGAGAAAUGCUCAGACAUUGAAGUUGAAAAAAGGAAAAGUGGUUGAGAAGCUGAAUAUGGGAUAAAAUUGUGGCAACUGGCAAGUGUACAUUAACUUUUCUGGGAUAAGAGUUUUAGUUUACAAAAUGUCGUUUUGGCCGAAUAUAUGUCUUAUAUGAAAAGUCUGAUGACUGAAAACGUAAAUUUGAUCUAUGAUGUCACUAUUCCAGCAUCCACGGUGGAGAGUUCUUGUUGAUAAUCAAUAUUAAGUUUGGGCAGUGAACCUAUCAGAGGCCCGUUUUUGUUAUUGGGAUAAAACUGGUUUUGUGUGUAAUGUUUCAUUUGCACGACAUUUAAGCUGUCUGUUCAUCUAGUAUUAUAAAACUUGUUCAUUUGACUGGAGGUGCAGUGGGAUUUGCAGGUCUGUGGAGAGGAUAAUGGAAGUUCAUGAACGUUGUGGUGAGGACAAGAAUGCUUUAUGGAGCACAAACUUUGUGCAAACACCAAGUUCUUUCUGCUGUUGCUCUUAUUUUAUGCUUAAAAUCAUAAGCUUUUUUUGUGCUUUUACUACAAAUUUUACAUCAAUUUAACAAACCUGAGAAUCCAGUAAUAUAAUAAUGGCCACAGCAGGGGAACUUUGCUUUUCUAUUACAAGUUCUUUCAGAAAGUACUUAUUGCUUUGUGUUUUCCUUACAACUGACCACAAUCUUUUACUUUCCAAAAUCAUGCCUCUGAUUAAGUAAAACCUGCUCGAAAACUAUUGUUACACUUGCAACACAAAGACUUCAUAUAUAUAAAAGAAAAACAUUACAAAAUUCAUAUUUCACAUUUGAAUUUAAUGUUUUUCCUUUUUUAUGUGAAGGCUUCAUAGCAUUAGGAUUUAAUACUAGAAAUUAAGUUAGUGACACAAUGAAGACAACACAAAAGGCUUUUGUCAUAUCUUAUGUGUAUCUUCGAGGUGUCUCUGGACUGGAGUAAUGAAUUGUUGAAUCGAAACGUUACACAGGCUAAAAUCAAAUAGCUAGCUUUUGCAUACGUUUUGUUGCACUUAGAUGUGAAUCAUUUUUUCCAUGAGAGGAGAUUUUAUUUACAUCUUUAGUAUAUUGUUUUGAUGCAAACAAAUGAAUUUGCUUUGUCUUGUGAAAAAAUUUGUAUACCCUAUUGAUCCUAAUUUUGAAUUAAUUUUCCUCUUUCUCUUCCAGCUGCCAAUGGUCAUAUAAUACCAAAAACCUGCAUCCUCAGUCUCAGAUUGUCCUCAACCUCACCUGGCUUGCAUCAGUGAAUCUGAUCACACUGCAUGAUUUCAUGUAUGGAUAUAUAGAUAUCUUGGACCAUUUAUAUAUAAUUCCAAACCAUUUUACAUUUCAUAUAAUUCACCCCUACAUUUAAUUACUACUUAGGACAGCAAUAGAAAUGUUGAUUGAACAGUUCUUUUAAUUUUAUGAUUCAAAUGAUGAAAACUUUGAAGUAAUUACAUUUAAUGAUGGUGAUUCAAAUGGGGGUGUUCAUGUGACACCUUUAUUGAGCUUUUUUUUGUUGUUUUUGUUUUUCUCCUUUUUUUUUUCAAAUUUUUUACAUUUUUAUUUUUUGAUUAGAUAAAUUUAAUGAGCAAAAAGGCCAUCGAGAUAUAUUCACAUGUCACUUCUAUCUAGUUUUCUUAUCUUUUAUUUUUUUUAAUUAGAUAAGUUUUAUAAAAAUAAUAUAAAAAUUAUUUUUAAUUUAGUUUUAUUAAAAUUUAUAUGAAAAUAAUAGAAAAAUAAAAUAAAUUAUCAAUUAUUUUAAUUAAUAAAAUAGUUAAACUUACGCGUAAGCUCAUUUCUAGUAUUUAAAAAAAUGAUAAAGAAAAUUAUUUAAACUCCAUCUCUUAAUUUAAGCUUUAAUUAGAACAUGCUAGUAGUUGAUUUAUAGAGCUCGCUAGUUUGUUAUUCGUUCGACGUAGGUAUUAUUUUUAAUUAUUUAAAUGUGUAGACACAUAAAUUAUUACUGUUUAGUCACUUAUAUAUUCAAGACAUAUGUAAAAUACAUAUAUAAUUAAGAUAUCAAAUUAUCAUAAAAUUACAAUCUUUUAUUAAAAAUUAAAUUAAUUUAAAAAAUAUGAAAAAUAAACUAUCCAAAAGAUAUUAUAAAUAAUAAUAUUGAGUUCACCAAAAAAAUAUUAAAAUGAAAACUAAAAGUUUGAUUACUUCAAAUUAAUUUUCUUCUGUUUGUAUCUAUCGUAACGACUUUAGAGAUCACUAGACGAAUUUGGAAAAAUAAAAGAAAUGAAGUCGUUAUCAAUUUUUUUUGGUUAGGUGUGAUUGACCACUUAUUAAAACUUACUUUAUUAAUAAAUUAAUUAAAAUUUAUUAAAAAGAUAAUUUUUAAGUUUGCAAAAACAGUUUGAGUACGGGAGUCGGUAAUGCGUGGGGAAGGAUUAGCACCCCACAAUGUCCAUUUAAAACAUUACUAAUUAAUUAUGUGUUAUCUUUUAAUAUUGACAAAAAAUGGUCUUAAUAUUGGUAUUAACAAUUACUAUUCUUAAUUUUCUUUAAAAACAUGUUUAUGAUUUUUUAGUAAGCUCGAAAAAUAAAUAAGAACUUUAUAUUGAAAAUUUUCUAAAAAUAUCUCAAUACGCUGGCAGUAUUUUUAGAAAACUUUUCUCACUUAGAGAUAUUUUAAAAAUCUCUACUUGGACUUCUUUACAAUUCCAUCAUCGGAUAUUUUUAUUUCAUUGAAAAUUAUAUAAUGCGAGCAAUCAUGCAUACAAAACAAUAUAUAUAUAUAUAUUGAUUAUGACUUAAUCAUCUUAUUUUAUCCUCUAAUUGUCAAUAACACCUUUGGAAGGAACAAAGUGAAUAAAAAUUUUAUUGAAAAUGUCCCUAGAUAUUCCAAUAAUUUGAUGGUAUUUUAAAAAAAUUUUCUCACCUACGGAUUUCUUAAGAAUCUCUACUUUGACUUCCUUAAAAUCCUAUCCUCGAAUAAUUUCAUUCAUAUUAUUAUGUGCAUGAAAAAUAAAAUAUAUCAAACAUGAAUUUAAACUCAAAAUAUUAAAUUAAAAUAAGCCUGAGAAUCUAAACAACAAAAAAAAUUAACUAUGCAUAGGAUUAAACUUAUAAUUGAAUUUAAACAAUCAUAAACAAAUUGUAUAAUUAUAAUUAAAAUUAAACAUACAUAAAAAAAAUUUCUCGGAAUCAAAUUUUAAGCCUUAUAUUCUUUAUGAAAUUUUAUUCAUUUAAAAAUUUUAACUAGAAAAACAAACUUGGACCUAGCCUAAAAGCUUGAAUGUGAAUGGUAUGGCCUCAUUUUUUUUUUUUUUUUACAUUUCUUCUAUUCUUCAAUCAAAUAAAAAACAAGCCAAUCAUGUAGUCCCUACCCAUCUCAAUCAAAGCUCUAGUUUUGUCCCAUAUAUGGCUUCUUUAUUUUAAUAAACUUUAUUCUCCCAUCCUAAGAACCAUGCAACCCUUAGCCCCAUUCUUUUCUACGUAAAGCUUGCUACUUUCUAUACCUAUUGGUUUUUACCUUCCAUUUAAGACUAGCCUACAUGACAACAAGCAUUGGAACCAAACUUGACAGCAAGCCUUCACGGUCAACAAUGAAAGAAGUGGAUCAUCCAUCAUCAAGCAUAAAAGAAAAUUGAAACUCUAGCUUCUACAGCAACAUUCAUGCAAAAAAAGGAAAAGGAAACAUGGAUGGUGAGGCUUUAAAUAAUUCACCGAAACAUGAUAGAAUUAGUGUUCUUAGCACCAUACUUGGAGCUUUAAAACUACCUUAAUCACCUCAUUUCACCCACAUGUGGAAACUAGGCAAAGAGAAGCAAGGUGGGAUCAUGCAUUGUAUGAGAUACUUUCCCUACAUCUAUAAAGGCUUCAUGUACUGAAUGAGUAGGCAAAAGCAUGUAAAAAUGGCCGAGCAAAACAAACAUAAAGGUGGAAUAGCAUAGUUCACGUGAAAUUUCCCCUACACAUGGUCUAUUUUCAACUUUUCAUUCUUUAUAUAAUCAACCAUAAGAACAAGCCAAGACAGCUCUGACGUAUAGGGAAGAAACCAAAAAAAUACAAAAAACUAGAAGCUUUAUAGCUUGUGCAAAACCUUUCACAUAAAGACAACAAACUAGACAAGAAAAAGAACCCCAUUCCAUGUUGAAGAGCAAAGAGCUAUGAAGUUGCCCAUUCAUGUUUUAUAUAGCUCAAAUGGAUUAUAGCCAAAGGUCAUCAACUUCAAACUUCCAGCUUUCUUCCUUUUAGCUUUUAAAACAAAACAACACUGUGGUCCAAACAACUUUUGAUCGUGAGCCCUUUUUGACCUUACUAGUAAACCCAUGUCUCAUACAAAGAAAGAAAGCAAAAGAGGUGCUGAAAUUACUUUAGGCAGCAAUGGAAAUAGGUUCCAAAAUCUGUUUGGAAGAUCAACCAAACCGUGACUGCCCAUGGGGAGUUAGGCAACACGUAGGGAUUUAAAUAGCGAUCGCGGUCACAUUUUCGGUCGCGUAGCAUUUGUCGCGUUUCAGAUAUAACGGAGAUAAUUGCGGUUGCUGUGAUCAUCACAGUCGUGAAAUUUUUUUUUUUUGCACAAUUUAUUAUAACAUGUAAUAAUUCUAAUUAUAAUUAUAAAAACUCUUAUUCAAUGAUUCUAAAAAUAGUUUAUGACACUCCAUGUUUUUUAUUUUCUAAAAAAAUUAUUUAUAAUUUUAUUUAGAUUAUAAAAAGCAUUCAUAUUUGGUUUAUCCAUAAAAUUUUUCUUGGCCAAGUUCAUAUUCAAUAUUAAUUCUAGACAAAUCAAAUAUUAAAAAACAUAAUAUGUUAAAUACCAAGCAUUUAAUUUAAUAAAAUUACAAACUUAAAAAUAUAAUAAAUUCAAAUUUCAUCAACUACAAUUCUUGAUACAUAUUUCAAAUUUACCACAUGGUAGAAUGACGAGGAGGAUCAGAUUCUCUAUCUUCACUUUGAAAGCCAAGUUGACUCCAUCUCCAUUCCUGAGGCCUUUGUUCUUGAUACAUUUGAGAUGGAAAGAUAUAUUUGAGGAUGAUACACUUGUGGUGGAGGGUACAUUUAUGGUAACUGAUACAUUUGAGAUGGAAGAUACAUUUGAGGUGGAUAAUAAGCAUAUGGAGGUGGAUAACCAUGAGGAGGAUGAAAAUUAUGUUGUUCUAGUGGAUAGUAAUGUCUUUGAGUACUAGCAGAUGAUUCACUAUACUCAAAGUUACUAGAAUUUAGUUUUUCACCUAAAGAUGAAGAACCUUUAGAAAUUUCAUAGUGGUGCUUCUUCGCUUUUCCUUUUGAUCGAGUUGUACGUGCACUUUGACCCUCACUAGAUUUAGCAAAUGGAUUUCCUCUGUAUUCUACCAUAUUAAUGAAAAGUCCACCAGUAACAACAAACUCAAAUUCUCCUCUAAGUGGGCUGUAAAGUCGAUUUGCAUCCACAUUAUCACCAAAAUUUACACCAUCACCAUCACCAUCUCCAUCACCAUCAUCAUCUGGACUUAAAGCACCACCAUCAUCACUUUAACUUGGUGUUGGACUUGAACUUGAAUGAGACACAUUCCUUUCUUGAGAUAGACGUGAUCGUUCAACAUUCAUUUCAUUAUUAGAAUUAUCUACAGGUAACUAAUUAAAGUUUUGACCAUCUAAUAGAAGAUUUUCUUUCUCUUGCAGCCAUUCUGUUAGUGGAUCAUCAUCUUCAAAAAUAUGGUCAAGGCUAAUAGGAUUAAAACUAUUAUUUAUUUCAUCAAUGCUCAUUCUUUUCUGAUGUCUCAUCCUCAACCUCAUGUUAUAAUAGGUAUAUACAAGUUUCUGGAGUCUUUCAAACUUCAAUCUAUUUCUUGCUUUGGUGUGAAUAUAGCUAAAUGUGCUUCAAUUAUAUUGACAAUUUGAUGUAGAUGUUGUUUGACUAAGCACUUUGAUUGCUAGUUUUUGUAAUUCAGGAACACAAGUGCCAUGUAUCAUCCAUCACUCAGCUGUAUAAAAUUAUUUAAAUUAAAUUUCAAUGGGCUAUACAAUUAAAUAAUAUAAAUAAAUUAUAAUUAUUUAACUUACUAGUUACCUGGAUUCAUUUGCUUCCAAGCUCUUUGUGCUUGUGGACUACCAAAUGUUUUAUGCUUGUCUCAAAAUAAUAACAACUACAUCGAUUGAAAAUACAAUAAUGAAUGAAUAAAUAAAAAAUAAUUUAAUUUUUAAUAUAUUAAAUAAAUGUUAAAGUUAUAAAAUAGUAUUAAAUACUAACCUGAUUAAUUAUUUUGAUUUGAGUAUCUAUCGAAGGUUCUAAUCUUUCAAUAACUACUUUUAUACCUUCUAAUGUUUCCUUAAAUACAUUUGCAGAAUGUUCCACUCCAAAUUGAAAUUAUGGAUUUAGAUAGUAACCUAAACAUAAUUUAUAAAAAUAUUAUAUUAAAGUAAUAAAAAAUAAAUAUAUAAGCAAUUUAAGUAUAAAAAAUAAACAUAUUUUUUAAAUACCAUCUAUAUUCUUAGUUUUCUUACCAGCUGAAUGCAAGUCAGAGUGCAUGAAACUCCAUCUAUUGUCAAUAAUCUUUUCAUAUUCAGCAGAAUAACGACAAGUUUGUUGAAUUGCUUGUUUAGCUCUAUCCACAGCCUUGUAAAUAAAGCCCAUUGUUGAUUUUUCAUCAACAUCCACAAGGCGCAACACUUUUACCAAAGGCUCAUAAACUUUUAUUAUAUUGCCUGCUUUUUUUCAAAAAUCUUUUCCCAAAAUGAUUUUUUUGACUUCAUAAGCAAGUCUUGAUUUUUGUUGUCCCCAUUUUGAAUCUUUAAAUUCCUAUAUAUUCAUCAAUAAAUUUUUAAAGUAAUAUAUUUUAAAUUAAUAUUUUAAAACAAUAAUAUCAUAAAAAGAUGCUAGAUUUAAAUAGUUGUACUAAUUACUAAGUACUAACCUUUGAAUUGAACAUCUCUCUCAAACUUUGCUUUUGCCUCAUUAUUUCUUCUAAUCGUAUGAAAUGAGUGGCAAAUCGGGUAAGAGCAGGACGAAGUAUUUACUUCCCUUGUGUAUAUUUCUUCAUCAAAUUAACAGUCCAAAUGUGAUUGUAUAUAAAACAAGUCACUUUCUUUACAUCAUCCAAAACCUUUGCCACAUUUUUUUCCUUCCAAUAUCUUCAAGGCACAGUCCAAACAAUGAGCUGAACAUGCUGCCCAAUAGAAAUGUUUUCUCUUCUCUAUUAGUCUUUUUCCUGCGGCCUUAAGUGUUGUCUCAUUAUCAGUGACUAUUUGAACAAUGUAUUUUUCUCCAAUUUCUUCCACAACUUAAUCUAAUAAUCUGUAGUAAAAGUUUGUAUCUCUACUACAAACACUUGAGACAUCUAUAGAUUUCCAAAAAAUAGUCCCUUUACUACAGUAAACAAGGAAAUUAAUGAUAUGCAUUUGAUUCAAACUAUUGGUCCAACCAUCACACAUCAAAGUGACACCCAAUUCAUUCCAAUAAGCUUUUAAUCCAUUAACCCAUUCAUGAACUUGUUGAUACUCAGACUCCUAAUACACAUCUGAGACCUCAUAAAGUGUUGGAAGUCUUACAUGUUGGCCAACUUCUACUGCCACAGAAAUCAAAUUAUGUAACCAUGGGGAAUUUGCUAACUGAAAAGGAAAUCGAUCAUAUAUCAAAAAUUUUGAUACUGAUUCACCCAUUUUUCUUCUUAAUGUCUUUAGAAAUGAAUCACUUACAUUUUGUUGUCUUGAACUUUUAUUUCUAACCAAUUCAAGAACAGCUCCCCUUAAUGAAAAUUCAGACUCAUUUGGAAUUGAUUUUCUUGUUCUUUCUUCAAAAUAUUCAGCAACUGAACCAUGAGAGCUUCGUCCUUCGUCAUAUAUGUUACUCCAACCACUAGUUCUUUGUCUGAAUUCUUGUCUUCUGUGCCACUUAUGUUGUGAUUGGAUACUAUCUCGCACGGCUUGUCAGCAGCAAUGUCUUCAUCAAUAAAUCCUUCAUAAUCAUCUUCCCUUCUUAACUGUGAUAAAAAUUCAUUUUUUUCUCCUUUUAUUGUCAGCUUUUUUUGAUUUGUUUUCUUAAAAGAGUUUCAUCAUACUUUCUUUUACUAUACCUAUUAAUAAUAUAGUUGAAAAAAGAAGAGAAAAUUAGCUGCACACGCUUAUGUAAUUUUAUAAUUUUUAUUAAAAAAUUAACAAUAAUAUUUUCAAAGAAAUUAAAAAAACUUAACAUACCAAUAACGUUGGGGCAUGGUGCAACAUUGCCAGUUUUAUGAGCAAUGUGUUCUUUGAAACGUGUUAUUCCUCCUUUUACAACCUUACCACAAAGUUUACAUGAAACAUUUCCUCUUGUAUUUGGCACAAGUGUUCCAAAAUGCCAACCUAUAUCAUCAUUUGGCGCGCCCUCUACUCCUUUACUCGGGAACUCUUCACGUGGUGGCAUACUUACUAUUUUGUAUAAAAACAAAAUAAACUUAUAUUUAGAAAUAUUAAUAUUACUUAUUACAUCAUUAAAAAUUGAUUUUACGCUAAAUUUUUUAAUUUUUAGUUUUUAAUAUUAAGAAUAUUAUUAAAUAACUUAAUCUUUUUGAUGCACUAAUUGAUAUUAAUUUUUUUAUCACAAAUAACUUCAAAUAAUUAUAUAAUAAAUACAAUCUUCAAUAAUUACUCAAAAAUAAUAAGAAUUAAUCUAAUAUCAAAAGAAUUGACAACAAUAUAAAUAUCAAAACAACAAAAAAAUUUAUUAAAUUUCAUAUACAAAAUUAUAAAUUAAUAUCUAACACAAUCAAAAUAUAAUAUUUAAUUUUAAUUAAUUUUUGUCUAACUUAUAUAAAAAAUUUAUCAAUAAUUUUCAUCUACAAUCUCUAUGUAUAUCAUAUUAAAUUAUUAAUCUCUUUUUUUUUAAUUAUAAAUCUUCAAUCCCUCUAAUUAGAUUUUAUCUAAAAAAAUUUCAAAAAUUAAAAGCUUUCAAACUUAUAUUUUAAUAAAAUUUUCAAACCUAUAUUUUUUAUUUUUUAGUUUUUAAUCUUAAUAAGAGUAAUAGAUCAUAAAAUGCUAAAUUUGUUAAGUAACUUAAUUUUUUUGAUACACUAAUUGAUAUAAAAUUUUUUUAUCACAAACAACUUUUAAUAAUUAUAUAAUAAACACAAUCUUCAAUAAUUACACAAAAAUAACAAGAAUUAAUAUAAUAUCAAAAGAAUUGACAAUAAUAUAAAUAUCAAAACAACAAAAAAAAUUAAAAUUCAUAUACAAAAUUAUAAAUUAAUAUAUAACACAAUCAAAAUAUAAUAUUUAAUUUUAAUUAUUUUUCAUCUAACUUAUACAAAAAAAUUUAUCAAAAUUUUUCAUUUAAAAUCUCUAUAUAUUAUAUUAAAUUAUUAAUCUCUUUUUUUUAAUUAUAAAUUUUCAAAACCACUAAUUAAAUUUUAUCUAAAAAAUUUUCAAAAAUUAAUUACAAAAUUAAAUAAAAAAAUUCAAUCCCACCCUCCAAACACCCUACCACACCCAAUCCCUCCCCACCCCAUCAAUCCCUCCACCUUCCCCCAACAUCCCACCACACCCAAUCCCUCCCCACCUUCCCCCUAACGCCCACCACACCCAAUCCUCCCCACCCCAUCCAAUCUCUCCCCACAUGCCUAAUAUCUCAAAUUUGUUUAAUUCUUUCUAGCAAACGGCAGACCCUUCUAGAAAUGCUACUUUCUUCUGUUCAUCAUCUUCUUCGUGUUGCCUUCUUUGGCUUUCCAUAAAUUUUUUCUUAUCUUUUUUUUUUAUUUCUCAUUUUCUCUCACAUCCCUUUAUCACUGUCACUUGCUGACUUGCCUAGUAUCUACAGAUAUCUCAUUUGUCUUUCAAACUCUCACAAGAAACAACAGAUCAUUUUACAAAAAUUUUACAAAAAAAAGGUAAUUUAACUUUCUUUUCUUACUUUAUUUGAUCUUGAAUGUUGAUUGAAAACUUGAAGCUGAUUUGAAUUUGAAUGUUGAAAAUGCCGAUUGAAUGGUUGAAAGUUGAAACUUGAAAUAAUUGAUCUAUUUUCUAGCUCAUUUUAAAAUUUAUUUUAAUGAUAAAGAUCUGAGAUUGUGAGCUUUAUUUUUUGAUUUGGCUUUUACUUUUACUUUUGCAGGUUUAUUGUUUCAUUCUGCAGGCUUAAAAUUUUAUUUUUUUGUUAGAACUAUUAGAUCCGUGAGUAGAAAAACAGAAUAGCGACAAUAACGGUCCGUUGUUGUCGCUAUUGCCCAUUAUGCCAUUAUUUUACUAUCGUUACUCUCCGUUUUUACUGUGAAUGAAUUUCUCAACCACUUUUUAUCUACUAACGGUGGCAGAAGGCAGCGCUACCAUCAUUUUGCGGUCGCUAUUCCACUAUCAAACCAUUAUUUGAAUCUCUCAGCACGGUUUGGCUUAGUCCAAGUUGAAUUCUUUUUCUUUGUUUUCUAUAGCUUAGACCAACUAAAGGUUGGUUAUGCCGGAUGAAAAAAGGGAUGGAAGAAUUUAUGGCAUGACCGAACAGCUGCUGCCAGAAGGAAAAACAACAGCUGUUCAACAACAACCAGCAAAGAAAAAAAAAGAUGAGAUUCAACCAUCUUUGUAACAAGAGCACUAGAGUACAUAAAGUUAAACUUCAUCCACACUCAUACCAAAGUCCAAGCAAGCAAAGAACAAAUGAAAACACAUUGUAGAGAAGAUCCUAACUAGUGCAAAAAUGGAAUAGAAACAAUGAUAUAAAAUGGCAUACAUGCCCUUGUAUGUGGGUUGCUCAGCUUCGAAACCUCUUUUGUUUUCAAUUCCCCCCACCUUUUUUUUUCUUUUUUCAGAUCCUUCCUCCUCUUUUUUCCCUUCCUUUCUAGCAGUUUCUUCUCCAUGCUUUUAUUUGGCAGACCCUUCCAAGAAAUGCAAGAUUUUAAUCUUGCCCAACGAGGGCCCUUGGAUGAAAUCUCAUCCAAAGGCCAUAUUUAUUCCUUUUCUUAUUUCCAAGGAGACACCUUUGGCCCUUGGAUUAAAAGCCAGCAAAGGAUCCAAAGGCUCAAAUUACACACUGUAAAGGUUGAAUCUUUAUGCCUCUUAAACCCAUAAAAAAAACCAUUUUAUCCCUAGUGUAAAGUUUUAGUGUUUAUGGUCAUUUUCUUAGAAAUCAAAGUUCCCAUAGUUAUUUUUUGGAUUUUCAAGCACCAAAAAUUAUAAAUUAUUAUGAAGUUAAGAUCUGAAAUGUUUCGUGAAAAUCUGAGUUUGGAAAGAUCAAAUUACGAAAAUACCCUUAUAGAGAUAUUUUGGUAAUUUUAUACUUUUUCGGGUAUACUAUGAUUUCAAAUGCACUAAAAAUCAUGAAAUAUUAUAAAAUUACGAUCUAAAAAGUUGUACAAAAUUUUGGGCUUGGAAAGAUCAAAUUAUAAAAAUAUCCUUAUAAGAGAUAUUUUGGUAAUUUUAUACUUUUCGGGGUACAAUAAAAACUCCAACAUUUCAAAAAAUCUCAAAUUUAACUUUAAACCGAAUUGAUUUCAACUUUUGAAUUAUUAGAAUUGAGUCAAGCUCUAUCUAUUUUGACCAAGUUUCUUGCAAUUUUGACCAAGGUUGAAUUUGGAGUUGACUUUAUUAGGCCUAAAUAUUGAUUUCUUAAAGGGCAUUUUUUAUCGGCUUCAAGUGGGUUUUAUUUAACUAUGCUAAAAUAUUUCAGAUAAAAUUUAGUGUCUAUAGCUAUCUUUUUUUGCUUAUUUCUGAGAAUAAAAAAUAAUGCAAAAAAAUAAACAGUAAUUUUAUCCAGAUAAUGCUUUUGAAAUUUUCUUUUUUAACAUGUUUUGAACUUGUUUGAAAAUUGCCCUCUCCAAACAAAGGCUUUGACACUUUGAAAUUGGCUCUUCCCCAAACAGAGGCUUUGAAACUUUGACAAUAGCUAUUUGUAGACACCUAAUUUGGUCCAAGCCCGGAUCAAUUGGGCCUGGUCCAAGUGGGUAGGCCCAUUUAAUUUUGUAUUUUUGUAUUUCUUAUAUUUUUAUAUUUUAUUUUACUUUAUUUUGUAUUUUAUGUAUUUAUUAUUACUAUUUAUUAAUAUAUAUUUAUUUUAUUUUAUUAUUUUUAUUAUUUAUCUGCUGAUAUAUAUGUAUUAUUAUUUAUCUAUUUAUAUAUAAUUAUUAUUAUUUAUCUAUUUAUAUAUAUUAUUAUUUAUCUAUUAAUUAAUAUGUUAUCCUUAUUAUUAUCUUUUUAUUUUAUUAUUUUAUUUAUUUUUUUUCUUUUCUUCUUUCUUUUACCCGAUUGAAGCUGGAUUAGGAUAGAAAUUUGAGUGUGGGAUUCCAUCAGAAUCCAGAUUGGAUUCAAAGAUCGAAUCUCAAUCCAAAAGGGAAUAGGGAUUGAUCAGAAACUCUUCUGAUCAAUCUCUAUAAAUAGAUCCACGGAUCAAAGGACUGGAACACAGAAAAAAGGCAAACAGUGAAGAAACAGAAGCUUAAAAGGGUUUUGAUGCAUUAGAAUAGCUCUAAGAAUCGGUGGGAAAUUUUUAGAGAAUGUUUUGUAAAUUUUUUUCUAGAAAUUUUUGGAAAAUUUUCAGAUUUCGAUUGAAUUUUCUGACGAAGAUUGAAUUUUUCAACGACUAUUCUAGCCAAGUUUGAAUUUUUCUGCCAACUUCCAGUUUUCGAUAAUCAUUUCCAAAAACCGAUCAAUUUUCUGACAAACUUCCAGCAAACCAGAUUCUGACGAAAAUUUUUAGAAUCCGACGGACAUUCAACCAAAGUUUUUCAGGUUUUAGAGAUAAGGGAGAGAAGAGGAAGGGAGGAGAUAGAUAGAGGGAAGGAGGGUUCUGCUGAAAAAACAGAGGAAUUAGCCUUUUAUACCCUCCCAAACGACAUCAUUUUUGCGUUAGUAACCCAGAUGAUUUGCGCGUUUUACUAAGAUCCGACCCAACCCGAGCGUCAACUUGCUUUCGACCCGCGUCUCCGAGCCGUUUCCCUGAGCCAAGCCAAGCCGAGCCGAGUCGACGCCCUCUGAGCCACGUUUUCGAGUCUUUUUUUUCCUCGAGCCGAGCCGUUUCCAGGUUUUUUUUUUCAUUUUUUAUUAUAUAUAUUUUUUUAUUAUUAUUAUUUACUUAUUUAUUUAUUAGAUUAGAUUUGUUUAAUUUUUUUAUUUUUUUUAUUUUCCUUUAUUUUUAUUUUUAUUUUUAUUUUAUUUAUUUUAAAUAACAUCAAAAAAAAUAUUUUUGAGGAAAAGUUGAAAGUAUCAAUUUUCUUUGAAAAUAAGCUUUCUAAAAAAACAUAAAUAUUUUUGGGGAAAAGUUGAAAGUAUCAAUUUUCCCUGCACAAAAGCAAUCAUUUUUUUCCUUUUUUUUCUUGAAUUUUUUUUAAUGUUAAACAAUCUGACGAUGGAGCAUUUGCAAGUGAAACAGUAGUUUUCUUGCAUACUCUUGAGGUGAGGGGAUUUUUUCAAUUUUUUACUAAAAGUAUUAGAGUCAAUUGAGAAUAAUUUCUAAUAACUAAUUACUUGGUAAAUUUUUAAGCCUUAUUGGAUAACACAAAAUUAAGCUGGUACCAUCUUUUGAUGGGCGUUGUGAGGGUGCUAUAACCUUCCUCACACGUAAUCAAAAUCCCAAACCCUGUUCUGGUUAGUAGACCCGAACCUAUUCUUUUAGGAUCCUUAAACUUAGGUGUUCCCUGAAAGGAUAGAUUCCUUAGGUGGCCAAUCACACCUAGAUAAAAAAGAUUGGUGGCGACUCCUUUAAGUCAAUGUCUAAUGAUAGAUCCCCGAAUCUAGAUGUUAUACCCUUCCUAAACGAUGUCAUUUUUGCGUUAGUAACCCAGAGGAUCCAUGCAUUUUACCAAGAUCCGACCCGACCCGAGCAUCAAUCCGCUUUCGACUCGUGUCUCCAAGCUGUUUUCCUAAGCCAAGUCAAGCCGAGGCAACGCCCCCUAAGCCACGUUUUCGAGACAUUUUUCUUCCUCGAGCCGAGCCGAGCCGGGCCGUUAGCCGGGCCGUUUCCAGGUUUAUUUUUUUCAUUUUUUUAUUUUAUAUAUUUAUUUAGUUAUUUAUUAUUAUUAUUAUUUACUUAUUUAUUAGAUUAGAUUUGUUUAAUAUUUUUUUUUUUCCUUUAUUUUUAUUUUCUUUUUAUUUUUUAUUUUAUUAUUUUAUUUUCUUUAAAUAAAAUAAAAAAAAAUAUUUUUGAGGAAAAGUUGAAAGUAUCAAUUUUCCUUGAAAAUAAGCUUUCCAAAAUAUUUUUGAGGAAAAGUUUAAAGUAUCAAUUUUCCUUGAAAAUAAAUUUUCCAAAAAAUAUUUUUGAGGAAAAGUUGAAAGUAUCAAUUUUCCUCGAAAUUAAAGUUUCAAAAAAAUAUUUUUAGAGAAAAGUUGAAAGUAUCAAUUUUUCCUGCACAAAAGCAAUCAUUUUUUUCUUUUUUUUUUAAUUUUUUUUAAUGUUAAACAAUCCGACGACGGAGCCUCUGCAAGUGAAACAGUAGUUUUCUUUCAUACUCUUGAGGUGUGAGGAUUUUCUCAAUUUGCUACUAAAUGUAUUAGAGUCAAUUAAGAAUAAUUUUCAAUAACUAAUUACUUGAUAAAUUUUUAAGGCUUAUUGGAUAAUACAAAAUUAAGCUGGUACCAUCUUUUGAUGGACGUAAUCGAACUUUCGAACCCUGUUCUGAUUAGUAGACCCGAACCUAUUCUUUUAGGGAUCUUUAAACUUAGGUGUUCCCUGAAAGGAUAGAUUUCUUAGGUGGCCAAUCACACAUAGAUAAAAAAGAUUAAUGGCGACUCCUUCAAGUCAAUGUCUAGCUAUAGAUCCCCGGAUCUAGACGUUAUGACACUCUUCUCAAAUAGUAGCCAUGAAACUUUGAAAAUUUAAAAAGGUUCACCGGAGGUCUUGAAAAUUUUGCCUGGAAGUCUUAAAGAUUAUGUCCGAAAGUUUUAGAGAUUUGAAAACCUUUGAAUGCUCAUCCAAUCAGAGGCUGUGACACUUUUAAAAAAUUAAAAUAUUUUGCUUAGAGGUUGUGAAAAUUGUGCCUGGAGGUCUUGGAGAUUAUGCUCAGAGAUCUUAAAGAUUUCAAAAUCUUUGAAUGCUCCUCCAAUCAAAGGCCAUGAAACUUUUUAAAAAAUUAAAAUAUUUUCCCUGUAGGUCUUGAAAAUUAUGCCCGAAAAUCUUAAGGUUUUCAAAAUCUUUAAAAAUUUUAAAAAUUUAAAAUGCUUUGCCUUGAGGUCUUAAAGAAAUUAUGCCUAGAGGUCUUGAAAAUUAUACUCAAAGGUUUUAAAUAUCUCAAAAUCUUUGAAAAUUUUGAAAAUUUAAAAUGCUUUGGCCAAAAGUCUUGAAAAUUAUGUCCAGAGGUCUUAAAGAUCUCAAAAUCUUUGAAAAUCUUGAAAAUUUAAAAUGCUUUGUCCGAGGGUUUUAAAGAAAUUAUGCUUGGAGGUCUUAAAAAUUAUGCCCAGAGGUCUUAAAGAAAUCAAAAUCUUUGAAAAUUUUAAAAAUUUAAAAUGGUUUGCUUAGAGGUCUUAAAGAAAUUGUGCUUGGAGGUCUAGAAAAUUAUACCAAGAGGUCUUAGAAAUUUGUCUAGGUGCCAACUUAACUGAACUUAAGUCUUAUCUUGUAUUAAAACUCUUCUUAUCAUUUUUCAACAAUCUAUUUGCAAAUAAUUUUUCUUUCAGCCUUUUAAACCUUUUUAAUAUUUUGAUCUCCUGUUAAACCAUUUUUCUUUUUCUCAUCUUUUCAUGAUGACUUCUUUUUUUAUAUAUAUUUACAAAGUUGACAAAUACAAUCAUGAUACAAAUGUCUAUUUUCAUCAAAUGAUGCGAAUGCAAAUGUCGAUGCAAAUACAAAUGUCAAUGCAAAUAUUUAACACAAGUACAGGUGACUUUUUCACAAUACAAAUGCCAAUAUUCCUUUUAUAUAAAUGCCCUUACAAAUACUUUUUCUGAGGUGCAGAUGCCAUGAUGCAUAUGCAAACUUCUUCUUAUGGUGCAAAUGCAAAUGUCUUAUACAAGUGCAAAUGCAAAUGAUGCAAAUGUGAAUAUCUUUCUUGUGAUACAAAUGCAAGCGAUGCAAAUGCAAAUGUCUUUUUCAUGUUAUCGAUAUGAAUACCAAUGUCUUUCUCAUGAUGCACAUGCAAGUGCGAAUGCAAGUGAUGCAAAUGCAAAUGUCUUUUUUUGUGAUGUAGAUGCAAAUGCAAAUGGCUUUUUUCAUUUUUUGCAACAUAUAGAUUAAAUGUCUUUUAGAAAUUCAAAAAUCUCUUUUCUUUUUUUUCUUUAAAAAAAAUCUUUGCUCAAAAUUUCAAAGUUCUCUCUUCACCAAAAAUGAUCUUAAUAUCUUGUACAAAAAUGCUUAACUAAUUUUCAAAAUUUUCCAAAGCAAUCACAAAAUUACCCCACAUAAAGUGUUUUUACAAUUAAUGAGAAAAACUAAAAACACAUAACUUCUGAAUCUCUUGUAAAUUGAUGAUUACCAUUUAAAAUGCUUAUAAAUGGCAUAAUUGGCAAUUCAAUUCUUUCACUGGUGGGCAUAUUUCAAAAAAGGCUUGAUGAAGGUUAUAAGGAUUUCUCUUGAGCUUAUAAAUGAGACACUUUUCUUUUAUUGAAAACAUGAUAAAAUCAAUAUGCAUCAAAACUGAUGAUAUUUUUAGGAAAGAUUUAGGAAAAGAAAAGGGACUAUUUUUUACUUUUCACGCUUUGGUGAAAUGCAAAGUCUUCAAUGGGUACUGAUCCUUUAAAAAGUUUUGCAUUGUGACUUUUAUUUUAGAUAGAACCUUGAAACUCUAAAAUUCUUUUGGGGUCUCAAGAGUGGUUAUAGCUCUUAACAGCCCUUUUGGGCUUUCACCUUAGAGCUUUCUUUCUUUUUUUUUUUUGUUAAACAAUGAAAAACUUGGUAAAAUCUACAAGGACACUGUCAUAACGUCUAGAUCUGGAGAUCUAUCACCUUAAAAAAUUCAAAACAAAUCUGAAAGAGGAAAAAAAAAUUUCAAAAAGGGUCAAUGGUCCAAACAAAAAAUUAUGUAAUAAAUGGGCACUUCAAAAUAUUUAUGAUCAUUCUUCCAAGAGAAACUCUUCAAUUUUAAACCCUCAUGCUUGAUCUAAUAUGAACUUUUUAAAGGUUAUAAUGUAGGUUAAGGUUCAGGAUUGUCAAAGAAAAGGAUAGAAAGACUCAAAAUAAAUAUUAAAAGGUAUUUAAAACUAAUGGUCAUUUUUUUUGUUCGAAGGAUACACUUUGAGGUCUAUUCCUUUUUGCUUUCCACCCUUUCAUUUCUUCUCUUUUUUUUUCUUUUUUUUUACUGAGUGGAUUGUAAACUUUCAUAUUGAACCUUUGCCUCAACAUAUGGGAUUCCAUUCAGGUAUCCUCAUUCUUAACCCUCAAAUGUGUUCGUUUUUACCUCCCAAUGUGAAGGGUGAUCCUUAGUUAGGGUUUAUUUUGAAAAAAUUCAAUCAAGUCAAAAAGGGUAACAAAGGAUUAAUUUUUAUAUUUGUGAAAAGAUAAUGAAAGAUGGUCUUUUAUCAUUUCAAAUAUAAAAUCGAAAUUGAAUAGGAAUUCUCUUUAGGAAAAUGAUCUCGAAGAACAGUUUUUAUUUCCAUAGUUUUUUUUACUUUUUACUUUUUUUUCACAUUUUCUAAUUUGGGCCUUUUUCUUGCCCCCUUUCCAAAACUUUGAAUUUGUCAAAGACUUUAUUAGAAAUUAUUCAAAAUUUUCAAGUGCAUGAUGUUAUAACCAUUUUUUAUUUCUCUUAUUUCUCUUUUUUUUUAUUUAGGACAUUUGACUUCAUCUUUAGCAAUCAAAGAUAUUCUCAAUAUCAUAUACUUUCCUUAAAAUUGGGCUUUUAAGGAUAUCCUUAUUUUUUCUCCCAAAGUAAAAAACGAUCUUUGACCGUAGAUUAUUUUGGAAACAAAAAAAUUUAAUAAGCUUAAAAAGGUAACAAGUGGAAAAUUUUUUUAUAAGCAACAGAUAGAGAAAAAUGGCCAUUCAUUAUUUCAAACACAAUCACUUGAUUAGAAGAGCAAUGCAUUUGAAGAAAUAAAAGCUUUUAUUUGUUUCUAUUCCUAUUUUCAUUUUUUUUUAUCUUUAACUAUCAAUCAUUUUUGUGUAACUAAUGCCCUAUCUUGUUUGCCUACUCAAGGUUCUUAUGAUGAUGAGAAUCAGGUUGUAUGAGAUGUCCAAAUUUUGGAUGCAUAGUUUACAAAAGGGUUCAUUUGGUUCCAAAUUGUCUAGCAUUUUGAGGAAAAAAGAUAUUAAGGCAUGAAAACAUUGUCUUAGGCAAGAAAGAAGUUUACUUCUUUUAGUCACUAUGCCUUAAGACAUGAAACAACAGUCACUUAAAAGAAAGAGUUCAUGCAUUUUUAUGUCUAUGUCAUCAAAAGAAUUUGGAUGGUUCAAUCAUAUUGGCAAGAUUUGAUACACAUUGAAUUACCAAUUAAAAAAUUAAAAGAGUAUCUUGGUUUUUGAAAUUCAAAAUAAAUUUUUAAAAUUGGUCACUUUCAUUAAUUGCCCAAGAAAUGAUUAUGGCUUCAAUGUAUCAAAUUGUAACAUGGUUCGCAAGUGGAAAUUCAUGUCCUUUAAGGAUUAUGAAAGGAUUAAAACGUAAGACUGGUUAAGAAAAAAAAGUGUAAUGGAAUUGGAUGAGGUUUUGUUUUUUAUAAGUAAUCACCCAUGAUUUUGAGAUUCUCAUAUAAAAAAAUCAUAAAUUUCCCAUUGAAAAAGCCUAUAUUUUUAUUUGAUCUUGAAAACUACUUAUAUGGGACUUUAUUGUGAAUUUUUUUUAAUGCUUUUCAUUUAUGAUUUUAAAAAUUAAUUAUGUGAGAUUGUUAUUCAAACAAAUACAUACAGAUAAAAUUUCAUAGAAAAAUUGAAAGCAUUCCUUUCUUCCAAAAUGAUGUUUAAUAAGAUUGAUUUAAAUAACUCCUAAAGACCCAUGUAUAUAUCAUGUACAAAAGGUUAAAAGUUUAAAAGAAAACCAUUAUAUAUUGAUAUUUCAAUACUGUAGACACCCAAUUUGGUACAGACCCAGAUCAAUUGGACCUAAUCCAAAUGGGCAAGAUGGGCUCACAUUAUUUUAUUUUAUUUUAUUAUUUAUUUAUUAUUAUUAUUAGUAUUAUUUUUUUCGUUUGUUAUUUAUUAUUAUUACUUAUUAUUAUUAUUAUUAUUAUUAUUAUUAUUACUAUUAUUAUUAUCAUUUUUUUUAUUUUAUCUUUUUUUUUCUUGAUUAAUUAGGAGAUAAUGAUCAGAUUAAUUAAAAAUAAUAAAAAAAUUAUGGAAGUGGAUUUGGCCAUGAAUUUUAGGGCUGACAAAGUUGGGAUUGGAUUCAAAAAUUAAAUCCCAAUCCCAAAUGGAAUUGGGAUUGAUCAAUCCCUAUAAAUAGAGGUUGGAAUACACAGAAAAGACACCAAAGAUAGACAUAGGGUAAACAAAAGAAAUCAGAAGGAAGAAAAAGGGUUCCAAGGAAUAGAAGUAGCGUUCUAGAAUUUUUAGGAAAAUUUUUGAAUUUUUGGCAUUUUUUCUGGGAAAUUUAUGGAAAAUUCCAGAUUUCGAAUAUUUUUUCGAUGACAUUCAAGUUUUUCGAUGACUAUUUCGGUGAAAGACCUAGUUUUCGACAUGUUUUCCAUAUUUCGAUAGAACAUUCAAUCAAAAUCUGGGUUCUGUUUAGAGAGAAGUAGGAGAAAAAGAAAAAAGAGAGAGAGAAAGAAAGAAGCAAUCUGCAGACGAAUAGAAGUUAGAGCAUUUUAUACUGUCCAAAAAUGACAUCAUUUUUUUGUUUAAAGUCCCAAAGGAUCUGUACAUUUUGCCAUCAGGCGACCCGACUCGAAAGCCAACCCGUUUUUUACCCUAAUCUAACUCGAGUACCGACCGAGCCCUGAAGUCGAGCCAAGUCGAGCCGUACACUCUCGAGCUAUUUUUUUUUCUCAAGCCAAAUUGAAUCACAGCUGCUAAGCCGAGCCAUUCCAAGGUUUUUUUUAAAUUUAUUUAUUUAUUUAUAUUAUUAUUGUUGUUAUUAUUAUUUCUAAAUUAGAAUUAUUUGGUUUUUUAUUUUUAUUUUUUCUCUUUCUUUUCAAUGAUUUUUCUAAAAUAAAAUUUCAAAAAAUAUUUUUGAGGAAAAGUUGAAAGUAUCAAUUUUUCUUAAAAGUAAAAUUUCUAAAAAUAAAAAUUUUCAAAAAAAAAUUUUGAGGAAAAAGUUGAAAGUAUCAAUUUUUCUUUGAAAAUAAAAUGUAAAAAUAAAUAAUUUUAAAGAAAGUUGAAAGUAUCAAUUUCCCUUGUUUGGCGUGACUACACCUAGAUGUUCAAAAGCAUCCUUGAGCUGGUCCCUGGUGAUGCUACCCUGCUUAGAGUAUGAUCGAAACACUUGUUCCAAUUUGUUUUUCUGAUGCUUGUUAUCCUUUGCGGCUUGCAUUGUGGAUUUUGAGGUUUAUGACAGGGUGAUAUAAGAGAAAGGGCUUGCCU